Molecule: long non-coding RNA, 170782 nt
Filed under: Triticum aestivum (bread wheat)
Lineage: Eukaryota; Viridiplantae; Streptophyta; Magnoliopsida; Poales; Poaceae
Description: long non-coding RNA (TAES_LNC006571)
Rfam family: MIR1120/MIR1122 microRNA precursor family (bases 76936-77070)
Source: RNAcentral
UUAUUGAAUAUUAAAAUAACAUAGUUGAUUUCUAAAACAUACAAAAAUUAUUAUCUCAUCAACGCAUAAUUAUUUUGAGAACCAUAAGGUUGAGAUUUAUCCACCCAAAAACUAUUGUGUUGUUGUUGCUGGUGUGCAAUUAAUCUUGCAGGGACAGUUGAUGAAGCAUUCUCCAAGAUCUGGCCAGCACAAGUUAUCUAUUUGACAGCAGAAUUCCCGUCCUGGGAGCUGGUGCCCAUCUUUAUAACAAGGGGGUCUAGUUACAUGGCUUACUUUGCUCAUCAUGUUUCUCCCCUUGUUGUUUAUGAUUUCACCUAAUUAACAUAAAAUAAAGAAUAUACUUAUCAUCUCAUCAUAUAAACAAUAAAAGUCCACAAUAUCAAUACCACCAAAAAAUCGAGUUGUUAAUUACCAUAUGUGCCUCCAAGACAAGUCAAACACACCACAAGAAGAAAAGAAAGUAGCACAAGUCCUUGCACAUUGUUCCUCGUGAACUUGGUCAUCGUCACUAAGGAAUAGAGGCUAUUAAUGGGUGGUACUCUUGUAAGUGGAGUUGAUGAGUGUAUGACCGUGAAAUGCUUGCUCCAUGAAUGGUUCAUAUAUAUAUAGGAAAAGCUUCUCCGUGUUGAUGUGUGAAGUUAUAGAAAAUAUUAAUGCUUGGAGUUAUGGCUUGUGUGAAUUUCCAAUUUUAGUUUCACUUCUAAAGAUUCAUGGUUCCUUCUAGAGUUUUUUUCUCAAAUUUAUGCUUUGUCAUAGCAUGUAAGUUACUUUAAUGCCCCCUCUAGAAUUGAUCGCUCAUUGUUUUCAAGGGGUAGAAUUGACCUCUUAGAAUGGGUAGUAAAAAAUGGGUGCAUGGCAAUAUUAUGUUUAAGGCAUUGAUAAUAAUUGGUAUAAUAUCAAUAAUUCCUAUAUAUAUGAUGCCUUAUCAAUAAAAUUAUUAAUUUCUGUCUUGGUAUAAGAGAACAGAGUUUAAAAUUCAACAAGACUCAUCCACUUAACAUUGGACUUGAUUUUUAAUGUAUGUAAGCAAUUGUUCUUAAGUAUAUCAACAAGUUACAGAUACAUUUUUUUUUACUUUUAUUCCAUGAACAUAGAUUAAUUAUGGGAUGGCCAUUUUAUAAAUAUAAGAUGAUGAUUUAUUUUCAUAUACAUGAACAUUUUAUAUCAAGGUACUUGAGCAUUUUUUACAUAUUUCUAUACACAAAAUUUUCUCCAAUAUUAAGUCGAUUUUUUUAAAUAGAUUAGUUUCCCCAAAACUUUCUUUAUUAAAAUGUCGCACUUGCCCAGCUAGGGAAAAUUUUGUUAGGCAGAGCUGCCCAAUUCUCGGAACUCCCUAUAAGUUCCUCCUUGCCGCUACCAACCUCCCCUUCAGACAGCGCAUGCCUGGCUGGUCCGACCUAUUGACGACACGAAUGGACACCACCGAGUGGGAGAGUAGGCGUUGAGCCAAUCCACUUUAGCAACAAUUUUUUCAUUUUUGGAAAAUAUCUUUGCAAAAUGAACAAGCAUUGAUAAAUGUGAAGUUUUUUUUGAACAUAUUCUAAAAUUUAAAAUUUCUUAAAACCCCAAUUAUGUUUGGAAUUUCAUACAUUCUUCUGAACAAAUAAACACUUUUGGAAAUACUUAACAUUAUUUGAAAACUAAGACCUUUUCUUGGAGAACCAACAAUUUUAUGAAAAACGUGUUAGUUUUAUAAUUUGUAGAAUGUUUUUCAAAGUUAUGAUCUUUAAGAACACAAACAAUUUUUGAAAUUUCAAACAAAAUAUGAGAAUCGGAACAUUUCCCGAAAACUUGAAUAUUUUCUAAAUUUCAAAUUUUUACACAUUUUUAAAAAAGGAGACUUUUUGAUAAAGAUAAUAAGAAAAAUAAAACAAUGGAAAAACAAAUAAGAAAAACUGUAACAUCCUAAUUUUCAAUUUGGAUGUUAUACAUAGAUCAGCAGAUGCAUAUCCUAUUUAUUCUUUCUUUUGGUUGAGAUCCUAGAGAUCUUAAGCAACUCAAGGACCCAAGGAGAGAGUUGGAGGUUUCACAAAAUUCAUAUUUGAAUUUAUUUCAAAUUUGAGGGAAGGAUCAAUUUGAUUUUAUUAUUUUUCUCUCUAAUUUUUUCCAAUAAUAAAAAUACAUGCGAGAAGAUAAUAUGACUUCUUCAACCUAAGAUAAAUAUUGGAGAAAGAAGUUUAAAAUCAAAUUAUGAUUUUAUUAGAAUUUUAUUAGAAUUAGAAAAAUAUUGCAUUUUUUAAAAUUGGAUCUUUGUCCAGAAAAAUGUUUAUCUUGUCCUAAAUAUAUGGUUUGGACGGUGAAAAUUAUUUCUGGAAUUUUUAGAUUUUUCUUUAUAAUUUAUUAGGAUUUUUCUUUCGGGCGAAAUUUAUUUUUUUAAAAAAGUUAUUUCCGCCCGAAUGGGCCGAAGGCCCAGCCGAGCCGGCCCAGAAGCUGCGCCGCCACCAUCCCCGCGCGGUAGUCUGCCCCGCUGCCGCCAGCGUGCCGCCGGCCAAGUCCGAGGUGGGCACACCUCCCGAGGCCAGCCCCUUCCCCAAGACGAGGUCGAGCCCCAUCCUUAAAUAGCGCGUCGUCCCACCACCUCUCCUUCACACCGCCACCGCCUCCCACCACCAGCAGCAGCAAUAGCCCCGCGCCGCCGCCGCCGCACCGCUUUCUGCCGCCUGUGACGCUCCCGAUUCAAUCGUACACUAAUCAUACAUGCAAAUAUGUACGAUCAAGAUUAGGGACUCACGGGAAGAUAUCACAACACAACUCUAAAAAUAAAAUAAGUCAUACAAGCAUCAUAAUACAAGCCAGGGGCCUCGAGUGCUCGAAUACAACUGCUCGAUCAUAGACGAGUCAGCGGAAGCAACAAUAUCUGAGUACAGACAUAAGUUAAACAAGCUUGCCUUAAGAAGGCUAGCACAAACUGGGAUACAGAUCGAAAGAGGCGCAGGCCUCCUACCUGGGAUCCUCCUAAACUACUCCUAGUCGUCGUCAGCGGCCUGCACGCAGUAGUAGGCAUCUCCAGUGUCGUAGGAGUUGUCGUCGGUGGCGUAUGGCUCCUGGGAUCCAACGUCUUCUUGCAGCAUCCGAGAAGAAGAGGAAAACGGGGGAAAAGAGGGAGCAAAGCAACCGUGAGUACUCAUCCAAAGUACUCGCAAGCAAGGAGCUACACUACAUAUGCAUGGGUAUAUGUGUAAGGAGGCAAUAUCAGUGGAAUGAACUGCAGAAUGCCAGAAUAAGAGGGGUAUAGCUAGUCCUAUCGAAGACUACGCUUCUGGCAGCCUCCGCCUUGCAGCAUGUAGAAGAGAGUAGAUUGAAGUCCUCCAAGUAGCAUCGCAUAGCAUACUCCUACCCGGCGAUCCUCCCCUCGUCGCCCUAUGGGAAAGCGAUCACCGGGAUGUCUCUGGAACUUGUAUGGAUGUGUUUUAUUAAGUAUCCAGUUCUAGUUGUCAUAAGGUCAAGGUACAACUCCAAGUCGUCUUGUUACCGAAGAUCACGGCUAUUCGAAUAGAUUAACUUCCCUGCAGGGGUGCACCACAUUUCCCAACACGCUCGAUACCCUUUGGCCGGACACACUUUCCUAGGUCACGCCCGGCCUAGGAAGAUCAACACAUCGUAGACCCACCUAGGCACAACAGAGAGGUCAGCAGACCGGUCUAACUCCUAUGGCACAGGGGUUUGGGCCCAUCGCCCAUUGCACACUUGCACGUUGCGAGGGCGGCCGGAAGUAGACUAGCCCCCUUAAUACAAGUGCAUGCUUACGGUCCAAUCCGGCGCGCGCCGAUCAGUCGCUGAUGUCAAGAAGGCUUCGGCUGAUACCACGACGUUCGAGUGCCCAUAACUGUUCCCGCGUAGUUGGUUAGUGCGUAUAGGCUAGUGGCCAGACUCAGAUAAAAUACCAAGAUCUCGUUAAGCAUGUUAUUAUGAAGUAACCCUGAACGCCGACCAGGGCCAGGCCCACCUCUCUCCUAGGUGGCGUCAAACUGCCCUGUCGCUCCACCACAAAGAUCCACACACAGGGCCGUCGGGAAAGUAUGUCCUUUCAGCCCCCAAUUCAAACAACUGCGGGUACUCAACGAGCCGACACGACUUUAGUCACCAUUUGUAUAGCAUGUAUAUAUGUAUAGUAUGAACCCGUGAUCACCUCCCGAGUGACCACGACCUGAUAGUAUAGCAAGGCAGACUGACAAGAAUGUAGGGCCACAGAUGAUAAACUCGCAUCCUAUACUAAGUAUUUAGGAUUGCAAGUAAGGUAUCAACAGAUGUAGCAACAAUGACAGGCUAUGCAUCAGAAUAGGAUUAACGGAAAGUAGAAACAUGCUACACUACUCUAAUGCAAGCAGUAUAGAGGAGAGUAUGCGAUAUCUGGUGAUCAAGGGGGGGGCUUGCCUGGUUGCUCUGGCAAGAAGGAGGGGUCGUCAACUCCGUAGUCGUACUGGGUGCUAGUGUAAGAAACAAUUAAUAUAGUGAAAACAUAAGCAUGACAAUGUAAGAUAUGAAAAUGAGCAGUGCUAGGUGUGCCCUAACGAGGUAGUAGGCGAUACCGGCGAAAGGGGGAAACAUCCGGGAAAGUAUCGUCGGUGUUUCGCAUUACUGCAUCAGCAUGACGUCAGCAUGACAUCAUCAGUCAACAAAGGUAUUGACUAGGUCAAGCUGACGUGUGGGUCCCAUCUGCCAUUGACACAUUGCCCUAACUAACAAACUAGUUAGUUUAAUUAAAUAUUUAGGUUAAUUAAGUUUAGUUAUUUUAACUAAACAUGAUAAAUUAAGUUAAUUAAUUAGUUAAUUAAUUAAUUACCAAUUUUAUUAUUAUUAUUAUUUUAUCUUAUUAUUAUUAUUAUUUAAACGUUCUGGGGUGGGGCCCCCUUGUCAUAGGCCCCUGGGGACCUAGUGGAGUGUGUUAACGGGCGCCGGGGCGCGGCGGGCGUGCGCCCGAGUCCACCAUGGAAGGGGACUCCGACCAGGGGAGGGGGCGCCGCCGUGGCGGCUAGCGCCGGCUGUGGCGGAGCGGCGUGGGACCGAUGGGGCGUAGGCGAUGCACGUGACAGCGCGCGCGAGCUGCAGUGGUGGAGGUGGUGGCGGGGUCGCACGGGUGGAGCAAAGGCGCGACAGCCGGAGCGGAGUAGUGCAGCGAGCAGCACUGCUCGUGGCGUCGCGCGGGCACAGUAAGCACGGGAGGCGGGCCGACGCGGGACCAGGCAUAGCAGCAGCGGCGCAGGGCGCGGCGAGCGCCCGUUGCGCGCGUGCUUCAGUGCGGGUAGGCGUAGCCACGGCGGCGUGAGCCACGGCGGGAAGAAGGAACACGGGAGGGGGCGCAGUAGCAGCAGGCGAGCCGGGCGUGCACGGGGCGACGAUGGGCAGCGACAGCGAGCGCGGUGGGGCGGUGCGCUUGCGUGCGUGCACGAUGGACGAGCGGCCGGAGCGAACAACGAGUGCUGGGAGAGGAGGAGAGGCCGGGGGCCUCACCGCGGUUGUAGGGUCUUAGGCAGCGAGGCGUGGGGAGGACGACGGGGACGACGUGCGGUGGGGCGACGAGGUCCGGCGGUAGGGUGGACGUAGGCGAUGGCGUCCGACGAGGUGGCGGCGCGGUGGCUCCGGCGACUGCGUCGGGGUGCCGUGGGCGCCCAGAUCUAGAACGGGGAGGAGGAGGUCGAGGACGGGGCGUCAGGGCGUCGAGCGACACCGGCAAGGGGCGACGGAGUCCGGGACGAUGGGGUUGGGGCGGUUGCCCCGAUCCAGAAACCGGGAGGGGAGUGGGGGAGCGAGCGAGUGUGGGGUGAGUGGAAUCCUGGUACCUAGGGUUUCAGGCGAUAGGAGGAUAUGGAGAGUGGGGUGGGCCGGUCGGGCCAGGGUGGGAGUUGGGUCGGGUGACCCAGUUGGCCUGGGGCUUUCCCCCUCUUUUUACUUUAUUAAUUUUUUGUUAUUCUCCUUUUUUUAUUCUUUUCCAUUUUCUAUUUUAUUUAUUUUAGAGCAUCAUAGCAUUUUCUAAAUAUGGGUUUUCUUCACUAUAAUUACCUAUGUAAUAUUUGGCACAAUCUGGACAUUUUAGUUUCAUUGUUUGAAAACCUUUUUGUUUGCCUGAUUUUUAAUUUGAAUUUGAAUCGGUUUCGAACUAACGCGAGAUUAGUAACAGUAAUCAAGGUGACGUGGCAUCAUUAGCAGAGGUUCAAUGUAGCUUAAGUAUCCAGGUGUCACAAUUCUCCAACACUACAAGAAAUCUCGUCCUGAGAUUUAAGCGGUGUAUUAAGGGGGGAGGUGCUGGUAGCGAAAAAGCUAAAGAGUCUUCUCGGUCUUGGCUGCCCUUUCGAAGAGGUUGAUCCCUUUCGUUGAUGUCUUCAUGUCUCUGCUUCAAGUCACCAUGACCAAGUCAUCAUCCUUUCAUCGGUAUCUCCAUCGUCCUACAAACGCAACCAAGGGGAAAACUCCGGAAGAACGCAUCUCCGCAAAGUUGGGCAUCUGGCGGUGAACUCAAUGGGAAAUACACAAGGUACCCCACGAGUUGUAUUUCAAUGAAUUCGUUGAGUGCAAUACACGAUGGUACCAAAGUUUCAAACGGGUAGGCAAUCAUUCAAUGACUAGACAUAAGUUGGAAUGGGGGUUUGAACAAUGAGAAUAACAUGGCAUUUGAUUCCAGGAGGAAUAAUGGUAUAGCAUUUAGCUCGUGAAUCACAUACGAAGCCAGGUGCAAAGGAUACAUUAGAAUCGGGUUGUAAAGAAGAGUCAGGUUUCGAUCCAGUGGACCUGUGGGUUAUGGGCCCACCAUGUGGGUUGACAGUAGGAAGGGUGGUGACAUCUUGCACAGCCGCAACAGGGAGGCAUGUCAGGGCAACAAUUGUCAGUAACAAGGACGGGGAACGAAGAGAGCAAUUUUCCUGCUUGUAGAACAGGUGAACCAAUUGGCAAAGUUAUCACCCAUCGGUGGUUACCGGAAUGUCAUCAACAAUAGUAACAUGGUCUUACAAACAGAGUGGUACAACAAGUUGCCUACCUAAGCAGGGAAUUAUCUCUGCUCAGUUAAGUCAGAUUUAGGAAAGGUUAAACAAAAGAAUGGAAAGGAAAACGCGAUUAUCAGAUUAAACGGAACAAUGGAAAGGAAAAUUGUGAUUACACACAAUUAUUAGGAGUAUAUCCUUCCCAUGUACAAGCAGAACAUGGAUUACAGGAUAGGAGAGCAAGUACCCAACCAUUCAGAUAACGGGCAAGGAUUAAUCAAGAUGUUACCCAUACAACAUCGUUUGGAUAACUGACCAACAAACAUUUAGCAUCGCGCCUACAAUGUUCUUGUUGAUGAGCGGGGUAUCAUAGUCAUGCUUCGAGGUAGCAAUGAUAUGGGGUUCCAAUCAAGGCCAGACUUUGGAUACACAAAUGAUCCAUCAGGAGCAACUUAUAAAAUAAGUCCUACAAUUUCCUCCAGGAAGAAUGGUUAUCCUUGCAAAAGAAAUUAUAAUGAUAGGUCCUCCAGCCAGGGGUGCUAGGCAUGACAUCAUACUACCUGGUCAUCUAAGGACCAACAUCAUAACUCCUGGAAAGUUGUCCUAACCAUAAUAUCUGACCGAGAUUCCGAUCCGAUUGGUGUCAUGAUACCUUAGACUCAGGAUGUCCGAGAAGAAAAGGUGCGACACAAAUUGAUGAAAUGACAUUGCAAGAUUCUCAGGAAAUGAACUAUGGGAGUGGGUUCCUGAAACAAUAGUUCAUCAUUAAACCAAGGAGGGGAUGAGGAGGUUGCUGAUGGGCUCAGCGACAAUUCAACGAGAAUUCCAAACGGAUGGAUUUCCACACUUAUGUGAACAAGAAGAUGACACUUGCUAAUUCAAAUGAUAUAAUGUUGUAUGCUCGAGGAAAACAUACACCAUCAAGCAUUAGUUGUAAGGUGUGCCCGAAAUAUGACCUUAGGCAGCAGGAUCAAUGUUAGAGUGAUGAUUCAAUGACCAACAGUCUAAGAAUGAACUGUUGAUCAUUAACUUCAAAGCAAUAGGGUUGCUAGAAAUACGGAACUCAAGCAGCAUCGUUGGCAUAUCGGUAUCCCGGUUAAAAACAACACGGGGACCAAGGAAGAAUGGUGAUGGUGGGAAGUAUUAUCAUACCGAGAAUUUCUAAGAGGUGGAGCAAUCCACACAACAUCCUCGACAGAAAAGACAGUAAUACUUCAAGGCAGAACACAACACUAGUUGGACAUCAAGUUGUAUUCAUAAUAUGGACAAGUUCGCGAUGAAAGGAAGUCAAGGGUUUUGUCGAUGAUAAUAAAAAUCAUCGAGGGCAAGGAGGGAAUUUCUCAUCAUGAACACAGUUGGCAUCUCAGAAGACGUCAAAGUGUUGAAGGUGAUCCGACACAUUUGCCGGGAGAUUUCUAGAGGAUGAAAUCAAACAACAAUGGCAACAAGCGAGGGAAUGACGAAGUGGCAAGUUAUAGGAUCAAUAUAUAAGAUGCAAGCUCGGGACCAAAUUGCCUUUCAAGACAAGCAACAUGAUGUUGAAAGCUCGACAUAAGUCGUGCUCACACACUGCAGAUUCGUGCACCAGAGUAGGACGAGUUAGCAUCGUCAAAGGUAGCAAGACCUGGAUGCAACCGAUAGUCUAGGAAUGACCAGAUUUAGUUCAGAAUUUCCUAGUAAAAAUACUAGGGGUAUUUGAUUUGUAGUGCGGAAUAAUUUCAGUAGUCGGUGUCCUCGGUUGACAACAACCCAGAACCCGUAGAGUGAUUACGACAAGGAAAGACAUUACUUCAACAAAGUUAGUAAGAUGUGGUGCAAUGGCAAGACAUCUCCGAGAUACCAGGGGGUAAUACUCGAAGGUAGAACAAGAUAGAAGUAGAACCGGGUCAUUGACCUAUGACAUUAGAUACUUCAACCUUGACAAAAAUAGACGAGGCACUGGAAUGAAUUCCCAUCAGAUAUAUCAGAUCAGCACAACAUGGUCAGAACCAUAACUGUAAGGAAUCAAUUUCAAGAAUACCGAAAGAAUCAUACAGCUAGAUAAUAAUUUUGCAAGAAGCUUCUCAGACGGUCUACAUCAUUUUCAUGGGCAUGAACACAAAGUUCAGGGUCGACUCCCACUUCUUUAAUGCAUAUCAUCUCAUUCACCUUUUGCUUUGAUAUAACUGUAGUGUUGAAAGUUUAUCUGGUAGAAAACCGGAAGUGUAUGACUUGUGAAAACUUUCGAGUUCUCACGAAUUAGGGGAAGGCAUAGGUUCAACCCAUCGGGCAACUUAGUAACCUAUACCACAAGUUUCAAAACUAAAUACACAAGCUCGAAAGCAGAGCAUGGUUGGCCAAGUAGAGGAUACAAUUUACCAAAGGCACUAUGUAUCAGGGAAAGAACUCACAUGGUGAUUGAAUAUGAAGGACACUGUCGGAUAAAAAUCCAACAAUGGAUAGGGCGAUCCACAACGGAUCUGAUGUGAGUAUCGGUACUCACUCGGAGGAAGAAAGAAUGCAGAGGCAUCAGAUUCAAGAAUCACCUGAUUAGUCUGAUGCUUAAAUAGAAAGAAAUUAUGGUUUCCAAAAUGAAGGAUCAGAAGCAGAUGCUCUGAUCAAGAAUGGAUAAGUUGAAAACACCUAGUUGGACAAUCAAUGAAGGUUUGAAUUGCCGAGAACCAACUCAUGUCCGGAAUGACGUCUGAGCCGGAAAGAGAAUCUUAAAAAGGAUAACAUGAUGAUUGCGUGUGUACGCACACAUUGAAUCAAUAGGCUCAAAAUGACUAAGACAAGGGAUGUUAACGAGGACUACUAUUUAUAUGGAAUUACCCAUAAUGCAAGCAGGCAAGCGUUUCAAGAGUAACAGGCUGCAGAGGAUUUUUGAAAGAUCGAAAAGUAUUCCGAAGAAUCAUGUGAGACACAUGAAAAAUUGAGAAGAAUGGAUCCUUGAUAAAUGUGAGGAAAAACCCGUAAUAGUUUUCACGCGAAAUAAAACUGCAAGACAGUAAACUCAAAGGAUUUUCGGGACAACGACGAAUAUUUCGAGGCAUCAUGUAACAACAAGAGCGGCGAGGAAUGAUCAAGAGAAAGACAAGUGCAUACAGAUAUCCAUAGGGAUAUAUCGGUGACAGUGGAUUGCAAAGGUGAUGAGCACAAGGGUCUCGAGAAAAUAUCAAGGGAUAUCUUCAGAAUCUUCUGAUGCAAUAAGCAAUCAUCUGGAGUGAGGGAUCUCCGGGAGGAAGUAGUUACGAGAACCUAGAGUCGGCGUUAGUAAAAUCACUUAACCCGAAUAGAGGAGAGAUCAGUGUCCCAGAGUAAAGGUCGAGGAGUAAAAGAUCCUAAUACCACCCAAUGGCGAUGUGGGCCCGUAAGCCACACACCCAAGUUAGUAAAAUACUUUUCGGCUUCUAGACUCAACUUCGGCCAAGGAGUUGGAAAGGGGAUUCCUACAGGCAGUCGGCUCUGAUACCAACUUGUGACGCUGCCGAUUCAAUCGUACACUAAUCAUACAUGCAAAUGUGUACGAUCAAGAUCAGGGACUCACGGGAAGAUAUCACAACACAACUCUAAAAAUAAAAUAAGUCAUACAAGCAUCAUAAUACAAGCCAGGGGCCUCGAGGGCUCGAAUACAAGUGCUCGAUCAUACAAGAGUCAGCGGAAGCAAAAAUAUCUGAGUACAGACAUAAGUUAAACAAGCUUGCCUUAAGAAGGCUAGCACAAACUGGGAUACGAAUCGGAAGUGGCGCAUGCCUCCUGCCUGGGAUCCUCCUAAACUACUCCUGGUCGUCGUCAGCGGCCUGCACGCAAUAGUAGGCACCUCCAGUGUUGUAGGAUUCAUCGUCGCCGAUGUUGCCUGGCUCCUGGGAUCGAACAUCUGGUUGCGGCAUCCGAGAAGAAGAGGAAAAUGGGGGAAAAGAGGAGCAAAGCAACCGUGAGUACUCAUCCAAAGUACUCGCAAGAAAGGAGCUACACUACAUAUGCAUGGGUAUAUGUGUAAGGAGGCAAUAUCAGUGAACUGAACUGCAGAAUGCCAGAAUAAGAUGGGGAUAGCUAGUCCUAUCAAAGACUACGCUUCUGGCAGCCUCCGUCUUGCAUCAUUUAGAAGAGAGUAGAUUGAAGUAUCAUCGCAUAGCCUAAUCCUACCCGGCGAUCCUCCCCUCGUCGCCCGGUGGGAAAGCAAUCUCCAGGAUGUCUGUGGAACUUGUCUGGCUGUGUUUUAUUGAGUAUCCGGUUCUAGUUGUCAUAAGGUCAAGGUACAACUCCCAGUCGUCCUGUUGAAAAUCACGUCUAUUCAAAUAGAUUAACUUCCCUGCAGGGGUGCACCACAUUUCCCAACACGCUCGAUCCCCUUUGGCCGGACACACUUUCCUGGGUCAUUCCCGGCCUCGGAAGAUCAACACGUCGCAGCCCCACCUAGGCACAACAAAGAGGUCAGCACGCCGGUCUAACUCCUAUGGUGCAGGGGUAUGUGCCCAUCACCCGUUGCACACCUGCAUGUUGCGAGGGUGGCCGGAAGCAGACCUAGCCCCCUUAAUACAAGUGUAGGCUUACGGUCCAAUCCGGCGCGUGCCGCUUAGUCGCGGAUGUCAAGAAGGCUUCGGCUGAUACCACGACGUCGAGUGCCCAUAACUGUUCCUGCGUAGUUGGUUAGUGUGUAUAGGCCAGUGGCCAGACUCAGAUCAAAUACCAAGAUCUCGUUAAGCAUGUUACUAUGAAGUAACCGCGAACGCCGACCAGGGCCAGGCCCACCUCUCUCCUAGGUAGCCUCAAACUGCACUCUCACUCUGCCACAAAGAUCCACACAGAGGGUCGUCAGGAAAGUAUGUCCUUUCAGCCCCAAUUCGUGAAUCAGCCGCGGGUACUCAACAAGCCGACCCGACUUUAGUCACCAUCUGUAUAGCAUGUAUAUAUGUAUAGUAUAAACCCGUGAUCACCUCCCGAGUGACCACGACCCGAUAGUAUAGCAAGGCAGACUGACAAGAAUGUAGGGCCACAGAUGAUAAACUAGCAUCCUAUAUACUAAGUAUUUAGGAUUGCAGGUAAGGUAUCAACAAAUGUAGCAACAAUGACAGGCUAUGCAUCAGAAUAGUAUUAAUGGAAAGUGGCAACAUGCUACACUACUCUAAUGCAAGCAGUAUAGAGGAGAAUAGGCGAUAUCUGGUGAUCAAGGGGGGGGGCUAGCCUGGUUGCUCUGGCAAGGAGGAGGGGUCGUCAACUCCGUAGUCGUAAUGGGUAGCAGCGGCGUCGGUCUCGUAGUCUACCGGAGAGAAGAGAGGGGAGAAACAAUGAAUACAGUGCAAACAUAAGCAUGACGAUGUAAGACAUGACAAUGAGCAGUGCUAGGUGUGCCCUAAUGAGGUAGUAGGUGAUACCGGCGAAAGGGGGAACAUCCGGGAAAGUAUCCCCGGUGUUUCGCGUUUUCGGACAAAUGAACCGGAGGUGAAAUGUUGCAAAUUUGCUAUGCUAGGGAUGCAUGGCGGACUAACGGGCUAUGUAUUCGGAUUCAUCUCGUUGUUCUGAGCAACUUUCAUGUACAGAGUUUUUCCAUCUGAGUUACGAACUAUUUAAUAUUAAUUUUUAAAGAUUUAAAUCAAUUUAAAAUUAUUAGUAUUAAUUAAAUUCAAAAAUGACAUUAUUGCAUCAGCAUGAUGUCAACAUGACGUCAUCAGUUAACAGAGGUGUUGACUAGGUCAAGCUGACGUGUGGGUCUUAUCUGCCAUUGACUCAUUGCCCUAACUAACAAACUAGUUAGUUUAAUUAAAUAUUUAGGUUAAUUAAGUUUAGUUAGUUUAACUAAACAGGAUAAAUUAAGUUAAUUAAUUAAUUAGUUAGUUAGUUAUUUAAUUAAAUAAUUUUAUUAUAAUUUUUUAUAUUAUUAUUAUUAUUUUAAACAUUCUGGGGUGGGGCCCCCUUGUCAUAAGCCCCUCGGGACCUAGUCGAGUGCGUUAACGAGCGCUGGGGCGCUGCGGGCGUGCACCCGAGUCCACCAUGGAAGGGGACUCCGGCCAGGGGAGGGGGUGCGGCCGCGGCGGCUGGCGCCGGCUGUGGCGAAGCGGCGUGGGAGCGAUGGGGAGUAAACGAUGCACGCGACGGCGCGCACGAGCUCUAGCGGUGGAGGUGGUGGCGGGGUCUCGCGGGCGGAGCAAGGGCGCGGCAGUCGGAGCGUAGUAGUGCUGCGAGCAGCACUGCUCGUGGCGUCCCGCUGGCACAGUAAGCACGGAGGCGGGCCGACGCGGGGCCAGGCAGAGCAUCGGCGGCGCGGGGCGUGACUAGCGCCCGUUAUGCGCGUGCUUCGGUGUGGGUAGGCGUAGCCACGGCGGCGUGAGCCAUGUCUGGGAGAAGGGACAGGGGAGGGGGUGCAGUAGCAGCUAUCGAGUGGGGCGAUGAUUGGCAGUAACAGUGAGCGCGGUAGGGCGGUGUGCGUGCGUGCGUGCACGAUGGACGUGUGGCCGGAGCGAACGAUGAGUGUGGGGAGAAGAGGAGAGGCCGAGGGCCUCACCGGGGUUGUAGGGUCUUAGGCAGCGGGCAUGGGGAGGACGACGGGGACGACGUCCGGCGGGGCGACGAGGUCCGGCGGCGGGGUGGACGUAGGCGAUGGCGUCCGGCGAGGUGGCGGCGCGGUGGCUCCGGCGACAACGUCGUGGCACCGUGGGCGCCCAGAUCCAGAACGGGGAGGAGGAUGUCGAGGACGGGGUGUCAGGGCAUCGAGCGACACCGGCAAGGGGCGAUGGAGUCAGGGACGAUGGGGUCGGGGCGGUUUGCCCCGAUCUAGAAACCGGGGGGAGUGGGGGAGUGAGCGAGUGGGGGGGGAGUGGAAUCGUGGUAGCUACGGUUUCGGCCUAUAGGGGGAUAUGGAGAGUGGGGUGGGUCGGUCGGGCCAGGGUGGGAGUUGGGUCGGGUGGCCUAGUUGGCAUGGGGCUUUCCCCCUCUUUUACUUUAUUAUUAUUUUUGUUUAGUCUCCUUUUUUUAUUCUUUUCCAUUUUCUUUUUUAUUUAUUUUAGAGCAUCAUAACAUUUUCUAAAUAUGGGUUUUCUUCACUAUAAUUACCUAUGUAAUAUUUGGCACAAUCCGGACAUUUUAGUUUCAUUGUUUGAAAACCUUUUGUUUGCCUGAUUUUUAAUUUGAAUUUGAAUCGGUUUCGAACUAUCGCGAGAUUAGAAACAGUAAUCAAGGUGACGUGGCAUCAUUAGCAGAGGUUCAUUGUAGCUUAAGUAUCCGGGUGUCACACCACCGCCACCGCACGCCCGGGCCGCUGCCCCCUAGUCCCGCGCCGCUGCCGCCUCGUCGCCGACGCCGUUGACCGAUCUCGCCGUCGCCGCCGAUUUUCUCGUGAACCGGUAAGACCGGCCGGAACCAGUUUUAUUUUUCGGGUUUUUUUCGCUUUGGCGAGAUAGAUCGGUUUUCUUAGGGUUUUUCUUAAGUAACGAACAUCCGUUCGUUCGUUCGUUUUAAUGAACGGUUUUCACCGUAUAAGUUUUGUUAGCAAAGGGUCGCGCCGUAGGAUUUUUCCUUUUAGUUUAUUUUCGGCCAGGGACCUAUCCGUGAACAGUUUUAUCACGAUUUAGCCCCUGAUCUUUAAAGUAGCAUAACUUUUUACUCGUUUAUCCAAAUUAGAUGAAACCAACGUCUAAAUCUUCGUUCUGUUCUAUUAUUUUCAGUUUAACCAACUUAAACAUGAUUUUGAUACUGUAAAAUUUUGAGCUUAGUCCAGACUAGUAAAUGAUCUUGUCUUGUUCGUAUUUUGAGUUUUGUUUCUCGGUUUGAGAUGAAUCUUUUUCCAAACCGUAGCUAAUCACAUGUACCUAUUGUUAAGAUCUAAUCCUCAUGAUAAUAAUGUCGUGAGGUGUGACUUUUGUUACUUUAAGCCGUUUGUUUGUUUCGUGUUUGAUUUGGAAUUUUUUUCUCGGUUUUCUCGUUGCUUCGUUUGAGUGAUUGCUUAUGUAUGUUAUUGUUUGUCUAUGCAAGAUUACCCGGAGUGCGAAGCUUGUUACUACGAAUCUUUAGAGUUUGCAGAUCGUCAGCAAGGCAAGUUACACUUUGAUUAUACUCUUUCAUACCUAGUUUUUACUACGCAUUAGUUCUGCCCCUCAAAUAUUUGCAUGAGUAGGAUUGGGAACAUGUGGUUUGGUUGUAGUACUUGAGGUAGGAACCUAAUACCUUUUGAUCACCCCAGGAAUAUACGUUAUGCUUAUUUUUGCUUAGCCAUGCUUGUAGACAGGAAUUGGAUCGUGAAUCACACAUGGAAGUUUGAGAGUUAUUUAAUCCUGGUUAACAUUAAGGUGGCUACUUUAAUAUACAUUUGGGUGGAUUGGUUGCAGGCACCUGGGGAACCCAGUGUUGCCUAUUUUGGAAAAUCCUGGAGUACCCGUGUGAUUCUUCCUACGGUUAGCCACCUAGACUCAAAGGGAUCAUAAGAUCAUUCAUGCUAAAAACUUCCAUGUAUAGCCGCAUGCCAUUAUGGGCUCUGGCAUAGUUUGAGUAAGUUGCAUGAGCUCUUGAAGAGGUGGACUAGCAGAUGUAGGGGAUAGUAGGUGUACCGAUCCGCCCGGAGUAGAGAUUUACUGCUUCAGAAAGACUAUGUCUCGGUCAUCUGUUCCUCAAACAUCAUGUAGUGCGAGAAAUUCAACGGAAGAGAUCAAGUCUUGUGGGGAAAAGUGCGCAACCUCUGCAGAGUGUAUAAACUAAUCAUGGUUAGCCAUGUCCCCGGUUAUGGACAUCUUGAGUAUCUAGUACUUGAAUCUAUUGAUGUGAUCUCAUCAUGUUACUUUAAUUAAUUUGAAUUGGGUUAAUGAUGAUACUUUUAAUUGGGAUUUGAGUUGGGGUUACCUUCUCAAAUAAUGGCCAACUUGGGAGUAGUUAAAUAAAUUUAUUCCUUUGUUGUAGGGAAAUACUAGCUUUAUGCAAACUCAUAAACUUACAGCCUCCACCAUCCAAAUAUUGCAUGUAGAUAUAGUUCUUGCAUCACUUUAAAGUGUAACUCUGCCAGCAUAUUCAAUGUGUUGACCUGCACGGCUGCAGCGUCUCAUGUUGCAGACUACUCAGACGAUGAAUAAAGUGCGAUAGGUUGUUGUUUUGAACUCAGCUAUGUCGUUGGAGUUGAUGGACUCAUUUACCUUUGAAGCUUCCACUGUUAUCUAGUUUAAAUGGCUUUCAGCCAUUAUAUUUUUGUGUAAUCAUACUCUUUAUGAGGACUCUAUGUAAUAAGUGUGUGAGGACUCUGUUAUAAUUCCUCGAGUACUGUGCGUGUCAGCAUUACCAAUCCAGGGAUGGCACUGAUGCACAGAGACUUGACAGUUUGAGGUUUGGUCGAUACAAGAUGGUAUCAGAGCACACGUUGACUGUAGGACACGACCACUAGAUUAUACCACAGGAUUUCUCUUCUCUACUAAUUUCUAAUUCUCCUCUUUUCUACUCUAUAGAUGGUGGAUCCUAGUAACAAGUUCACUCAGCCGGAUGACGAUACCCCUUUCGGAAAACAUUUGAAGGAAGUCACUAAGUAUUUGAACAUUGGACUACCAAGCUGCACGGGGACUUUCUCUACAUCCGUACCAGAAGAGGAGCGCUGGAAGAUUAAAGUCUGGGUACCUGGAAGGACAUUUGCGCCAACAACGGAGCCUAUUGAUUUCUACCUGGAUGCACCAAACUGGAGUAAAGGAAAGAGCAUGGCAGCCCAUAUAACCGUUCGACGCAUAUGCGAGGUGUAUCACAAGGAGCUGGAGAAUGUCGUUUAUCAGAUAUGUGGCCACUGAGAUGACAAAUGGGAGAUGAUUCGUACCAGGAGGGAUGGAUCAAUUGCAGCCUACAUUCAAGAGAUGGGAGAUCAUAUUCGUCGAAAAGAGAAUCAACAAAUUAUCCACAUGAAGAAGAUCAAGAAACUGGUGAAGAGAAACAACGAGCUAGAAGAGGAACUCAAGUCUACAUGCGAUGGAUACGAGGAAGAGAUCACCAUACUACUGGAGAAGCAUGAAGACCUGAAGAGGAAGAUGGGAAUAUUAGUUGUGAAUAUCAAGCGAUCAACAGAGAUCCGUUCGGAGGACUAGAUCAUCCUGGACGACACCGACAUGGAUAGGGAUACAAAUGAUGACAUCGAUGAUGACUAUGUCGAUGAAGCUGGAGCAGAUAUCAUGGAGUCUUUUUCUGAUGAAAAUUUCUUGAUGACCACCAUUGUAACUAGUAGUUUUCCCUCCAAGUUGUUAGCAACGAUCGAGUUUGUAAUCAUAGGUUAGACUGAACGUGUGACUUGUGUGCUUUUGAUUGAAGUGAGUGUUUGUCUCAUGAGCAUAUGGGUAGUGAAUCUCUCUGAGACCUCAAUUCUAUUCUAUUUUCUCACCCCUUCUAACCCAUCAGAUGCCUCCGAGACAUGACAAUGGAUUAGCCUUCCCACCGGAGCUCACUCAGUUGAUCCAGCAGCAGAAUGCCUUGAUGCAGAUACUAGUUUAGAACCAGAACCAAGGUAAUAACAACAACAACCCACCACCACCACCCCCUGUUGAUCACCUAGCACGCUUUCUAAGGUUGAAUUCACCGGUGUUCUCAAGUAGCACCGAGCCAAUUGUUGCAGAUGAUUGGCUCCGCAAGAUUGGAAGAGAGCUGACCACUGUAGGAUGCACAGAUGCGGAGAGAGUGCGCGUUGCCGCACAUCAGCUUGAUGGACCCGCAUCAACUUGGUGGGAGAAUUUCACAGCCACAUACCCCAUUGACACUGUUACAUAGGAUCAGUUUCAGCAGGCUUUCCGCACUGCCCAUGUUUCAGCAGGAGCAAUGAGCAUGAAGAAGCGCGAGUUUCACAACUUGCGCCAAGGAGGGCGUACAGUGGGCCAGUAUUUGGAUGAGUUUAGCAAGUUAGCACGCUAUGCCCCUGAUGACGUAGCUACAGAUGCUGCUAUGCAGGAGAAGUUUCUGGAAGGACUGAAUGAUGAGCUGAGCAUGCAGUUGAUGGUGGCAACAUUCAAUAACUACCAGGAGUUGGUAGAUAGGGUGCUCAUGAUUGAAGGCAAGCAGUAACAGAUUGAUAAUCGCAAAAGGAAGUAUGGAUAGGGGAGGAACACUUCAGGAGCUCAGCAGAAGCCCCGCUAUUCCCCGUACUCAGGAGGACAUAACCAUAACCAUGGAGGACAUACACACAAUGGAGCUAGUUCGCGCAACCAUAGUGGCCCCAAGAAUGGCAAUGGGAAUGGAGGAAGCAACAGCAGAACCGUUCCAACCCUUCAAUGCCAGCCAAGAGGGAUCUGAGCCACAUUACCUGUUGCAAGUGCUAGAAGACCGGACAUUAUGCUACUGAAUGUCCUGAAACCAAGAAUGGAAAUGGAAACGGAGGUUCUGCCAAGAAUCCCAACCCCUUCACCAAAGGUCAGGUGAACCACGUCAGCAUGGAGGAGAUUGAGGAUCAACCCGACGUAGUUGUCGGUAAGUUUUUGAUUAAUGCAUUUACCGCACUUGUUCUUUUCGAUACUGGUGCAUCGCAUUCAUACAUAUCAUGGGGAUUUGUGGAUAAGUAUAACCUACCAACCAUAGACCUUAAGUAACCUAUGUUAGUAAGUUCCCUAGGAGCAGAGUAUAUGGAUAGUAGGGGAUGCUAUCAGUUGCCACUAACCAUAGGUAGACAUGUUUUCCCUAUCGACCUGAUUGUUCUGGAGUCACAAGGAUUGGAUGUGAUACUAGGAAUGGAUUGGCUAUCCAAGUUUGAAGGAAAUAUCAUCUGCGCCAGUAAAUCAAUUCUUCUCACCACCCCAUAAGGAAAGAGGAUCAAGUAUGUAUCCUGGCAUGUGCCGACGUGGACUCAAGUGAAUUCCUUAUCAAGAGUUGUACAGGAGGAAGUACCAGUGGUGAAGGAUUACCCCGACGUAUUUCCGGAGGAGUUACCAGACAUGCCAUCAGAUCGAGACAUUGAGUUUUUGAUUGAGCUAUUUCCAGGCACCGGACCAAUAUCAAAGAGACCAUAUCGGAUGUCCACAAAGGAUUUGGAGGAAAUUAAGAUGCAGAUAAAGGAGUUACUGGAAAAAGGUUACAUCCGACCAAGUUCAUCACCUUGGGGAGCCCUAGUACUUCUAGUGGAGAAGAAGGAUGGAUCUUUGAGGAUGGUUGUUGAUUAUCGUGCACUGAAUGAGGUGACGAUUAAGAACAUAUACCCUCUGCCAAUGAUCAAUGAUUUUUUUGACCAGUUGCAAGGAGCUAAAGUUUUCUCCAAGAUCGAUUUUCAAUCAGGUUAUCACCAGUUGAAGAUUCGAGAGGAGGAUAUACCUAAGACAACUUUUACCAUAAGGUACGGGCUAUAUGAGUAUACCAUUAUGUCAUUUGGCUUGACUAACGCGCCUGCCUAUUUCAUGAAUAUGAUGAACAAAGUGUUUAUGGAGCUUAUGGAUAAGUUCGUCGUGGUGUUCAUAGAUGAUAUAUUGGUCUACUCAAAUAAUGAAGAGGAGCAUAAGGAGCAUUCGCGUUUGGUUCUUGAGAACCUUAGAGAACAUAAGUUGUAUGCCAAAUUCAGCAAAUGCGAGUUUUCGUUAAAGGAAGUUGGAUUAACUCGGACAUGUUAUAUCCGGAGAAGGAAUAGCAGUAGAUCCUACCAAGGUUACCUCUAUAACUAAAUGGGUGGCACCCACAUGAGUUGGAGAGAUCAGGAUUUUUUUGGGACUCGCAGGUUAUUAUCGGAGGUUUAUUGAUAAUUUCUCCAGAAUUGCAAAGCCCAUGACAGAGUUAUUGAAGAAGGACACCAAGUUUAAAUGGACUGAGGAGUGUGAAGCCAGUUUUCAGGAGUUGAAGAAACAUUUGGUUACAGCCCCAGUGCUAAUUCUCCCAGACCAACGUAAGGAUUACCAAGUGUAUUGCGACGCUUCACAUCGAGGACUUGGAGUUGUGCUUAUGCAGGUAGGAGAAGUUGUUUCAUAUGCCUCACGUCAGCUUAAACCUCAUGAGCAGAAUUAUGCUACACAUGGCUUGGAGUUAGGAGUCGUAGUGCAUGCGCUAAAGACAUGGAGAUAUUUUCUCAUCGGAAACCAUUGUGAGGUAUACACGGAUCAUAAGAGUUUGAAGUACAUCUUCACGCAGAAGGAGUUGAACCUCAUGCAAAGGAUAUGGUUGGAGCUCAUAAAGGAUUAUGAUAUGAAAUUGCACUAUCAUCCCAGAAAGGCCAAUGUAGUAGUUGAUGUGUUGAGCCGCAGGAGUUAUGUCAACACGCACAUAACUGGAGGAUUCCCUAAUGAUUUAGCUGAUGAUAUUCGAGAGCUUUGCCUGGAUAUAGUUCCGAGGGGUUAUGUUGCAACAUUGGAAAUUAAGUCCACUCUUUUGGGCAAGAUCAGGGAAGCCCAGAAUACUGACAAGGAGAUUGCCGAAAUAAAGGAAAGGAUGUAAAGGAAAGGAUUUCGUGAGGAUGAGCACGACACCUUAUGGUUUGAGGAUCGCAUAUAUGUGCCUAAUGACCCCGAGAUCAGGAAGUUGAUUCUGAAGGAGGCCCAUGAUUCACCAUACUCGAUUCACCCAGGAAAUACCAAGAUGUAUUUGGAUUUGAAGGAAAGUUUCUGGUGGAUAGGAAAGAAGAAGGAUAUAGCCGAGUAUGUAGCAGUAUGUGAUGUAUGUCAGAGAGUCAAGGCAGAGCAUCAGAAGCCACAUGGAUUGCUACAGCCAUUGCCGAUACCCGAAUGGAAGUGGGAUAAGCUUGGCAUGGAUUUUAUCACUAGAUUACCCAGGACUCGUUCAGGCUAUGACUCUAUCUGGGUUGUAGUCGACCGUUUUGGAGUGUGCCCACUUCGAGGAGUGAAACGUUUUGGAGUUAAGGGAAAGCUAGUACCACAUUUUGUGAUGAAUUUUUUGAUAUAUUAUACGGUUUUUUUCGACAUCGUAUGCAAAAGAUAUGACAGUUUUACUUUUUCAUAACACUUUUUUGCAAAACAUGUCCAAAUUUAAGUUUUUAAAUUUUCCUAACUAGUAGAUGUAGUAACAUAACUACAUCUCGAAGGAUUUUAAUUUUUGAAGUUUUUAUCAUUUUCUUUUGUUUUUUACAAAACUGAAAUGCGGAUACACGGGGGGAGGGGGGUGGUAGAGUUUGAAAAUUUUCCUUUAGUCCCGGUUUGUGUCUCCAACCGGGACUAAAGGUUAGACCCAUUUUGUCCCGGUUUGUGAGACAAACUGGCACUAUAGCUUAGACCUUUAGUCCCGGUUUGUGUCACAAACCGGGACUAAAGGGGCUCGUGGGGCCCCGGCCUGAUGCCAGCCUGCCACCACCCCUUUAGUACCGGUUCAUGCCCCGAACCGGCACUAAAGGUUCAACACGAACCGGGACUAAUGCAUAGCCGUUCGAACCGGCACUAAUGGUCACAUUAGUGCCGGUUAAUUUACAAACCGGGACUAAAGGGCUGAACAUUAGACCCUUUUUCUACUAGUGUGUUAAGCAUCACAACUCCUCGCCAAACUGAAUCUACUAAGUUCCAUACAAAUUUAGCUCGAUUUAUGUACAUAUAUACAAUGUGAAGACUAUAGUGAAGUUGCUUGUUCACUAAAUUCAACACACAAUGGACAGGAUACUGUAUGCCGCCUGGUUUAUAGAUAGCUAUUAAAGUUUUAUCAUUUGAGCAUCCUCAUUCAAAUUAAUAUGUGCUAACGAUACUAUUGAGGCUUCUAAGAUUUAAGUGCCCAAACUCGACUUUUGUAGAUAAACAUAGCAGUACAAUUUUUUGCAUAGGUACACAAAAUCUUUCAACAUAUGAUUUGAUUCCAUUGUGUAAUUUGGCUGAAAAAUUUGAAUAGCAAGUGGCAUAAGAGCUAAUGCAAGGAAGAAAAUCAUGUCCCGGGCAUUUGCAUAGGCCGGCUCAAACUUGCCAAAUGUAGCAAGUUUUUUAUGCAAAUUCCAAAUGAUAUUUAAUUUAUCAAAAAUAAUGAAAUCUAGUUCAACGUUUCAGGCCUGAAGCAAACCUGAAACAUGUAUAAUUCUUAUCCUCCUAAUCUUUGCAGAACCAGCAAACAUGGGCAAUAAGAACCGAAAAAAUGAAGCCCUCUAUUUAGUCUGCAACACAUAAAUCCUUUAUGCCCAAUGUACAAAAAACAAAAUUGCAUCGAGUAAAUGUAACAGAAGAGAAAAAUAAGAGAUAUGUGCAGAAACAGAAAUCGAACAUAUCCUGGCAAACACAACAUCUCGCCGCUUAGACAAAUUCUAGACGUACUUCUGAGGUGAAGAGAGAACGUGGAUUUAGAAGGAGGAGAGCAAAGACCCAGGGAUGGGGGCAAGAAACAGAGUUCUAAUGCCUAUGGAUCUACAUCCCCUCUAGAUAUGUGUCUUGGUGUCUGAUCUCGUGGCUGUGGGGCUCGUGGUGGCCAGAGAUGCCCUGCAGCCUGCUAUGGUGCUAUAACUAAAUCAAAUGCCAUUGACAGCAUGGAGCUAUGUCAGGAGUGUGGCGGCCCUCUUGGACAUCAGCGCGCGCCGUAGGAUGCUGGUGCAUAGCGGUGGGCGCCGCUGUCGAGAUGAAGGUUGGGGGAGGUGGGAUGGGUGCCCCUGGGCAUGCUAAAUAAAGGAGGCUGGGAGCUGGCCGGGCGCCUCCAUUGGUGUUAGGCUGCUGCCAAUGCAUGGGUGCUUAGAUGAGGUGCUAUGCACAUUAAAUAGCUUAGCAACUAUACUCCCCAAUGCACAGGUGCUUAGCUUAUGGUUGCUAAGCUUGCUUCAUUUAAUGAUUUAGCAACUAAAGCUCUUCAUGUAUUGGUGGGCUUCCUUCCUUUAAAUGUUUUGCCUAGGUUCACACGCUUAGCAUUGUUUCUUCCUGGGUCACCACACUCAUCUCUCCUCUUAAAUAACUUGCCACAUCAGAUUUUUUGCCUAUGUGGAAGGCUUAGCACCUGUACAAGGUGGAGCAUUAGGAGGGGCCUUAAUGGAUUUUUAGCAAUGAAAACAUUACUCCUCGCUUGAAUACCGGUGAACGAACUCCAAUCACCCACUAUGCCGCAUCGCUGCCCAUUAAUGUGUCGCUAUCUCUUCACAUCUCCUGCACACCGCCCUUCCCAAAGCAGACGCUCUUUCUUGCGAUUUCGUUGUGCUGAGCAGGCCGAUGUUAAAUCACAGAUGAUGGCAAGCAAAUAUGUUAUGGUGAUCUUAAAUGGACUUCUUGCGGGAGAAGGGUACGAUUAAGCAUAAACCACCGAUUUUGUUACAGAGUAACAGCCCAUGAGGCAUCUUGUCCACUUAGUGCUAUUUAAAAGUAUCUUACGGCCAAAACGACCACCACGAAAUGAUCCAAUGGUUAGGAACGGUGGUGGCCUGAGAGGGCAGGAAAUUUGCUCAGGUAUAAUGUAUCUCUAUGUCCUUCCCACGGUAUUGAGCACGGACAUUUGUUGUGCUUGGACUAGCGCCCUUAACGUGCACACUAUUCGGAUAGACUUUGCUGGUUGCCACCCCCAUAUCUCUGGGACAUAGAGUAGUUGUGACUUUCACGGUGCUCGGUGAUGUACCAGCUAUUUUCAUACCCAUGUAGCAACCGCACCAAAACAGGGCACUCACACCUACAUGAACUGUUGUUUACUGACUCUGGCUUCCCCUGCACACCAGAUAGCACAUGCCAUGGUCAGUGCAACUAAAUUAGUGAUGGGAGCCCCACAAAUAAAAGGACAAAACAGAAGAGAGUGGCGUUUUGGCACAUGGGAGCACGCGUUCCUGAUUUUUAAAAUUUAUUUUAAACAUACUUUCACUACAAGAAAUAUGUCAACUUAUGACCACCACUAUUGGUCACUGAAAGGUCACAAAUUUCCAUUUAUGACCUUUUUGUGACCAAAAACAGAAGGUCAAAAGCUGGCCGUCGUAAACUGACUAUAGCGACCUUUCUUCUGGAAUGGUCAAAGACGUUUACGACCAAAAUAUUCCUACUGUGGCGUUUUGGUCACUAGCAACCUCCCCAGGCCACGUAGGCAUCCAGCGUGGCAAGCUGAUGUGGCACAAGAUUCAGCUCGGUCCGAUUUGGUGUUCUACAUGGGCCGAGCCCAUUAAUUCGGCCUUUUUAAUAUUUAUUUUUUCUGUUAAUUUUUGCUAGCUACAUGGGCCUGGCCCAACAAUUCGAUUCUCUAGACUGAUGUCUUUUGUUGUACAUUUCUUUUUUGGGCCUUGACCAUAUUUUCUAGGCCCUGGCCUUUCAACGGUCCAUUUCUUUUCAAAUUUCAGCCUUUGUUCCAACCAAUAUAUUUUAGGCCUUUUUUCAAAGCCCGAAUAGAUUUGGUGCAAUAGGCAUUUCGGCCAAUUUUCUUUUGGGCUAUAUAUUUCUUUUUCUAGCCACUUUUAGUCAAGAAAUGAAUUUCAAGUGAAUAAAAAGUAAUAUUCUGAGUUCAGCGAGCAAGUAUACAUCAAGUUCAGCGAGCAAAUAUACAUCAAAUUCCCAGCAUGUUUAGCAGUACAUCAAAUUUCUCAAGAAUAUUAGCAUUACAAAUUCAGUAAUAUAUAAAGCAAGUUGUUGACUGGGCUUCGGGCUUCUUCAAAUGUCUUCAGCCCAGAACUCCUGUAAAUGAGAGGAAUAGUCACAUGUUUAUAGUCUUAAUAUAAGCAAUAUUUGCUAACAACAAAACAGAACAAUUAAUCUAAGAACCAUGCAAGAACCUAGGUGUCCAAAUCAGAUUAUGCAACAUCGAUUGACACUAAAGACAUAAAUAGUCACCAGAUGGGCAUCAAAUCAUCACAAUAGUUUCUCGACAGAUGAUAAAAAAAGAACAGAAUGUAGAUGGCAGUGAGUUAAGGAAGCACCACAAUAACAGAAACAUGUUGUCAGUGGAAUGGAUGGUAACACAAACAUCUACUCUGCCCUGCUGUAACAAACAUGUACUUGACUCCUUACAUACACCAGUGCAAGUGUUUUUCACAUGUUACUACUUGAUUCGACUUUAUACAUAUAAAUAUACAUGACAAUAAACUUGCAUAAAGAGGCAUCUAGUCUAGCAUUAGACUAACUUACUGGUAUAAAGAGACAUGGAUAUUCAUGGUAGUUGUACUAGAAAAAACUAACUGAACCAAUGUCUCCAUAGAUAUCAUAGAAUCAGAACAGAUGAAGCUGACAACAUAAUAUAACCAGAAGUCAAUUGUAGCUACUCAUAUUUUGUGUGUCCAAGUAGGUACCGAUGAAAGUCACAAUAUCCUGUAAUUGUUGAAUGACUCGUGGUACAGCUUGCAUUGUUAAAAUGCAAUGAACCAUGAUUUUAGUUACACAUAUGGUUAAAGAAACAAACUUAAGGAUUUAGUUAGAAUCUCAUAUCACCCAUGAUCCACUGAUUUCAACUGGUAUUGUAUCUUACAAAUCGAACUGAAGAAGUUCAUUUCUAGCCCAACUAUAAUCUCAGGCCAACUAUUGUAAGAUGCAGGGAGCAGAGAGCUCACCAUGGCUGUCAUGUAGCCGACGUGGAAGAGGCAGCAUGUCCGUCCAAGCAGGAUCAGCAGCACCAGCGGACGGGUCUGGGGUUGUCGCCGCUCCUCCUUGUGGAUGCCGAGGUCGGAGACGCCGGAUCCGUACGGGCAUCCACCUCCCAUCCUUGCAAUUAAAACUUUAUAUGUGAGAAUUCAAUUUUAUCAAUCUCUGAACUCUAGUCUAGUCUGAUUCCUGAUUGGGGAUAUGAAUCAGCAGAAGAAAAUCAAGGGGCCCUGCCCUCCCACUUUCCUAGAACAAAAUGAGUACAUGAGCAACAACUAUAUAGAACUGAUGAUGCAUGUACUACCUAGGAAAGAGCCACCAGCAGUAUGAUCACUUGAAGACCGAUCUUGAUGCAUUUCGCAACCUACAUAGCACAUUCAUACUGUUAUGUUAUUGUUAUCCCCACUGGUGUCAACUACAGCCAGACAAAAUUCAGAAGUGCAGAGAUUUUUCAUUUGUGUAUGCACAAGUAGAAGGCUUACACUUGGGAAUCCAAGAUCGUAGAGCCCGAAUCCGAGGGCGAGGAGGUUCAGGGUGUGUUGGUGCUAAUGCCGGAGCUUCCGCUGGGAACUCCAGCGGCACCACCAUUGGUGGCUGGUCUCCGGCGCUUCCUUUCUUCCCGGGCAAGAAGACAGACGAGACGAGGAGGAGCAGCGGUAGUUCGAUGUGUGUUGGGUGGCCUGGCUGUAGCAUGGCGGCGGACCUGGACAUGGACCAAUUAAGAAUGAACACUGGUAAUGAGAUACAGCAAAUACAAAUGGUUCAGAAUAACACCAAGACAUUCAGUACUGCAAGAAAUUUCUGAAACUUCAGUUGCAGUAGUUGUCAAACAAAAUAUCAGUCCAGUAACCUCCAAAUUAAAUUAAAUUAUGAUGGUUUACUGCAAGUAAGACUAGCAUAUAGUAGUUUGUCUUGUACAUAAUGCUUCUAAUCAAAGUAAGCAUUGUCAUGCAUGCAAAUAUUUUAUGGAGUAUGUGACCAUUAGAAUGCAUACGUGUGUAGGGGAGCUCCCUCGGCAUCGUAGCUAUCAUGUUUUACCAAUGAAACAAAAGGUUACAGGGAGCUUUUAAGUAAAAUCUGUUUGUGCACACAGCAAAUCUGAGAAUGUGAGAUCGGUAUGCUCUCUACUAGUCUCCAGUGAGCUGAUCCUGCUAAUCUAUCUACGCAACGGUGGUGAGAGAUGGAGAUGCCAGUAGAAGGAACUAGCAACCAUACCACAUGCAAGGCCAAGACGGAUAGCACUGACAACAGGUAUGCAUCAAUGGGCAUGCAGCACAAGAUGGAUAUCUGCAAGUCUUUCUUCAGAAGAGGCAUUGUAACUAGACUACUGCUUACUACUUAACCCAAAACUGAAUCAUGAAACAAAUCUUACCAUCAAUGCACUGUAGGCAGGAUCUUUCUCAGGCAGGUACGGUGGUCAUCUCUCUUUCAGCUGGAUUUUCUUAGCCCACAGUCUGGUCGCUGAACAACCACUUCUUUAGCGUUUUCUUGUCACUGCAGGUGUGGAGGAAGUUCAUCAACAGAAGAGUACCUAAGAAGAAGAAUCAUGCAUCGGGAAUCAAUCAAAUCAACACCAAAUCGAAUCAGGAAGAAGAAUCGAGUGCUCACAUAGGUAGUUGCAGUGCUCCUGCACCUCCUCAAUGUCGUACUGCGUCAGCAUCGCCCAGGUUCAUCUUGUUGGCGUGGAACUGGUCUGCUCACGCCCAGGUGAUGCUUGUACGCGGUUUGCACAGGAGGCAGGCCUAGAUGCCCUCGUUCCACCGUGGUGAGGACGUCGCCUUCCACCAUGGUGCCCAGGCCGUCGGUGCAGAUCUGGCACACGCCCCCGGCCCCAUGCCUCGGAGACGGCGGGGACCUUUACGAAGAACUCGGAGACGGCGGGGACCUUGACGACGAACCCCGCGGCAGGAUCCCAGACCUGGUGGGAGAGGACGGCCUUGGCGCUGGUGCCGGGCGGGAGCGGCGGGUGGAGCUGCGCCGGAGUUGGUGCGGGCGCGGGGUAGCAGGUCGCGGGUGCGGCCCCGCGGAGCGAGACCCUCCUGGCCGCGGCGGCGCGGCCCUCGACGCCGCGAAAGCGGACGCCAAGAAGGGCAACCCGCCGCUGGAUCCGGGCGGGUGAGGCAGAGGCCUUGAGCGCGAACAUCGACGGCGGAGGAAGGGGACGGUGGAUGGGGGGGCUUGGAUAGGAUCUGGAGAGAAUNNNNNNNNNNNNNNNNNNNNNNNNNNNNNNNNNNNNNNNNNNNNNNNNNNNNNNNNNNNNNNNNNNNNNNNNNNNNNNNNNNNNNNNNNNNNNNNNNNNNNNNNNNNNNNNNNNNNNNNNNNNNNNNNNNNNNNNNNNNNNNNNNNNNNNNNNNNNNNNNNNNNNNNNNNNNNNNNNNNNNNNNNNNNNNNNNNNNNNNNNNNNNNNNNNNNNNNNNNNNNNNNNNNNNNNNNNNNNNNNNNNNNNNNNNNNNNNNNNNNNNNNNNNNNNNNNNNNNNNNNNNNNNNNGACCACGGGACAGAGCUAGGGUUUCGGGGACACAUCCAUGUUUGGUGCGGGCCGUUGGAUCCAGGGGAUCCGACGGUGAUUUACCCAUGAUCCGCGUGAGAGGCCCUUGGACCAAUCAGAAUGCAGUAUACAGGUAUGAUAUUUUGACCAUUUAAAUUGGUCAUAAUCGACUAAAAUUAUGUGCUAAAUCGUGUUAGCUAUUUUAUUAUGACCUGAAAAUUAAAAAAAACGUUUUAUUGCAUCAGCAAAUUUGACUAUUGUUUUCAGGAAUAAUCAUAAAUUGAAAUAAGAUAAUUAAUUUUUUAAAGAGUUAUGAGAAAUGAGUUCUUUUAAAUUAUUUUUUCAUUUUUUGAGUGUUUGAAAUGAGCUUUUUUGUGAAGGACCUACCAAAUAUUUAUUGCAAAAUUGUACCAACUCAAUUUUCUAAAAUACUAGGACAUAUUUAAUGCACAAUUGACCAAAUGGUUGGGUGUGAGAAGCUUUGAUCCACCUCUGGUGAAAAAGACAAAUUUCCAUCGAUUCAGCAGGAAGCGGGUCAAAUUUGAACUGUAGCUGCCUUCUAGUUGGCUCUUUUUUUUCCAAAAAUCAUUUCUAGAUACAUAAGUACCUAUUUAAUCAGAGAAACACUAAUAAAAUUCCAAGAUUCAACCACUAGCUAGAAACGGUCAUUCCCGCCGUUUUGACCGCAUUUUGAAAACAGGCAUAAAAAAUUCAAAAAAAAUCAAAAAAUUGGGAAACCUUCGCAUUGUGUCAUUAUAUGUGGCCAAGUUCCGAGUAAAAAUAACAAACUUGUAAUACGGCGAAUAUUUAAAAAAAGUGUUCUCAGAAACGAGCUAUCAAGUGUGAAGAUGAAUGGCUUUCAACCCAAAUGCUCAAUCUUAUGGCCACAUACAUGGCAUAGUUUGUUCAAAUGAUCUCAUAUUGUGCACAAGGGUGCAUAUUGGAAUGACAAACAAUGUUUCUUAAGGAAGUUUUCAUUUUCUUUGGACGAAAAAUUCAUUUUCCAUUUUUCGAGUGCCCGAAAAGAGAUUUUUUUGUGAACGGCCUACCAUAUAUUAGUUGCAAAAUGGUACCAAGUCAAUUUUGUAAAAUACUAGGACAUAUUUAAUGCACAAUUGACCAAAUGGUUGGGUGUCAGAAGUUUUGAUCCACCUCUUGUGAAAAAGACAAAUUUCCGACGAUUCAGCUGGAUGCGGGUCAAAUUUGAACUGCAGCUGCCUCAUAGUUUGCUAUUUAUUUUUUCCAAAAAUCAUUUCUAGGUACAUAAGUAUCUAUUUAAUCAGAGAAACACCAACAAAAUUCCAAGAUUCAACCACUAGCUAGGAACGGUCAUUCCCGCCGUUUUGACCGCACUUUGAAACGGGCAUAAAAAAUUCAAAAAAAUCAAAAAUUUGGGAAACCUUCGCAUUGUUUCAUCAUAUGUGGCCAAGUUCCUAGGAAAAAUAACAAACUUGUAAUAUGGAAAUUAUUUUAAAAAAGUGUUCUCAGAAACAAGCUAUCAUGUGUGGAGAUCAAUGGCUUUCAAGCCAAAUGAUCAAUCUUAUGGCCACAUUCAUGGCAUACUUUGUUCAAAUGAUCUCAUAUUGUGCACAAGGGUGCAUAUUGGAAUGGCAAACAAUGUUGCCUAAGGAAGUUUUCAUUUUCGUUGGACGAAAAAACCAUUUUCCAUUUUUCGAGUGCCCGAAAGGAGGUUUUUUUUUGUGAAGGAACUACCAAAUAAUUGUUGCAAAAUUGGACCAAAUCAUUUUUAUAAAAUACUAGGCCAUAUUUAAUGCACAAUUGACAAAAUGGUUGGGUGUAAAAAAAAUUGAUCCACCUCUCGUGAAAAAGACAAAUUUCCGCCGAUUCAGCUGGAAGCGGGUCAAAUUUGAACUGCAGCUGCCUCAUAGUUUGCUAUUUAUUUUUUCCAAAAAUCAUUUCUAGUUACAUAAGUAUCUAUUUAAUUAGAGAAACACCAAAAGUUUUCCAAGAUUCAACCACUAGCUAGGAACGGUCAAGCCCGCCGUUUUGACCGCAUUUUGAAACGGGCAUAAAAAAUUCAAAAAAAAUCAAAAAAUUGGAAAACCUUCUCAUUGUGUCAUUAUAUGUGACCAAGUUUCCAUUAAAAAUAAUAAACUUGUAAUACGGUAAUUAUUUUAAAAAAGUAUUCUCAGAAAUGAGCUAUCAAGUGUGAAGAUUCAUGGCUUUCAAGCCAAAUGGUCAAUCUUAUGGCCAGAUUCAUGGCAUAGUUUAUUCAAAUGAUCUCAUAUUGUGCACAAGGGUGCAUAUUGGAAUAGCAAACAAUGUUGCCUAAGGAAGUUUUCAUUUUCGUUGGACGAAAAAACCAUUUUCCAUUUUUCGACUGCCCGAAAGGAGGUUUUUUUGUGAAGGAACUACCAAAUAAUUGUUGCAAAAUUGGACCAAAUCAUUUUUAUAAAAUACUAGGCCAUAUUUAAUGCACAAUUAACAAAAUGGUCUGGUGUAAAAAAUUUUGAUCCACCUCUCGUGAAAAAGACAAAUUUCUGCCGAUUCAGCUGGAAGCGGGUCAAAUUUGAACUGCAGCUGCCUCAUAGUUUGCUAUUUAUUUUUUCCAAAAAUCAUUUCUAGUUACAUAAGGACCUAUUUAAUCAUAAAUACAUGGUUUGGUGGCGAUAUGUCGAGGUUUGGGCGGUGGCCGAGGGCCCCAACUCUAGAGCGUGUAAACUUGCAUGCCCGCCGCGUGGUCACCGCGUGACCGUGGCGUUGCCAUGUGUUCUGGGCGGCCUAGGCAUGUCUAGUGGGUUGGGCACUCCCCAGGUUGGUGCUAGGAAGAAAAUUACAACAUAAGAUUCUCACGAGGAGACCAAUCGAUGCUCAAACAUGAAUUAGCAGCCAAGUGUUUGAUUAGCGGUACGGGAAAUGUACAUGGCUAAUGGGCGUGAGUUUUGGCUGAGGAUGAUCAGUUACUAAGAAGACCGUUUUCACAAAUUUUUAGCUCAAAAGGAGGAGCCUAGGUGGUACUUGCUUUGCAAACCACCACACUGGACAUAAAAUACGAAUGUUGAAGCUCGGCUCAAAAUAAUGAAUGGAUUGAGCUGGCAUUUGGUGGAGGAUGGUUAUUUGGGCAUAGGAAAGCACUGUAGAAAAUGGAUACUAUUUGGACAUGCCAAAGUGGUAAUUCCUUCACAAACUGUUGUUCUGAACAGAAUAGGAAAAUGAAUAUUUUUGAAUUAGUUUUGAACUAGGCAAGGAAGAUUUUUACAUAUUUGAUGAAGAUAUGACCCAAGGAAUUUAUGAGAUUUUUCUGGGAAUUUUGGGAAUGACAGAAAUAUAGGUUGCUUCACAACCUAGGGCAAAAACUGCCACAUGGACAUGACACAUAGGCAAAACUGAUGAGGUGGCGCCUAGUCAUAGCAACCCACCACAAUUUACAAGGCUAUGACCAUCUAUAUUGGUCGUUAACAACUAGAAAUAAGGCAGCGGACUAGCGUUGUUUGCUUUAUGACCAUUUCGUGUAAGGAAAUUACGACCUUUCUGACCAAAAUGGUCGCAAUGGUUUAGGGUUUGGAGCCCCCCAAACAGCUUUUGACCAAUUGGUCUAAAAUGGUCAUAAAUUUAUGACCAAUUCUUCGAGGGUCACUGACAGAAGGUCAUAAGUUGACAUAUUUCUUGUAGUGUUUGAAAUGUCAAACAAAAUCAAACAAAAACUUGGCGCGUACAUCUCGAUAUUAUACAUGCUCACAAAGUUGUUUCGCGAAAAACCGAUAGCUCACGUGUCGCGUGUGAAAAAGACAAAAACCGGUGUUAAAAAAUGCUUUUCACAAGACAUCCUUUUGUCUUUUUUUACGCAAGCCACAAAAAAUGUCGGUUUUCUCCGAAACUUGACAUGCACACAUAUAAUGUCGAGAUGUAUGCGCCAAAUUUUUGUUUGGAAUUUUUUCACACGUUGAAAUACUUGUUCGUGUGCAGGAGCGCGCGCUCCCGGGAGCACCAACGGAUAUCUGCAGAAUAGAUAAGCAGAAGGCACUACACGCCAAGAAGCCACAAAUGAUUUCCUGCAUCGAUUUGGUCAUCUUAGCGUUCAAUCUAGUCUUACAAUACCUAAUCCCAAACCCAAUCUCCCACGAAUACAAGUUGUAGAUGUCGUGCGCCUCACCUAGCGAGUAGCGAGUCGAACCCAGUCCCAGUUCUGGCUUGAUUACACUCUCCCUAGACUCCUCUGCACAUUUCCAAAUCGACUGCUCGAAUACCCUGAUCCUACAUGGACAAGGCCUUCUGUCCCAUGGUGAAUUCCUGAGGCGUAACCUGCUUUUUUGGCAACAUAGUCGAUUGGAUAGAUGCAGGCUUACCUCUUUUGUCCAUCCUGGUCCUCCGGAUUGACCCUAUCAGUGGACGCGGACCGCGUCGAAGACGCCUUUUGUCACCGGCUUCCUUCGCCACCUUGCUGCCCGCACCCAGACCCAACAUUGGAGUUCCCCGGCUCAGUCGGGUGGUGAAAGUGCAACUAUCCCUAGGUGGUUUUGGUAAUUGAUAACAACAUAUAGCUCAUUGAGCUCAUGCUAUUCCAAGACUAUUAUUUCAGGAAAGCUCAAUGAAUGGCAUGGCAUGGAUGAUGAAAGUGGAUCCCUCAAAAUACUAAGGACAAAGGUUUGGCUCAAGCUCAAAAGCUCAAGACUCUUCAUUUUAUAUUUUAGUGAUCCAAGAUCACAUUGAGUCUAUAGGAAAAGCCAAUACUAUCAAGGAGGGAUGAGGUGUUGCUUAAUGAGCCUCUUGCUUCAUGUGCUUUGUGAUAUGCUCCAAAACCCUCAGCUACUUUCCCACAUCCACAAAUGACCUAAACCCAAAGCCAAAAUCGGUCACACCGAUUAUUCCAAUCCGACGCCACCGAUUCCAAAAAUCAUAGCCACUGCCACAAACCCUAAGCAAAUUGGUCUUACCGAUAGGGAUCUCGGUCUCACCGAGAUGGGAUUGUAAUCUCUCUGUUUCCCUUCGUAACAUUUCGGUCUAACCGAAGUGAGCGAUCGGUCCCACCGAGAUUGCUAUGUAAACUCUCUGUUUCCCUUUUGUAACAUUUUGGUCUCACCGAAAAGAGCAAAUCGGUUCCACCGAGUUUACCUGACCAACUCUCUGGUUAGCUUAUUACAAAAAUCGGUUUCAUCGAGUUUGUGUAAUCGUUCUUAUCAAGAUUACUUUAUGCCCUAACCCUAACCGAAUCGGUCUCACCGAUAUGCAUGUCAGUCCCACCGAAAAUCACUAACGGUCACUAGGUUUACUAAAUCGGUCCGACCGAUUGUGUUGAAUCGGUCCCACCGAGUUUGGUAAAUUGUGUGUAACGGUUAGAUUUUGUGUGGAGGCUAUAUAUACCCCUCCACCUCCUCUUCAUUCGUGGAGAGAGCCAUCAGACUAAACCUACACUUCCAACUUACCAUUUCUGAGAGAGAACCACCUACUCAUGUGUUGAGGCCAAGAUAUUCCUUUCCUACCAUAUGAAUCUCGAUCUCUAGCCUUCCCCAAGUUGCUUUCCACUCAAACCCUCUUUCCACUAGAUCCAAAUCCUAUGAGAGAGAGUUGAGUGUUGGGGAGACUAUCAUUUGAAGCACAAGAGCAAGGAGUUCAUCAUCAACGCACCAUUUGUUACUUCUUGGAGAGUGGUGUCUCCUAGAUUGGCUAGGUGUCACUUGGGAGCCUCCAACAAGAUUGUGGAGUUGAACCAAGGAGUUUGUAAGGGCAAGGAGAUCGCCUACUUCGUGAAGAUCUACCGCUAGUGAGGCAAGUCCUUCGUGCGCGACGACCAUGGUGGGAUAGACAAGGUUGCUUCUUUGUGGACCCUUCGUGGGUGGAUCCCUCCGUGGACUCGCGCAGCCGUUACCCUUUGUGGGUUGAAGUCUCCAUUAACGUGGAUGUACGAUAGCACCACCUAUCGGAACCACACCAAAAACAUUCGUGUCUCCAAUUGCGUUUGAAUCCUCCAGACCCUUCCCUUUACUUUCUUGCAAGUUGCAUGCUUUAAUUUCUGCUGCCUAUAUACUCUUUGCAUACUUGCUUGAUUUGUGUGAUGAUUGCUUGACUUGUCCUAAGAUAGCUAAAAUCUGCCAAACUCUAAAAUUGGGAAAAAGUUAAGUUUUAAUUGGUCAAAUAGUCUAAUCACCCCCCCUCUAGACAUACUUCAAGGUCCUACAAGUGGUAUUAGAUCUUUGGUCUCCAUUUGCUUUGAUUUCCAUAGCUUUUGGUGGUCAUAGCCUUGGUUUCACAACCUAGGAGAGUAUGGCGUCUAGCGAGGGAAAUUAUCACCGUAGAGGUCCUUACUUUGAUGGUACUAAUUUUGCUAGUUGGAAGCAUAAGAUGAAAAUGCAUAUUCUCGGACAUAACCCCGCCGUUUGGGCAAUUAUUUGUAUUAGCUUGCAAGGUGAAUUCUUUGAUGGGAGAGAACCGAACUGUGAAGCGAAUGCAGAAGAAUUGAAGAUGCUGCAAUACAACGCUCAAGCUUGUGAUAUCAUCUUCAACGGAUUGUGCCCCGAAGAAUUCAACAAAAUCAGCCGUCUUGAGAAUGCAAAGGAAAUUUGGGAUACUUUGAUUGAUAUGCACGAAGGUACCGAAUCCGUCAUGGAAUCCAAGUUGGAUGUGCUCCAAAGUCAGCUUGACAAGUUCAAAAUGAAGGAUGGCGAAGGUGUCGCUGAAAUGUACUCUAGGCUUGCACUUAUCACAAAUGAGAUUGCCGGCUUAGGGAGUGAAGAGAUGACCGAUAAAUUCAUCAUCAAAAAGAUCCUAAGAGCAUUGGAUGGAAAGUAUGAUACCAUGUGCACUUUGAUUCAAAUGAUGCCAAACUACAAAGAUCUCAAGCCAACUGAAGUCAUUGGAAGAAUUGUUGCUCAUGAGAUGUCACUCAAGGAUAAGGAGGAACUUCACAACAAGUCAAGUGGUGCUUACAAAGCCUCAAGUGAAGCCCCCACAUAAUCAAGUGAGAAACAAACCUUCAAUGAAGAAUUGAGCUUAAUGGUGAAGAACUUCAACAAAUUCUACAAGAGUAGAAACAAAGAAAGAAGCUCCAAGUCAAGGUCUUAUCAUGAGAAAAGAUCUUCUAGUCAAGAGCGCAAUUGCUACAAUUGUGGGAGGCCUGGACACUACUCCAAUGAGUGUACGUCACCCUACAAUAGAAGAGAAGAUUCUCCAAAAAGAAGAAGCAAAAGAGAAGAAUCACCACCAAGGGAGAGGAGGAGUAGAGAUGAUCGUUAUGAACGAAGACCCUCACGGAGAAGCAAGGAUUCGUAAAGGAAGGACAAGUCAUCAAGGAGCUACACAAAACGAAGACAUCAAGCUCAUGUUGGUGAAUGGGUAUCCGACUCCGACUCCGACAAUCACUCCGAGAGAAGCUAUCACUCUGACUCCAAACAUACUCAAGAUGAAGGUGUUGCCGGUCUAGCACUUGUGUCAACCAACUCCUACGACAUAUUUGAUUCACCAAAUGAAGGAAUUGGAAGAUGCUUCAUGGCCAAAGGUCCAAAGGUAACACAUCCUGAGUAUGUUGAUUUCAAUAGUGAUGAAGAUGACUUGCUUGUGGAUGAUGAUUUACUUGUUGACAACUCUAGUGAUGAAUACUAUGAUGAAACGUCAAUUAAUCGCUAAUCAAGAUAAAACAAAUGACAAUGAUAAGGAGAAGAUUGAGCUUCUAACUAAAGAACUAAACACUCUUAAGUUGGCUCAUGAAACUAUCUUCGAAGAUCAUCGAGAACUUUUAAGGGCUCAUGAGAAGUUACGCUUUGAAAAUCUCAAUCUUGAGAAAGAGCAUGAGUUCUUAAAAGCAAUCAAUGAUGAUCUCCGUAAGAAAAGUUCUUCUUACAUUGCCAAGCGUUUACUCUUAUCUACUUACAUGCCUCAAGUCAAGUCUAGUAACAAGUACAAGAAAGAUACUUCCUCUAGUAGUAACAAUAAUAAUGUUAAAUCCAAUAUUUUUGUUUCUAGUAGUUCUCUUGAUUCCACUAAUGAUUCUCUUAGCCAAGUUACACUUGAGCAAGAAAAUAGUUUAUUGAAGGGAAUUAUAGAGAAAGGUGUUUACAAGAGCCUUGCCGGGAGCAAGCAAUUCAAGGAAAUUGUACGCAAGCAAGGAAGACACCGGAAGAAUCAAGGUGUUGGUUUUGAACAAAAGUUCAAUGCCAAUGGAGUUGAGUGGGAAGAAGAUCAAUACCCCAAGACGAAGUUUGUUCCUCAACAAGAGAAGUAUGAUCCUACUUCCUUCAAGGGAACACAAGCUCAAGAUGAUCUUCCACCACAAGACCACAAGAACAAAGGCAAGGACAAGCUUCAAGAAGAGAUUGAUGCAUUUGAAGAAGCACCUAAAGCCUCGGUCAAGUGGAUUCCCAAGACUACGUCAAGUUCUACUUCAUCAAGCACAACUACAACUCCAAGGAUUCCCAUCAAGAUGAUGUGGAUCCCGAAGAAGAAGAACUAGAGAGUUCUUGAGGGUGACUCCGCCAACAUUCUUCACUCAUAUCUUUAUGGCAAGGACAGGUGCAAUCAACUUCCACAUCUUGCACUAGUUCAAGGAGUCACAAACCCUCAUGUUGGUAAGGCAAGGGACAAGGUAACCUAAUGUUUUCAUGGACAUCAUCUUGUGUGUGCAUCACUCUAUGUCUAUGGAUAUUCUUGUUUGUUCCUUGUGGGACUAACCCAUGUAGGUAAGUUGAAAGUGCAACUCACUCCAAAGGAUUGCUCCAAAUGAUCUACAUCAACAUUGAGCAUCCACAUCUUCAACACGUACAUGAAGUCAUGAUCGGCAAAACCCAAGGUUAGUUCAUCCCUCUAAGGGGGGAUAUCACAUCUAGGGGGAGCUUAACUCUAAGAAUUGAGUCAAAGCAACUCUAAUGGUGUGAACACAUCAAUGCAUUAUGUAAAAGUGGUAACCCCACUUGAGCUUAAACGACGAGUAUGACCUAUGAUCAAAUGUUCUCAUUUGACUCCUAAGUCAAUAUACUCAUAUAUAGAUGACCUAGUCAUCGCCAAUUGUUUGGUAGAUGCUAGAAUUGUUUGUGCAUGCUUUGCCACAUAUUUCAUUUGCCAUUUUAUUGUGUGAGCAUGUUGGUGCAUAUUUUACUCAUUCAAGGACAUCCACUUGUUGUUUUGAUUGUUUGGUUCUUUCUUCUUUUGGCCAAGUGGAUGGACAAGAAUGCAUAAGAACCUUCUCUAGCUAUCUAUGCUUUUCUUGUCUCAAACUCUAUUCAUGCUACAUCACAAAAAUUGAUCAAGUCAGAUUCGAACCACUCUAUGUGAGGAGCACUCGGAGUCCCCGAUUCGUCAUAGACUUAAACUUCCAAAACCUCUUUGUGACUCUCGGUCUGACCGAUUCCUCCAUUUCGGUCCUACCGAGAUCAUUUAGUUGAUCUGAGUUUUCAAUCUCGGUGCAACCGAUUUGAACUUUUCGGUCACACCGAGUUGCUAUAACUGAACACAGUUAUGCAUCUCGGUGCCACCGAGUUGUUCUACUCGGUCACACUGACAGGGUCGGGCUAUAUAUAGUCACGGGCAAAAUUUUGGAAAUUUCUCCGAAUCCCUUCGCUCGUGCAAUAGCUCGCUCUGCCAUCGAAGGUCUCCUUGUUGCCAGCCGCCUCCUGUCGCUGGUCUCCGCCGCCGUCAACGGAAUUCAACCCCACCGUCGCCGCCGUAGCGAGUUCAUCGCCGCACUAGGGUAUGGACUCGAUCUUUGUGAUAUCCACAUCUGAUUCCUAGCAUAGUGUACUCUUAUUGAAUCUUGCCACGAUUGAAACAAUCCUAUCCAGCCAAAGUAGUCCGUAGAGUAGAUUAGAUUCAAAUUUUUAGGGUUAGGUUUCCGCCAAAACCAUCUCGUACCCACCGAGUUGAAAAACUCAGUCUCACCGAUUUGGCUUAUGCCAUUGCACUAGUGACUCUCGGUCUGAUCGAGAAUUACUAAUCGUGCGACCGAUUUUAGGAUUCUGUGAAACCCUAGCAGUCUCGGUGCCGCCGAACUGUGACUCGGUCCAACCGAGUUCAUCAGUUUAGGUUCCAAAAACUACUUCGGUAUCACUGAGUUUGAAAAUCGGUUGAUCCGAGAUGCUUUCUGUGGAAAACUAAAACUGAAUUUUUGAAUCAUUCUUUUGCAAAAAUCUAUGCAUUUGGUGAUACUCAUCCACUCUAUCUCAUCUAUAACUCUUCACAGGGUCAACAGUCAGUUUUUGCAACAUGUCAGACCAGAGUGACAGCCAGAACAGGUCAGCAGAGCAGAUUCAGAUGAGUGAGGGCACUAGUCCCUCCAGCACUUUAGAUGAAGGGAGCAGAAGCACUCCUAGCAACCUGCCUAAGGCUGCUACCAGGCAAAGGAGAAAGAGAACCUCAGACUCAGAAGAUGAGGACUACAAAGCUGAAGAAGAUGAGGCUACUUCCAAGAAAGUGGUGCUCAAGAAGGAAUAUGGCUCAACAAAGGAUACAAAGCCAGGCAUGAAGAUCAAAAGGCCUGCAGGAAGACAACCAAUGUCCAAGGCCAGAGCAUCAACUCAACUUCCUGAAAAGCCUGAUCCCAAAGAACCAGCUGCUGAAGGAAAGAAGAGGAAGGAAAAGGUCAAGAAGACCAUGGCCAGAGUUGUUGGUCAACCUUCCAUGAUGGAAGAGGAAGAGCUUGCUGCACCAGCACCAAAGGCACCAAAGCUUAUGGGUGAUGCUAUUAGAUGAGGGGCUGCAACAACUAAGCCCAAGGAAGCACCCAAAGUUGCCCCCAAGGCCAAGUCUGCACCAAAGAGGAAUACCAGGAGUAUUCCAGCUACUGAGAAGAACAAGGCCCUAGUGCCCGAGGUUGCUGAGGAGGAAGAUGAAGGACAGGUCCUAAGGAAGCUCAAGCCUAAGAUACCAGACCACAAUGAGGCCCAUCCUGUGGCUAAGGACAACAUCAGAAAAGACUCACGAUUGAGGCUAUGGAGGAUGGUAGAUCCAUAUGCCACAAGGAGAAGAACUGCUGUUGAUUACAGGUUCCAUUCAAAGGAACAGCAGGACUUCUAUGAGACAAUCUUAUUGGACAAGAAGCCCAUUGUGUGUGAUAUGAGGUGGGUCGACUGGACCUACAUGAAGGAGAAUGAAGAGCACUAUCCUGGAGUGCAAGACAACUUUGUUGCUUAUGGAGUUGCAGAUUUUGUUGGGCAAAAGCUCACAAACUAGAAUGAUGAACUUAUCAUGCAAUUCUACUCCACAGCACAUUUUUACCUAGAUGGAAGAAUUGUUUGGAUGUCUGAAGGUACAAGGUACCAAUCCACUGUUGAAGAAUGGGAAAAACUAAUAAAUGCCCCAAAGGAAAAUGAUGAUGAUCUGGAUAUAUAUGCCAUGAAGAAAAUGGGAAACAAUACCAUGGCACACAUGUACAAGGAGAUCCCAGACAAAGCCCUAGAGACUUUCUCUUUUGGAUCAGUCCAUUUUCUGUUGUCGGGGCUGCCUACUAUCAAUUGGAUUCUGAGGCACACUCUGUUGCCCAAGUCUGGUGACCACAACAUGAUCAGAGGGCAUGCAAUCAAUAUGUUGCAUUUAUUUGUGCCAUAGAAAUUCAAAGUCAUGAGCCUUAUAGUUGAAACCAUUAAGAGGACUGCAGCAGAUCAGAAGAGGAGCUGUGCAUAUGCGCCUCAGAUUCAGGAAUUGAUCAACUCAAAGAUGGGAACUGGCAAAUAUCUAUUGGAUAGGGAACAUUUUCCACUCUAUCCAGACUUUGAAGACAAUGAGGUUGUCAUGAAUGAGGAUGAUCCAUCAUCAGUUCAAGCUCAAGAGAAAAAGGAGAAGGAAAGGAAGGAGAAGGCUGCCAAGAUGCCAACUCAAGAGGAGGCAUCUGAGUAUUUCUUGAAGAACAAGCAGGAGCAGCUUGGUUACUUGAUAGCAUCAUCUCUGAGGAUUGAGAAGGGAUUGGCCACCCUCACUCAGAAUCAGGAGAGCUUGGAGAGAAUCAUGGAACUCAAAUUUCAUGAUCUUGAUGUCAAGGUAACUGAGAUUCAAACAGUUGUGGAGAAACUGCAGGAUGACAUGCAGGAGAGGAAUGGCAAGACUACCACUAAUGUCUUUGCCAGAGUGCCUAGAGCUCAGAGGCCAGCUGUUGUGCCAGUGCCAGAUACUAGAGCAACAUCUUCAGCACCAGCUACUGCCCCUUUAUCUCCAGUGCAACCAGCUUCAGCAUCAACUCCAGCACCCUCUACAUUAACUGAAGCCUUCGUCCAAGGAGCCAUCUCUACACCACCAACUGAAGAUCAAGCCUGAGAGUCGAUCUAGCACUAUGCAUUUUCUAUGAACUUUUUGGUAACUUGUUGCCAAAGGGGGAGAAAAAUGUAUAGAUCAUAGGCUUCGAGAGAGAGAGUGUGUUGCUUUUAUUCUCUCUUGCUUUGUUGGUUUAAACUUGUUUGUUUUUGAUUGUUUGAGAUACUAUGCUUGUGAGACAUUGAUGAUCAUGUGUUUGAUCAUAAGCUACACUUAUGCAUGUUGGAUGAUAUUAUCCUAUCUAUCUUAUGUGAUCAUUCACUUUGCUUGGUGAUGAGUGCAUGUAUUCAUUACUUAUCAUUUUGAGCGCUCCACCAAGAUGUAUGUGACAUGGAAGAGUAACCCAUGAGCCUAAUUCCUUGUGCAUUUGCAGUCCAAAGCAAAUUUUAAAUUAUGCACAAAUUUAGGGGGAGCUAUUUCUUAUCACAUACUUCUCAAAGCGACGAAGUUAUUCAAUCUUAUUAUCAUUUGUCGAAGCUUUGAUCUACAUGUUGUCAUCAAUUACCAAAAAUGGGGAGAUUGAAAGUGCAACUAUCCCUAGGUGGUUUUGGUAAUUCAUAACAACAUAUAGCUCAUUGAGCUAAUACUAUUCCAAGACUAUUAUUUCAGGAAAGCUCAAUGAAUGCCAUGGCAUGGAUGAUGAAAGUGGAUCCCUCAAAAUACUAAGGACAAAGGAUUGGCUCAAGCUCAAAAGCUCAAGACUCUCCAUUUUAUAUUUUAGUGAUCCAAGAUCACAUUGAAUCUAUAGGAAAAGCCAAUACUAUCAAGGAGGGAUGAGGUGUUGCUUAAUGAGCCUCUUGCGUCAUGUGCUUUGUGAUAUGCUCCAAAACCCUCAGCUACUUUCCCACAUCCACAAAUGACCUAAACCCAAAGCCGAAAUCGGUCACACCGAUUCUUCCAAUCCAGCGCCACCGAUUCCAAAAAUCAUAGCCACUGCCACAAACCCUAAGCAAAUCGGUCUUACCGAUAGGGAUCUCGGUCUCACCGAGAUGGGAUUGUAAUCUCUCUGUUUCCCUUUGUAACGUUUCGGUCUAACCGAAGUGAGUGAUCGGUCCCACCGAGAUUGCAAUGUAAACUCUCUGUUUCCCUUUUGUAACAUUUCGGUCUCACCGAAAAGAGCAAAUCGGUCCCACCAAGUUUACCUGACCGACUGUCUGGUUAGCUUAUUACCAAAAUCGGUUUGACCGAGUUUGUGUAAUCGGUCUUACCGAGAUUACGUUAUGCCCUAACCCUAACUGAAUUGGUCUCACCGAGAUGCAUGUCAGUCCCACCGAAAAUCACUAAUGGUCACUAGGUUUACUAAAUCGGUCCGGCCGAGUCUGUUGAAUCGGUCCCACCGAGUUUGGUAAAUUGUGUGUAACAGUUAGAUUUUGUGUGGAGGCUAUAUAUACCCCUCCACCUUCUCUUCAUUCGUGGAGAGAGCCAUCAGACUAAACCUACACUUCCAACUUACCAUUUCUGAGAGAGAACCACCUACUCAUGUGUUGAGGCCAAGAUAUUCCAUUCCUACCAUAUGAAUCUUGAUCUCUAGCCUUCCCCAAGUUUCUUUCCACUCAAACCCUCUUUCCACUAGAUCCAAAUCCUAUGAGAGAGAGUUGAGUUUGGGGAGACUAUCAUUUGAAGCACAAGAGCAAGGAGUUCAUCAUCAACGCACCAUUUGUUACUUCUUGGAGACUGGUGUCUCCUAGAUUGGCUAGGUGUCACUUGGGAGCCUCUGACAAGAUUGUGGAGUUGAACCAAGGAGUUUGUAAGGGCAAGGAGAUCGCCUACUUCGUGAAGAUCUACCGCUAGUGAGGCAAGUCCUUCGUGGGCGACGGCCAUGGUGGUAGACACGGUUGCUUCUUCGUGGACCCUUCGUGGGUGGAGCCCUCCGUGGACUCGCGCAGCCGUUCCCUUCGUGGGUUGAAGUCUCCAUCAACGUGGAUGUACGAUAGCACCACCUAUCGGAACCACGCCAAAAACAUCUGUGUCUCCAAUUGCGUUUGAAUCCUCCAGACCCUUCCCUUUACUUUCUUGCAAGUUGCAUGCUUUAAUUUCCGCUGCCUAUAUACUCUUUGCAUGCUUGCUUGAUUUGUGUGAUGAUUGCUUGACUUGUCCUAAGAUAGCUAAAAUCUGCCAAACUCUAAAACUGGGAAAAGGUUAAGUUUUAAUUGGUCAAGUAGUCUAAUCACCCCCCUCUAGACAUACUUCAAGGUCCUACAGGUGGGAAUCACUGCAUAACUGGAUCGGGAUGCUCAAACCUGUUCGUAAACUUCUCCGGCAGAGGAAACCUGCAAGACACACCAUGGCUACUGGUGGUGGAAGUGGGAUGAGGGGACAAGGGUUGUACGAAGCACCAAAUCUCAAAAAUUGACAUGGAUGAGGGGGCGGGUUGAUCUGACCGGCUAACAGCAUCCAACAGGAACUCAAGCCCCGCAUCCUCCAUCGCCGACACCGUCGGAACCAGCAGAAGCCGCCGCAAUUAUGGAUGGAGUGGGCUGAUGGGAGGGCGGGUUUGGCGGACCUCCUAUGGGCGGUCUCAAUCCUCGAUUGAUCUACCAAGAAAAGUCCACAAAUUCGUCCGUGUGACGGCUCAGGUUUUUCACGUAACCCUGGGCCACGGCUCAAACAGAAAUUCUCUGUCCUGGCCCACGGAGCAUGAAAUCCUGCGCGAGUCGAGGCUCCCAUCCCUACUUAAUUGGCCCCACACACGGUCGCAUUGUUUCAUGCCGUAUACAAGACGUAUCUUCAUUAUUUGCCGGUGCAUAUUUUCUUGGGAAAAACAUCCAAUAUAUUCAACUUCAAUCAUGGCGGUAAACACUAGAUAUAAUUAAAAUUAUAUACAGAUCCGUAGACCACCUAGCGACGACUACAAGAACUAAAGCGAGCCGAAGGCGCGCCGCUGUCAUUGCCCCUCCCUUGCCGGAGCUAGGCAAAACUUGUUGUAGUAGACAGCCAGGAAGUCAUCGUGCUAAGGUCCUAUAGGACUAGCACAUCAGAACAGCAACCGCCGCCGAUGAAGAGUAGCGUAAAUCGGAAGGAUCCAACCUGAAAACACACGAACAUAGACGAACGACGAACAUAUCCAAGCAUAUCCACCAAGGACAAAUCUACCGGAGACACACAUCCACACGCCCAUCGACAAUGCUAAAUGCACCAUCAGAACUGGGGCUAGGCGAGGAGAGCCUUAUUCCAUCUUAGGGAGCAGCCACUGUAUCGUCUUCCUGAGUUGGACACAAACCCUAACAAAUCACGAAGACACAUCAAAAAACCGAGCCCUCCUCCACCGCGCUCCCAUGACCCUAAGGAAAACCGCAGAUGAGGUGGACUGGCGACAACACCGGUGGGAGGCACGGGAAUCCUAGUUGGGGAGGAGGAGGCGGCCUGAGGAGUCAUGUAAUGUCCUUUCUAGGUUCACCGGUUGGCCCCUUCUAUUCUGUCGAUGCAUACCUGACACGUCAGAACGAAUUGUUGCAAUCCCCAGGCAACAGCGAAUGCUAGAGAUUUCCGGAGCAGCUAAGCUCGAGCACUGAAUCGCUGCGUCCGGGGAGCUAGUAGCCAGACGAGAAACCGAGCGUGUGUAAAGCGCUAAACUACACUGUCCCAACAGAGCGUGCGUGUGAGUGUUGAUGUGCCAACCAACGCCAUAAGCAUGGUAGAGGAGCGCUCCUGCAACUUGUUGCCUCAAAUAGGUGGGAAAACACAUAAGGACACGCACUGGUCGGCCCAUUCAUUUCAUACUGUACCAACUCGAUGGCGAAGAUUUUUUCGGUGUUGUACACUUUCAAGCGCUUUUUUCAAUUAGGGGUUUUCUUUGUCAUAUUUUCAAAAACAUUAGAAAAACGUAUUUAUUGAAAAACUAAGUAUUGAGUUUUUAUAAUAAUUAUACAAAAUGUGAACAUUUUUAAAACAUGAAUGUUUUUCAUAAUGCUAACCAUUUUUUCAUGUUUUGAACAUUUUUUCAAAAACACCAAUAUUUUUUGAAAACACUAAAAAAUUGUGAAAACAUUCAAAUGAAAUUAUACAUUUUGAAAAAAAUAUUCAUAUAUUUAAUAAACAAGAACAUUUUUGAACAUUUUGUGAAAAACCCGAAAAAGAACAAAAGAAAACAAAAAUAAAACCAGCAAAAGAAGAAAACCUAAAAAACCGGAUUCCUUAAUGCAUCAUAAUAAUGCACGACUAUUUUUUAUGAAUAUGUCUUCGAAUCAAAAAUGUCUUUCAUACAUGUGUUUGCCUAUACCUCACUUUUAGUCAGGCAAAAGAACACAAGGCCUCAGGCCCCUGUAUUGUAACCUAGGGAUCCUUCAUUAUGCAGGAAGCCGACUUGUCCAGGGCCUCGUAGGUCGGCUUGUCCAGGGCCUCGUAGGCCUCGUAGGUCGGCUUAUCCAGGGCCAUCAAUCCGGCUCAUGGACCCAAUUAGAGAAAGGCCCGGGGGACUUGGAGUGGGUGACAGGGCGACUAGCGUCCAGGAGAACUCCUCCAACGACCAACUACGAUCGUGUAAUCCUACACCCCGACACCCAUAUAUGUGGCGGCUGGAUUAGUCAAUAGACAGAGAACCUUAGAGCUAUUUCUCAAUCCAUCGAUUAUUGUAAGCCCUAUACACGAGCAAUAUACAGAGCAGGGGUUAGGAUUUUACCUCAUACAUGAGGGUCUGAACCUGGAUAAACCCCUUCUUAUUUCCCAUUUGGUUUAAUCGCAUGGCCAGAGUACCUUAUCAAGUGAUCUGCCGGAAAUAACUCCACCACGUCAUAAAUGGGCUAGGGCCAGAUUUUUUUUCUCCUUUUCUCUUAUUUUGUUUCUACUUUUGGUUCAAUUUUAAAAAUACUGUAAAUAUAUAUAUUUGGAAAUAUUCUUCAUUAAUUAUUAAUAACAUUCACCAUGCCUGAAAUAUUGGUCAUGAAAUGUAAUUAUUUGUUUGCACAAUUUCAGAAAUUGUUCAUAUCCUUCAAAAGAAUAUUCCUAUCAUUUUUAAAAUGUUUGCAUGUUUAAAAAAUGAGUGGUUUUUUAACAAUGUUUAUUAAAAUAUAUAAAAAUUGACACUGUAAUUUGUAAAAAAGUUCAUACCAUUCAAAAAAUGUUUAACAAUUUAAAAAUGUUCAAACAUUUUAAUUUUAAGUAUUUUUUAGUAAACAAUAUUGAAAUAGAAAAAAAAAUUGACGAAAACUUAAAAGUUUAUAACAUAUAAAAAUGUUUGUAAAAUUUUCAAAUAUGUUCAUAAACACUUACGAAAUGUUUGGCACUUUUACGGAUAUGUUGAUGUCUUAAUUUUUUUGAAAACUAUCAAUGAAAUUUACAAAAAUGUUCCUAACAGCCAGAUCUGGACUCAACAAGCCCCCGCGUCCCCUCCUCUGGCGACUCGGGGGCCACCCUACCCGCGCUGCCAGCAGACCUCCCCCACCCCAUCCCCUGCUUUGCCGCCGCCGGAGGGGACGCGGGCUAAGCCGCACAUACUCCAAGGAUGGUGGCGGCGGGGCUCUCAUGGCUGGCGUUCUCGCGAAUCCGGGGCCUCUGCUCAAGAGGACGAUGGGCGUCGGUGGCCGCGUCACGCGACGGAUGCCGCUCGGUGGUCGGCGCUAAGCGCGGAUCUGGGUCGCUCUGCGCGAAGUGAGGGCGGCCGGAGCUCUGGUCGGCGUCGGGGGCACGGUGCCGGCCUCCGUGCUCCGGUGGCCCGCCCUAGAUCAAGAUGCGGCAUCCUGCCCAUGGCCUCGCCUCCUGAUGGUUCUGGGCCAGCCGCGGUUCGCGUCGGGGUGGAUCUGGAGGCUUGUUGGUGAUGCGUUUCGCUGGACUGGCUGAAUCCAAUUAGAUCGGCCCAUGGUCGUCUGGCGUGGGGCAGAGGAGGGUGGUGGUGAGUGGUGCUGGUGGAGGUGGUGGGGGGUGGUGGCAGUGCUGCUGCUGCCGAUCUUGACCUCACUGCCUUCUGUUGGCAUGCGAGCGCAUCGGUUCUGGUCUCCAACGGUUGCGCAGUGGCACACAUGGGGUGUGCCGGUGCUCCUGAUGUAUGCCUGCAGCCCGGACUAUGGUGGUUCCUAGCCUCGGGCAGUGCUCCUCUGCUCCUUGCCAGCAUGGUGCUUGGCAGGGCACGGUGGCACACACUACGUCCGGUGGCCUGCGCUCGGUUGGCUGUUGAUGGAUCUUGUGCCUAGUGCUCAUGUUUGGUCGUUGGUGGUCUCCACAGGGUGUUGUUGGCUCCGGCAGCUUCUCGUGCUUCUUUGUCUUUCGAAGGGUUCGAUGGUGGUGGUGGUCGGUUGUCGUCAUGUUGUAGGGAUGUGCUCAAACUCCGGGUGAGAACCUUACAUCGACUAUGUUGAUGUCGGCAGCAACAACGUCUAUGGCCGUCGUUUUCCUUGCAGGAGGUGCCGUUGUGGAGCUCCAGCACCUACAAUACUUUGUUUUGUGGUCUCCGGGUGAAAACCUAAGAUUGGGCUUGCCAGAUCGGAUGACGGUGUUGUGCCCUCAACAACACUACCUCCUUGGAGGCAUCAUCUUGGAGACCCAAACGACGGCUUCAGUUUGCGGCAUGUGGUUGAGGGUGGUCCGUUUGGUGGUGGUGGUGUGGCCUACUCAGGACCGAUGGUGGUGUGCUCUUCUUCAUGUGUUUCCCUCACUACAAAAAAAAGACACAUCCGUGACAUUUUGAGCCGAAUGAAUUUUUUUUCUGUCAUAUUUAUGACACUUCUAUGACGAUAAUUGUGACAAAACCCGGUAUCAUCAUAGAUGUGGUGGGCUCCUACUUCUAUGACAAAAAAUCAUGACAGAAAAUGGGCUUUUUGUCUUGGGCGGGCCGGAGACGCAGCUGCAUGACAUUCUUUGGGCCAUCCAUGACGGAAAAAACCAUGGUAGAAGUGAGGACGAGGAAAAAUUCGUCGAGUUCCCGGUUACGGUGGGAGGUCGGGGGCCGAGCGAUGCACGUUUAUCUCAUACACGUACGCGCGUGUGUGCGAGGCGUUGGCUCUAACUGAACCCGAGUGAGGCGUUGGGCUCUAACUGAAACCGAGUGAUUGCACUACAGGCUACACAUUACUGAACCCGAGCGAUCGAGCGAUGGCUUUAACUGAAGCCGAUUGAGCGAUUCCUUCGCUACUGCUGCUAACUGAAGCCAAUCGAUGCUGCCUCUGGAUGAACAGNNNNNNNNNNNNNNNNNNNNNNNNNNNNNNNNNNNNNNNNNNNNNNNNNNNNNNNNNNNNNNNNNNNNNNNNNNNNNNNNNNNNNNNNNNNNNNNNNNNNNNNNNNNNNNNNNNNNNNNNNNNNNNNNNNNNNNNNNNNNNNNNNNNNNNNNNNNNNNNNNNNNNNNNNNNNNNNNNNNNNNNNNNNNNNNNNNNNNNNNNNNNNNNNNNNNNNNNNNNNNNNNNNNNNNNNNNNNNNNNNNNNNNNNNNNNNNNNNNNNNNNNNNNNNNNNNNNNNNNNNNNNNNNNNNNNNNNNNNNNNNNNNNNNCCUCGUGGAGGCUGGAUGAACAGGACGACCCCGUGGAGGGCUGGAUGAACAGUAGAAGGUGGAGGGGUGGAUGAACAGGAGCUCGUGGAGAGGGGUGGUUGAACAAUAGCCUUUGGAGUAGCGCGCGGUGGAGGCUGGAUGAACAGGAGCUCGUGGAGGCUGGAGGAGGUCGAUGGUGGAUGAACAGUAGCCCCGUGAGGCUGGAGGAGGUCGACGGUGGAGAUGAACAGUAUCCCGUGGAGUCGUUUUGUGGUAUGCCACACCCCUCCCAAUGAACAAGACCCCCGUUUCGACCGUAGCGCUCCAACACAAGUUCGUUUCAUCCGUUUUGCGGUACGCCACACCCCUCCUGAUCAACAGGACCCCCGUUUCGACCGUAGGAGGUCCGUUUCCUCCGUUUUGCAGUACGCGAGACCCCUCCCUAUGAACAGGAUCCUGUUUCGAACGUGGCUGGUAGAACACAAGGCCGUUUCCUCCGUUCUGCGGUACACCAGGCCUCAUUUCCAUCGCCUGUUCCAUCCAAGCCGGUUGGCUCCCACACGUUCCGUUGCCUCCCGAUGAACACGACGAAUUCCGUUUCCUCCCCAUGAACACGACGCAUCCCGUUGCGUCCCCAUGAACACGACGACGACGCAGUUUCUCUGUUCCGACCCGCCAUGUGCACGAGCCCUGGCCGUACAUAUGCGUGAGUAGGCGUUCAAGACCCCACCCAUAUGUACAUAAGUGGCCAUAUUUACUUUCUUGCACCCUGGCCGUUGUACGUACGUGUACAUGCUACGUGUGCGCCUCUACUAAAACACGUGCGCGCCUCUACAUCGACCAAUAUGUACGUACACGUUCGCGACCAGAAUGACAAUGCUACGUACACUUCGACCAGGUGGGUCCCGACUGUCAGGCAAUUCCUUGCGUGCGAAGAUGUAGCUGGUGGGUCCCAGCAGUCAGGGGGUGAAUCGUUUUUUUGCCCGGACGCACUUCCUUGCGUGCGAAGAUGUAGCUAGUGGGUCCCAGAAGUCAGUGGGCGAAUCAUUUUUUUGCCUGUAAUAUGGAUGCACUUCCUUGCAUGCGAAGAUGUAGCUGGUAGGUCCCAGCAGUCCAGGGGGAAAUUUUUUUUUCACGAAAUACGGUGGCCCAUCCGGUGGGUCCCCGCUGUCAGGUGGAGGAAUAAUUAUUUUUCGCAUAAUAAAGAGGCACUUCCUUGCGGCUGCCGUGGACCCAGCUGUCAGCCUCACCACGUACAGUACUCUUCCAAUGGAAUUCGGUAGUUGACCACAUUGACCACGCCGCGCCGAGAGCACCACGGCGGUGGAUGACGGCGAGACCUAGGAAGGGAACGAAGCGGAGAUGCUACCUCUUGAGCACUGCGUUGGAUUUCCCCGAAGAGGAGAGGAUGAUGCAGCAAAGUAGCGUAAGUAUUUCCCUCAGUUUUUGAGAACCAAGGUAUCAAUCCAGUAGGAGACUACGCACAAGUCCCUCGUACCUACACAAAACGAUAGCUCCUCACAACCAAUGCGAUUAGGGGUUGUCAAUCCCUUCACGGUCACUUACGAGAGUGAGAUCUGAUAGAGAUGAUAAAUAAUAUUUUUGGUAUUUUUGGUAUAUAGAUGCAAAGUGAAAAGUAAAAGGAAAAGUAAGAACCAAGCAAGUAAUAAAGUAAUGGAGAUUGAUAUGAUGAGAAUAGACCCCAGGGCCAUAGGUUUCACUAGUGGCUUCUCUCAAGAGCAUAGAUAUUCUACGGUGGGUGAACAAAUUACUGUUGAGAAAUUGACAGAAUUGAGCAUAAUUAUGAGUAUAUCUAGGUAUGAUCAUGUAUAUAGGCAUCACGUCCAAGACAAGUAGAUCGAAACGAUUCUGCCUCUACUACUAUUACUCCACUCAUCGACCGCUAUCCAGCAUGCAUCUAGAGUAUUAAGUUAAAAACAGAGUAAUGCCUUAAGCAAGAUGACAUGAUGUAGAGGGUUAAAUUCAUGCAAUAUGAUAAAAACCCCAUCUUGUUAUCCUCGAUGGCAACAAUACAAUACGUGCCUUGCUGCCCCUUCUGUCACUGGGAAAGGACACCGCAAGAUUAAACCCAAAGCUAAGAACUUCUCCUAUUACAAGAACUACCAAUCUAGUUGGCCAAACCAAACGGAUAAUUCGAAGAGACUUGCAGAGCUAACUCAAUCAUACAUAAAAGAAUUCAGAGAAGAUUCAAAUAUUAUUCAUAGAUAAGAUGGAUCAUAAACCCACAAUUCAUCGGUCUCAACAAACACACCGCAAAAAGAAGAUUACAUCGAAUAGAUCUCCACGAGAGAGGGGGAGAACAUUGUAUUGAGAUCCAAUAAGAGAGAAGAAGCCAUCUAGCUACUAGCUAUGGACCCGAAGGUCUGAAGUAAACUACUCACACUUCAUCGGAGGGGCUAUGGUGUUGAUGUAGAAGCCCUCCGUGGUGCAUGCCCCCUCCGGCGGAGCUCCGGAACAGGCCCCAAGAUGGGAUCUUGUGGAUACAGAAGGUUGCAGCGGUGGAAUUAGGUUUUUGGCUCCUCCCCUGAUCGUUUGGGGUACGUAGGUAUAUAUAGGAGGAAGGAGUAUGUCGGUGGAGCAACAGGGGGGCCACGAGGCAGGGGGCGCGCCCUAGGGGGGGGGCACCCCCGACCCUCGUGACCGACUCUUUUGUUCCUUGGAGUAGGGUCCAAGUCUCCUGGAUCAUGUUCGGUGAGAAAAUCACGUUCCCGAAGGUUUCAUUCCGUUUGGACUCUGUUUGAUAUUCCGUUUCUUCGAAACACUGAAAUAGGCAAAAAACGGCAAUUCUGGGCUGGGCCUCCGGUUAAUAGGUUAGUCCAAAAAUAAUAUAAAAGUGGAAAAUAAAACCCAAUAUAGUCCAAAACAGUAGAUAAAGUAGCAUGGAGCAAUCAAAAAUUAUAGAUACGUUGGAGACGUAUCGGGCAUCCCCAAGCUUAAUUCCUGCUCGUCCUCGAGUAGGUAAAUGAUCAAAAGAGAAUUAUUGAUGUGGAAUGCUACCUAGCAUAAUUCUCAAUGUAAUUUUCUUUAUUGUGGCAUAAAUGUUCAGAUCCAAAUGAUUCAAAAUAAAAGUUCAUAUUGAUAAAAGAAAUAUUAACACUUCAAGCAUACUAAUCAAAGUAAUCAUGUCUUCUCAAAAUAACAUGGCAAAAGAAAGUUCAUCCCUACAAAAUCAUAUAGUUAGGCUAUGCUUCAUUUUCGUCACACAAAGAUGUUCCCAACUUCUAUACCCCCGAUGACAAGCCAAGCAAUUGUUUCAUACUCAAAUAAUCUCAAACUUCUUCAACCUUCACGCAAUACAUGAGCUUGAGCCAUGGAUAUAGCACUAUGGGUGAAAUAGAAUAUGAUGAUGGGGAUUGUGUGGAGAAGACAAACAAGGAGAAAGUCUCACAUUCACGAGGAUAAUCAACAGGCUAUGGAGAUGCCCAUCAAUUGAUGUCAACAUGAGGAGUAGGGAUUGCCAUGCAACGGAUGCACUAGAGCUAUGAAUGCUCAACAAAAGUAAAACUAGUGGGUGUGCAUCCAACUCGCUUGCUCAUGAAGACCUAGGGCAUUUGAGGAAGCCCAUGGUAGGAAUAUACAAGCCAAGUUCUAUAAUGAAAAAUUCCCACUAGUAUAAAAAGACAACUUAUGAGACUCACUACAUGAAGAACAAGGUGCUACUUUGAAGCACAAUAUAUGAGACUCACUACAUGAAGAACAAGGUGCUACUUUGAAGCACAAGUGUGGAAAAGAGAUAGUAGCAUUGCCCUUUUUAUUUACUUUCUUUUUUUAUUUUUUUUAUUUUUUGGGCCUUUCUUCCUUUUUUUUCUUUUUUUUCUUUUUUGGCAAUGCUCUAAUAAUGAUGAUCAUCACACUUCUAUUGAUUACAACAUAAGGAUUACAACUCGAAACUUAGAACAAGAUAUGACUCUAUAUGAAUGCCUCCGGCGGUGUACAGGGAUGGUGCAAUGAAUCAAGAGUUACAUGUAUGAAAAAUAAUGCAUGGUGGCUUUGCCACAAAUACGAUGUCAACUACAUGAUCAUGCAAUGGCAAUAUGACAAAAGUAAUGUAUGUCAUGAUGAUGAUGAUGGAAGUUGCAUGGAAAUAUAUCUCGAAAUGGCUAUGGAAAUGCCAUGAUAGGUAGGUAUGGUGGCUUUUUUGAGGAAGAUAUAAGGAGGUUUAUGUGUGAUAGAUCGUAUCGUAUCACAGGGUUUGGAUGCACCGACGAAGUUUGCACCAACUCUCAAGGUGAGAAAGGGCAAUGCACGGUACCGAUGAGGCUAGCAAAGGCGGAAAGGUAAAAGUGCGUAUAAUCCAUGGACUCAACAUUAGUCAAAAGAACUCAUAUACUUAUUGCAAAAAUUUAGAAGUCAUCAAAAAUCAAGUACUACGCGCAUGCUCCUAGGGGGAUAGAUUGGUAGGAAAAGACCAUCGCUCGUCCCCGACCGCCACUCAUAAGGAUGCACAAGCCAGGUACACUUCAUGUUUCAAAUUUUUUACACAACUUUAACCAUACGUGCAUGCUACGGGACUUGCAAACUUCAACACAAGCAUCUCAAAUUCACAAUUACUCAACUAGCACGACUUUUAUAUUAUCACCUCCAUAUCUCAAAACAAUUAUCAAGCAUCAAACUUAUCUUAGUAUUCAACGCACUCAAAAGAAAGUUUCACAUAUCUUGAAUACCAAGUAUAUUAAUAUUAAGCAAAUUACCAUGCUAUUAACGACUCUCAAGAUAAUCUAAGUGAAGCAUGAGAGAUCAAUAGUUUCUUUAAAACAAAUCCACCACCAUGCUCUAAAAGAUCUAAGUGAAGCACUAGAGCAAAAAUUAUCACGCUCAAAAGAUAUAAGUGAAGCACUAUGAGCAAAACUAUCAAGCUCAAAAGAUAUAAGUGAAGCACAUAGAGUAUUCUAGCAAAUUCCAAUUCAUGUAUGGCUCUCUCAAAAGGUGUGUACAGCAAGGAUGAUUGUAGUAAACUAACAAGUAAAGACAAAAAUAAUACAAGACGCUCCAAGCAAAACACAUAUCAUGUGGUGAAUAAAAAUAUAGCUCCAAGUAAAUUACCGAUGGAAGUAGACGAAAGAGGGGAUGCCUUCCGGGGCAUCCCCAAGCUUUGAAUUUUUGGUUUCCUUGGAUUAUCUUUGGGGUGCCAUGGGCAUCCCCAAGCUUAGGAUCUUGCCACUCCUUGUUCCAUAAUCCAUCAAAAGAAUUCACCCAAAACUUGAAAACUUCACAACACAAAACUCAAUAGAAAUCUCGUGAGCUCCGUUAGAGAAAGAAAACAAAAAACUACUUAAAGGUACUGUAAUGAACUCAUUCUUUAUUUAUAUUGGUGUUAAACCUAAUGUAUUCCAACUUCUCUAUGGAUUAUAAACUAUUUUACUAGCCAUAGAUUCAUCAAAAUAAGCAAACAACACACGCAAAACAGAAUCUGUCAAAAACAGAACAGUCUGUAGCAAUCUAUAACUAACGCAAACUUCUGGAACUCUAAAACUCCUACCAAAAUAGGAAGUCCUGUACAAUUUUUUUAUUGAACAGAAUAAAAAAGAAUCAACGCAAAAUCACGUUUCUGUGAUUUAAAAAAAUUAUAUUCGUGCGUGCAAAGUUUCUGUUUUUCAGCAGAAUCAAAUCAACUAUCAUCGUAGGUUAUCCUAUAGGUUCUACUUGGCACAAACACUAAUUAAAAUAUAAAACCACAUCCAAACAGAGGCUAGAUGGAUUAUUUAUUCCUAAACAGAAGCAAAAACAAAAAAACAAAAAUAAAAUUGGGUUGCCUCCCAACAAGCUCUAUUGUUUAACGCCCCUAGCUAGGCAUAAAAGCAAGGAUAGAUCUAGGUAUUGCCAUCUUUGGUAGGCAAUCCAUAAGUGGAUCUCAUGAUAAAUUCAUAUGGUCAUUUUAUUUUCUUUCUAGGGAAGUUUUCCAUGCCCUUCUUUAAGGGAAAUUGUAAUCUAAUAUUCCCUUCCUUCAUAUCAAUAAUUGCACCAAUCGUUCUAAGGAAAGGUCUACCAAGAAUAAUAGGACAUGAAGGAUUGCAAUCUAUAUCAAGAAUGAUAAAAUGUACGGGCACAUAAUUCCUAUUUGCAACAAUAAGAACAUCAUUAGUUCUUCCCAUAGCCUUUUUAAUAGUGGAAUCCGCAAGUGCAAGUUUAGAGAGCAAUCAUCAAAGUCGCGGAAAUCUAGCAAAUCACACAAAGUUUUGGGAAUAGUAGAGACACUAGCACCCAAAUCACACAAAGCAUGAAACUCAUAAUCUUUAAUUUUAAUUUUAGUAGUAGGUUCCCACUCAUCAUAGAGUUUUCUAGGGAUGGAAGCUUUCAACUCAAGUUUUUCUUCAUAAGAUUACAUCAAGGCAUCAACAAUGUGUUCGGUAAAGGCCUUAUUUUGACUAUAAGCAUGAGGAGAAUCUAGCACGGAUUGCAACAAGGAAAUACAAUCAAUUAAAGAGCAAUUUUCAUAAUUAAAUUCCUUGAGAUCCAAAAUAGUGGGUUUAGCAACAUCUAGGUUUUUAUUUCUUUCAAUCGCACUUUUAUCAAUUUCGUCAUCAAGAUCUAGAAACUCCGAAUUCUUAGAACGCUGUCUAGGUAAAGGAAGAUCAUAUUCAGUUUCAUGAAGAUUCAUAUUGCAAAACAAGGAUUUAAUGGGGGACACAUCAAUAACUUUUAGAUCUUCAUCUUGAUUUUCAUAGGAAUUGGAAGAACAGGCUUUAAUAAAGGCAUCUUUGGAAGCACGCAUCCUAGCGGUUCUUUCUUUGCAGUCAUCAAUGGAAAUUCUCAUGGCUUUGAGAGACUCAUUGAUAUCAUGCUUAAGAGGAAUAGACCUAAGCUUUAAAGAAUCAAUUUCAAGAGAAAUUCUAUCAACAUUCCUAGACAAAUCAUCAACUUUAAUCAAUUUCUCUUCAAGCAAAGCAUUAAAAUUCUUUUGUGAAUUCAUAAACUCUUUAACACUACUCUCAAAUUCAGAGGGCAUCUUAUUAAAAUUUCCAUAAGAGUUGUUGUAGGAAUUUCCAUAAUUAUUAGAAGGAUUACUAGGAUAAGGCCUAGGAUUAAAAUUCCCUCUAUACGUGUUGUUUCCAAAACUAUUCCUACCAACAAAAUUCACAUCCAUAGAUUCAUUACUAUUCUCAAUGAAAGUAGACAAGGGCAUAUCAUUGGGAUCAAGAGAAGUAGUUUUAGUAGCAAACAUCUUCAUAAGUUCAUCCAUCUUUUCACUCAAAACAUUGAUUUCUUCUAUAGCAUGCACUUUUUUACUAGAAGAUCUUUCGGUGUGCCAUUGAGAAUAAUUAGCCAUAAUAUUAUCAAGCAAUUUUGUAGCAUCUCCUAACGUAAUUUCCACAAAUGUGCCUCCCGCGGCUGAAUCUAAAAGAUUUCUAGAAGCAAAAUUCAAUGCAGCAUCAAAUUUUUGUAUGAUCAUCCAUAAAUUCAAACCAUGAGUAGGGCAAUUGUGAAGCAUAAAUUUCAUUCUUUCCCAUGAUUGGGCAACAUGCUCAUGAUCAAGUUGUUUAAAAUUCAUAAUAUCGUUCCUAAGAGUGAUGAUCUUAGCAGGAGGAAAAUACUUAGAGAUAAAAGCAUCUUUGCACUUGUUCCAAGAAUCAAUACUAUUUUUAGGCAAAGAAGAAAACCAAACUUUAGCAUGAUCUCUAAGUGAAAACGGAAAUAACUUCAAUUUGACAAUAUUGUUAUCCGUAUCUUUCUUCUUUUGCAUAUCACACAAAUCAGCAAAAUUGUUUAGAUGAGUAGCGGCACCUUCACUAGGAAGGCCGGUGAAUUGAUCUUUCAUAACAAGAUUUAGCAAAGCGGCAUUGAUUUCACAAGACUCAUCAUUAUUAAGAGGCAAUAGAAGUACUAAGCAAAUCAUUAUUAUUGGUAUUUGAGAAGUCACACAAUUUGGUAUUAUCUUGCGUCAUGGCAACAAGUAAUCCAACACACAAGCAAACAGAAAGGCAAAGGGAAAAGGCAAACGGGAAAAAGAGGAGGAGAUUGGGAAAGAGAGGGCGAAUAAAACGGCAAGGGUGAAGUGGGGGAGAGGAAAACGAGAGGCAAAUGGCAAAUAAUGUAAUGCGAGAGAUAGGGAUUGUGAUGGGUACUUGGUAUGGUUGACUUGCUCUUGGUGAGCCUCCCCGGCAACGGCGCCAGAAAUUCUUCUUGCUACCUCUUGAGCACUGCGUUUGAUUUCUCCGAAGAGUCGAGGAUGAUGCAGCAAAGUAGCGUAAGUUUUUCCCUCGGUUUUUGAGAACCAGGGUAUCAAUCCAGUAGGAGACCACGCACAAGUCCCUCGUACCGUGUCAAUCCCUUCACAGUCACUUACGAGAGUGAGAUCUGAUAGAGAUGAUAAAUAAUAUUUUGGUAUUUUUGGUAUAUAGAUGCAAAGUGAAAAGUAAAAGGCAAAGUAAGAACAAAGCAAGUAAUAAAGUAAUGGAGAUUGAUAUGAUGAGAAUAGACCUGAGGGCCAUAGGUUUCACUAGUGGCUUCUCUCAAGAGCAUAGAUAUUCUAUGGUGGGAGAACAAAUUACUGUUGAGCAAUUGACAGAAUUGAGCAUAAUUAUGAGUAUAUCUAGGUAUGAUCAUGUAUAUAGGCAUCACGUCCAAGACAAGUAGAUCGAAACGAUUCUGCAUCUACUACUAUUACUCCACUCAUCGACCGCAAUCCAGCAUGCAUCUAGAGUAUUAAGUUAAAAAUAGAGUAAUGCCUUAAGAAAGAUGACAUGAUGUAGAGGGAUAAAUUCAUGCAAUAUGAUAAAAACCCCAUCUUGUUAUCCUCGAUGGAAACAAUACAAUACGUGCCUUGCUGCCCCUUCUGUCACUAGGAAAGGACACCGCCAGAUUGAACCCAAAGCUAAGCACUUCUCCCAUUGCAAGAACUACCAAUCUAGUUGGCCAAACCAAACGGAUAAUUCGAAGAGACUUGCAAAGAUAACUCAAUCAUACAUAAAAGAAUUCAGAGAAUAUUCAAAUAUUAUUCAUAGAUAAGAUGGAUCAUAAACCCACAAUUCAUUGGUCUCAACAAACACACCACAAAAAGAAUAUUACAUCGAAUAGAUCUCCACGAGAGAGGGGGAGAACAUUGUAUUGAGAUCCAAAAAGAGAGAAGAAGCCAUCUAGCUACUAGCUAUGGACCCAAAGGUCUGAAGUAAACUACUCACACUUCAUCGGAGGGGCUAUGGUGUUAAUGUAGAAGCCCUCCAUGGUGGAUGCCCCCUCCGGCGGAGCUCCAGAACAGGCCCCAAGAUGGGAUCUCGUGGAUACAUUAGGUUGUGGCGGUGGAAUUAGGUUUUUGGCUCCUCCCCUGAUCAUUUGGGGGUACGUAGGUAUAUAUAGGAGGAAGGAGUACAUUGGUGGAGCAACAGGGGGGCCACGAGGCAGGGGGGCGUGCCCUAGGGGGGGAGGCGCCCCCCACCCUCGUGACCGACUCUUUUGUUCCUUGGAGCAGGGUCCAAGUCUCCUAGAUCACGUUCGGUGAGAAAAUCACGUUCCCGAAUGUUUCAUUCCGUUUGGACUCCGCUUGAUAUUUCAUUUCUUCGAAACACUGAAAUAGGCAAAAAAUAGCAAUUCUGGGCUGGGCCUCCGGUUAAUAGGUUAGUCCCAAAAAUAAUAUAAAAGUGGAAAAUAAAGCCCAAUAUAGUCCAAAACAGUAGAUAAAGUAGCAUGGAGCAAUCAAAAAUUAUAGAUACGUUGGAGACGUAUCAGGAGCCGGGGAAGACGCGGCAGUGGAUGCUCACGCAGAGAGGAGUACGAGGGUUCACUGGUUCGGCUGCACUGCCGUCACCGCAGAAUAAUAGGGGGUGUGGGUGAGUGCAGUGGAGGGAUGACCUGGCUAGCGGUGGGAGUAGUAUGGGGUCGACGAGGCCUCCGCAGCAGCACAGCCAACCACGGUAGGCAGGAGCAGGCGGCACGACCGGCGAUGCUUUAGGCGGCUGGAGCAAGAAGACCAGAGGUUGAAGAAGCACUACGGCCGUUGGAUGGACAUCGUACGGUCAAUCGAGCUAGAAUCGUGCAUAUUGACUAAGUUGACAAAGCCCUCCGUCCCUGUCAACUUAGUAUGCCCACUAUACUGGGUUCCAGCAAGCAGGGGGAGUAUUCAUUUUUUUAUGUGCGUAAUAAGGAGGCACUUCCUUGCGUGCGAAGAUAUAGCUGGUGGGUCCGAGCUGUUAGCGGCGGUAAUGUUUUUUUCAUGAAAUACAUAGGCCCUUUCGGUGGGUCCCAGAUGUCAGAUGGAGGAAUCAUUAUUUUGCGCGUAAUAAGGAGGCAUUUCCUUGCAUGCAGCAAUGGACCCAGCUGUCAGCCUCUCCACGUACAGUCCACUUCGGAUGCAUGUCGGUCGUUAACCAUGUUGACCACGCCACGCCGAGAGCACUAGGGCGGUGGACGGCGGUGAGGCCUAGGAAGUGAACGACACGGAGCCAGGGAAGACUCGGCAGUUGUUUCCCACGCGGACGGGAGUACGAUUGUACGAGGGUUUACUGGUUCGUCUGCCGUCGCCAGAGAAUAACAACGGGUGUGGGUGAGUAGAGGGAUGGCUAGGCCAGUGAUGGGAGUACGAUGGGGCGGUGAGGCCUACGCGGCAGCACAGCUAGCCGCGGGGAGGAGGGAGCAGGCAGUCCCGCCGGUGCUUGUUUGAGCGGCUGGAGUAGCAAGAGUAGAGAUUGAAGAAGCACGACGGCUGUUGGAUGGAUAUCCAACAGUCACUGCUUGUGCGUCAACCCUUUUUUAGGAAUGCCUCAAAUCUGUGGAAAACUGAUUACAGGCCAUCUGCCAUUAUAUCUAAUAAUUUACAACCCAUUUGCUAAUUCUUACAGUUGUUUUUGGAGCCCAUAUUCUUUUUGAUAGCAUUACAGCCCAUAUUGUGGCCACGGUUAAAAAAUUAUAUGAAAUUUUGCAUAUGUCGGUGUGGUCUGAACUGUUUUUAAUCCCGAAAUUUCGAGUCACAUUCAGACUGAUUUUAAAAAUAAAUGUAUAUCAAUAUAAAAUCCAAUAAAUUGUCCAUGCAUAAAAAUCAAUGCAAUUUAAAAUCUCGAAAUGAAAAAAAGAUAUUUGAAACUAAUUGCUGGUUUGAUGUGUUUUAAAAAUGUACAACCCAUUUCUCAUUACUGAUAGGCCAUUUUCUCGUCCAGCCGAAUGAAGCUCUCCUUGUCUUGAAAGAUUUGCAGCCCAACAGGCCUGAUAAAGCGACUUACUUGACAAAUCACAAAAAAACUAGGCUAGCCAUUUUUAGAAAGAAAAAAAAACUACUGGGCUGGUCUGUGGUAAACAGAAAAGAAAAGGCUGUCUAGGCAGGCCAGAGUGUCCCGCACAGCCCAGUUGACACCCUGCUUCCGUCUCAAAAACAAAUUAGAUAAAUGCCACUCCAAUUAUGGCAAUUCAUAAAAAUGCCACUGCAAUUUCCAAACUUUGAAAAAUGCCACUGCAAUUUUUGCAAACUUUGAAAAACGCCACUGCAGUUUGCAAACUUUGAAAAACGCCACUCCAGACUUCGAAAAAUGCCACUAGAAAUGACAUGAAAUGGCAUUUUUCAUAGUUUGGGAAUUGCAGUGGCAUUUCUCGGAAACACCAGAUUUGGAGUGGCAUUUAUAAAAUUAAACCAAAACAAAAAUAAUUGGGCGAUAUGCUGGGUCCCUGGUGUCAGCCGCUCGUUGUGCAAUUCUCUCGUUUAUUGACUACGUUGACAAUGGCAUCGGACCCACAUGUCAGAAAUCCACUGGGAGGAGCCAUUUUUUUAUUGGCUUGAAAUAAGGAGGCACUUGCUUGCGUACUGCCAUGACCUUGGCGGGUCCCUGCUGUCAUCCUUUCCAUGCACAAUCAUCUCCUGAUUGUGUACGCGUCAAGUUGGUAGGCCCACAAGUCAGCCUCUAAACCCGUGGAGGACAAAUACAACCCAUUUAAAAAAAUAACAUCCCAUUCCAUAUGUUCGAAUGGAAAGUUCAACAUUCAAAGCAAAGUAACAGGUCUGAUCCACAUAUAGAGUACUGAACUUCCACAUUGACAACCAUCAUAGCCAAGUUAACUAUCUACUCCCACUAAUACUCUAGUAGCAUACAAGUACUAACUUACUCUUAGCUAACUAGACGAUGCCGACCGCCAUCUGUGGUAGACGCUAAACGCCAGCACCGGCGUCCUGCGCCUCGCCUCGGACUUGCAAGAGGUGCGAUAGGGCGCGUUGCUCGCGCGCGUUGGCCCUUUCCAUGCCGGCGUGGUCCACCGAAGCUUCGGCUUCCAAGCGGGAAAUCCACUUGACGAGCUGGUAGUAAAAAUUGGCGUCGCAAACGCGUGCGUGCCCGACAGCCUCCGGGGCUAUUUGCCGGGCGCCGGCCUCCACGUAGUCGGCCCAGUUGCGGGCACUCUGCUCGUGACUCAGAGCGUCGGUGCGCUGCUGCUCUAUGUCCCGCUGGCAGCGCAAAUUGGCAAUACGCUGCUCCUCCGCCAUGCGGUCGCGCUCCAACAAGUCUUGCUCCUCCGCCAGGCGGUCGCGCUCCAACCAAUCCUCGAUCUCCGCAUUGCCAUCUAAAGACAGAUAGAAUGCCUCCUCCCUCCGUCUGCCUUCCGGUGAAAAACCGAACACUAGUUCCGGCGGUGACCGCCUCCGGCGUCGCCUACGGCGGACGGGCGGGGCAUGGCGGACGUGGCGAGCAACGUCGGGCCGGUGGGGGCUUAUGAGGACAUGGCGAGUUGGGUCACGGUGCCACCGGAGAAGGCCGGGAAAUAGUACUUAUAGGCGGAAGGUAGCGCAACGGUCAUCGGAAUUCAAUGCAUAAGCAGGCAUGGCUUAGCGCGCCAGCUUGCCAUGGAAAACUAGAGAAACUGAAAUUAUGACUGUGUCGUCCCGUCCCGUCUGGGUCACACACCGGCAUGGCGGUCAAACGAGUGCACUCGAAUCAUCUCCCUCCUUGUCAAUAAUGAUUCCACGGAUUUAAAAAGCCCGCAACAAUUAAAGCGCAUCUUCUUUUGCAUCAGUUAGCUUACUUAAUUAUGGCCGGCUGCAUGAAGGCACUUAGAAUUGCUCGCAGCUAGUACGUGGAGCAGCAUGCAACAUGUCGCAGCCGAGAGCACACAUGCAGCCACUUAAAUCGCUGGAAUUAAUUAGGCUUAAACUUCUGCAUGCCAUUAAUUAUUGCCAUGCCUUGGUCUUGCUGCUUUGCUCACGGGACUAAUAAACCUGGAGGAGGGAGUACCCUGGUUGGUGAGAGGUUUGAAUUAAGCCCUGCAAACCGGAAAGGAGGUACUAGUACGUGCAUGAUCCGCUAUUUAUUUGUGUAGGAUCGAGUAGGUCGUUUCUUGAAUUGAGCCCUGCAAAUCGGAAAGGAGGCAGUACGUGCGUGAUCUGCUAUUUAUCCAUGUAGGAUCGAGUAGGUAGGAUAGUGUAGCUUGUCAGUUUCUUCAGAGGUAGGCAUUUUUAUUCAAAAAGCUGCCACUUCGGAUCUUGCCUCGCAAAUAAAACUGCCAGGAGCGCAUUAGUAGGCUAGCUAGUGAUCGAUCAGUAACUUGUAAACACUGAGCGAACAGAAAUAAGUAACUGUUAAUGCAUCUCAAUGAUUCACAGAUCAUAUACAAAUAUGUAGCUCCAAAAGCAAAGAUCAGCCACUUCGGAUCUUGCGUCGCAACUAAAACUAACUAGUACGAUUCCCAUACAUAAGAUCAACAUGUUAAUGCAUCUCAAUGAUUCAUAGAUCAUAUACAAAUAUGUAGCUCCAAAAGCAAAGAUCUGGAAAAAACAUUUGUUCUUCCUACUAACAUGGAUGCCUCUCUUUGCCAACAUUCAGUACAGACUGAAAGACAAAUUUGUUUGUGAAGUCUACAAUUCCUCUUGCAAACGUAAGUGGUUUCACUAACAGCUGGAACCAGGAUAAUGAACCACACAUGAUGGAGGAACAUCCACUGCAAUAUGAUUUGGUCUUCUCUUGAUCACACUGCGAGAUUAUUUUCGGAAUACAAACUUUAACUUAGGCAAAAUGAUGCCCAUUGUAUAAUCAGACCAAAGCAAUGAAGCACCUAGUGUUGGCCAAUAAAUAGUACAGUACUACUUUUCUGCAGUCCAUGAAGUGACUAUCCAAUCUUUCUGUGUCUAUUUUCAAAUGGCACUGCAUGCGGUAACUAUACUAUUCUCUUGCGCAGUUCAACCAAAAUUACGGACACUUUGCUUGUUUGCCAAAUAGCAAUGGGCAGACAUCUCUGUCUACACAAAUAUCAAGCAGCUAGUAAACAUAUACCACACCUUGUAUUUUCGGUUUAAACAUGUCUCUUCCGCUUAGCAUCUAUCAUGUUCUGCACUGGACAAUCUGAUACAGUUAUGUUUUGCCCUGGACAAUUUCAUACUGAAUUGAUUUGCUGGUUCAGAGCAGAAAUAUAGUGCCUAUUCUUCAUCAGACCAAGGAUAUCCAUAUUCCCAGUGACGGAAGAGGUGAAAUUGAUACAACCGAAAUUGAGCAUCCAAUCAUUGAAUCCUGUCCUGCACCUCCAAUGUAGGUCCACCUUGCCAAUAAAUUCACUUGCAAACCACUAGUAUUACUAUCUAAUGACAGUACAAAAAGAGCAGCAAAAUAGUAGCAAACCAUGUACCUUCGUAAUGAACAGCUCAUAGUGCCACCAAUUGGAUAUAAAGGUUUGGAAGAAAACAUGCUCCUAAUGUUGAACCAGUUGGACUUUUUGUGCAGUUCCACUAAAAUCGAGCAUCCCUGUUUGCAUAGAUAUUGAAAGUGUGAUUACUAUAAAAAUGGCACUAGUUGAAGCAUAUUCUCACAAAUAUAAGCAUUCCUUCUUAAUGGAAAAGGUAGCAAGACUAUUUCUAACCACCUGUUUGAAGGAAUAAAUAAGGCAACAAUGGCUGAUGUCAGAAAGGCAUAUAUAGUUCUUUUUGAAAGAAUGAUCGACUCCUGACCUUUUCUCUUCUUUUAUGCAUAUUUUGUGCAGUUCAACUAAAAUAAAAUGCCAUCGCCACCUUGAAAAUUCAGUGACACUGUACAAAAGGAAAUGACUUAACAUUACAUCAUGAUGUCAGGUAUGUAGUCCACAGGCAUUAGAGACAAACAUACAGACCUUCUCCGAUAACAUAAUGAACAUUAAUUUUAACAAAGGUGUGACUAGCUUUACCGGGAUAAUUUGAGUGAACUCUACACCCUCUGUUCCUUAAUAUAAGACAUUUUCACGGUUCAAUUUAAAGUACCCAAACGUCUAGUAUUUAGAAAAACAGGUAGUAGUUUUCUUGAGCACAUAUCUGGGAAAGUUUGCCACACUUUAUUUAUGUCCAUACGCUAAUGCAACACCAUUCGAAUACUACAAAUAUACACUAAUCCAGUGGCUAGUGCAACAGUAGAGUAGUUAGUUUAUUACAGAGUACAGUACAAUGGUUUUACUGAACAGAUUUCAAUAAACUCUAGCACUGGAAGAUUUCUAUAAGAAUUAACAAUACAAAAUGUACAGGUAACAAGUUUCAACAUUGGUAUACUAGCUAUGCAUGAGCAUUAAACCAAAUACAAAAGUCUGAAGGUAACUAGCAUUAUUAACUAAUGACAGUAUAAAAAAUUGCAAACCAUGUACCUCCACGGUAAAUAUCAUUUCGAACUCGGGGGGACCUUAAAACUUGCUAUCCCAAUCUUGAUAAUCGAUCAAACAUAAAAACUUGAUCGAACGAAUCAAGAGAACAACCAGAGGAGGAGGUGCCUACUCUUGACCUUUCCUCUUGUCUUCAUAAUUUUUUGUGCAGUUUAACCAAAAUAAAAUGACAUCAGUGCCUUGGCAUUUUGGUGACACUGUACAAAAAAAUUAACUUAUCUCAUGAAAGUGAGGUAUGUAAUCUAUAAGCAUUAACAGUGCAAAAAUCUGAAGGUAGUAACAAGUUUCAUCGUUGGUAUACUAGUUGUGCAACAACAUUAGAAUGCCUUAGCUGAAAAAUCUUUAAUAGAUCCACAAUCAACAACUAACCCUGAAAUAAUCCAGUGACAUUAAAUGGCAUUGCUUAAAUUUAUCGGUGGCAUUAGACUGAGAGCGACAUUAGUUAAAUGUGGCAUCACUUUGGUAGUAGCAUUCCUUGACUUGACUGCUAGCAUCAUACUAACAACAAAAAAGUGGCAAUAAGAUCAUGGGAGGCCCAUUCGGACAGUGGGUGCACCAGUACGAUGUUCCUCCACGGACGCAGAGUGGUGAGGGAGGUAUGGUUGCCCAGAGCAACAAAUAUGUAGACAUCAUAUGUGAAUUACGUCCCUUUUUUGUUCUAUUUAGCCACCUCUUUCCUAUGUGAGGAAAACAAACCGAUCGACCUGGUCAUUCUCUAUUGCGUUGUCAUGCCUUUCUACCCUUCUUCAACCAAGAGACAUGAGACUCGUUCCUUAGCUACUGAUUUUCCCCUUUUCAACCUAGAUGCGGGUUCGAUGCCUACUCUCUUGGACAGUACAGUCUCCCUUCCUUUCCUUAUUCAACCCAGACAUGGAUUAGUCUGCAUGAAGUAGGGUUUCCUUUAAUAGUGCAAAUUAUGGUUUUUGUCGGUGUGGCCAGCAGAGCAGAGGAUAGCAAAUUGGGAAGAUGGUGGAGUGGAAAAAGAUCCACAUGCAACGACAUGGCAGAUGGGGCAAUAGAACAAGGGUAUGGUUCGAAAGGAGGUAGCAUACCUGAGGGUCAGCGGGAAGUGGCUUCGCUCGUGGUCGUCGUCCUCCGCACACACUAAGGCAGUGAGCUUGGGGACGGAGGCCAUCCCACGCGGGCGCUAGGUUUGAGAGGACGGCCUUGUCGUCAGUGCGUGACCUCGCUCGUCGACGAUGAGUGCGUCAACGCAGCACGUCCUUUUCUUCCCCGGCGGAUCUGUGACCACCGGUGAGGAGGGAGAGAGAGGUCGUCUUUUUUACAUCUAGAGAGAGGGUGAUAGUGUGAGAAGCAAGUAGGCAGCCCUUAUCAGGAAAGCGCUGAAGCUCCAGCCUAUAUAUCUUUUUAUACUACUAGUACUGGAGGUGGAGUAGUGGUAGAGUACUUUAUAUUUUCUCUGCAUACAGUACCAGUUAGUCAUGCUUCAAAACUGAAUGGCAUGCCAUUAAAAGAAUAAAGGUCGAUAACUAAUGCGGCACCUUGGGCCAACACGGCCAGAUUGCAUUUUGCACGAGAAAUUACACACCAUGUUUCGUUGACAUGUGGCCCCGUUCCAACAUAUUACUGAGACGACGGCGAGUCCUUUUCUACUAGUAUUUCCAAACGGACGUGUAGGACGGGGCGCCUCUUCGUGAACCGUGGAAAACUAGCAACCGUCCACCGACUCUUCGCCUUCCCCUCUCGAUUUGGAACUGCUGUCGCACACUCUUCCUCUCCCUCCUCUAUUUUCCUUCAAUCCUCCACCCUUCCUUCUGCCAUUGUUCGAUCGUCUUCUCCAUGGAGGGAACAGGCCGGAAAUGACCCCGUUAUUCUUGCCCUGAUCUGAAAGAUGACAUGGUGGAGGAACUCAUUGAUGGGUGCGACGUCAUCACCUCGGCUAGCAUGGCAUGUUCGUUCAAGACCAUUCUCUACUCAACUAAUAACAUCAUUACAAGGAACCCAAGAGUCAAGGAGCGGUUUGAUAUCCCCAAUCUUCUUCGCUAUGACCCUGAUGACUGGUGCGGGGACGACGGAGGCCUCGCCUUGUGCAAGUUGAUGCCGCUUGAUAAUGAUACGUAUGAUGUUAAGAUGCCAUUGCUUGAGGGUAAGGCUUGGGCAGGCGCAAAUGGAGAUUGGGUUGUUUACAUUGGGUCCAACUGCGAGUGGGAACUUGUGAACGUGUACACUCGUGACCGGGUUCCACUUCCAAAAAUCUCAGCAGACUGCCCAGAGGUUGAGCACAUCGGUAUUGUACGCACGUUCAAAUACGAUCAUGGUGACUGUCUUAUACGGAAGAUAGCAAAUUGUCAAGUUCCCAACCGCUCUUGGAAUUACAAGAACUAUGUUGUUGUUGCUAUCUUCGACAAGCUUGUUGCCGUCCUUCAUGGUUCGACUGGAUGGAUAUUGCUCAAAAAUCAGUUUCUGUACACAGAUGAGUACUGUGAUGCAAUUCAAUACGAGGGCCUUGUGUUUGCUUCCACCACUCAUGGCACUGUUUUUGCAUGGGAUCCUCGUAGUUUUGGUACGUUUGUCUUCCACCGUAAUUAUAAUUGUUUCUUCCACAUGCAUGUGGGUUAGCAAGUUUCCCUUUACUAAUUAACCUUCUUCUUGUGUUUCCAAGGUCCUGUGAACAUUCCACCACCUAUACUUGAAAAUUUUUAUACCAAGGGGGAGAUGACGAUGGUGAUGAUCACGAGCAUGAGGACGAGAAGAACAUAUAUACUCAGUGGCGCCUGGCAUCUAAUUCCGAUGGAUCACCUCCUCUUGUUUGUAUACAGUGCACUGAGUUUGUUACUACUGAGGGAGCAUGUGUUGUCUCCCAUGGUCGCACUCUCCGGACCUAUUCCAACACCCGUUAUAUGGUAUUCAGGAUGGAUACUAUUGUGCUAGCGCCAACACCUUAUCCCUGGUAUAGAAUUGAUAGUCUUGGAGAAAACUCGCUCUUCCUUGGACAAAACUAUCCGAUGAUGGUGAAAGGUGAUCCAACUGUUGUUGACACAAUGUUACUAGUACCAUUUAUGAGAAGCAACUGUGUCUAUACCUUGGACAUUUGGGUGGUUCCCUACCCUGGUAUUGAUAUAGUAGGCCGCUUCAGCCUGGAUGAUCAGUCCUGCGUUGGUUUUGAGAUCGACAAUAGAUGGCCCGUCCCAGAGAAUCACUUGUGGUUCAAAGCAAGCGUUUCCAACGCCGAGGAUUGGUUGAGUUGAAGUUCAUUUCAUUGCUUGUUAUUUGUUGUGUGAUGAAAACUUUAGUAUUUAUAAUGUAUCCUCAUUGUCGAUGUGGGUUGAUGACCUAUUGUAUGUAAUAAAAUGAUAUGCCUGUGAUAAACUUACUAAAUUUAUGAAUGGCUUUCGAGUUGCUUCUCUGAGUGAGUGGUGCGACGAGGAAAAAAAAUAUUUUCCGAAUACAUAAUUGUACGUGCAUUGCAACAGGUUAUCGGAUGAGGCCAAUCAACAAUAGUAGUACACUAUUUGUACUAGCUUCACAUGCUUCGCGCGUCGGGCGGGUGUUUUUACUCUAGCCAUAUGUUAAUGUGUUCACUGUACAUAACCACCAUAUCGAAUCCUCGAUACUCGUACUAUAUAAGUAGUUGGAGUAGUAGGGUGGCAUGGGCCAGAACAAGCAUUCACGUCCAGGAGUACGGCACACGCAACCACCACGACAUCCAUCUGACACCAUAUUUCUUGGAGUCCAUGUAGAGCAAUCUCUUCAACCUCGUCGUUUCUCUAACUUCAACCAUCGCACGACAAUCGAGGUGGGGGUUUGCCGAUAGUCGCUUUCCUCAGCUGCGGUCCCACUUGUAAGGCCAACUCCAACGCAUGACCCCAAACGGACCUCCGUUUUGCACGAACUCCAACGAUAAUUUAGACUAGAAAAGCAAGACCAAAGAAAACAAGAACCACAAGAAUACAUUUUACUAGAAGAUAUCCAACUUCCAUAACUGCUCCUAUAAGUUGCAUUAGUGCCUUCUCGAUGCAUUCAUUGUUGAUCUGCGGAGGCUCGAUCUUGCGUGCUUCUUUCUUCUUCGAGUGUAAGGAAGUAGACGUUGCUUCCUCGCAUCUAGUCUCAUGGCUAGCCUCUAUUCUAGUAGGAGUAUCAACAAGUGCACUAGUCUCAUCUCUAGCCUCUAUGCUAGCUAAAAGUGCUAGAACAUCUACUAAAUUGCACUCUAUCAAUAUAUCCGAUGUCCUCUUCCUCCCAAUACCAAAACUUGCAUCCAUUCUACUCCCUCCAUUCCACAAUGCAUGCCUUCUAUUUGUCAAAAUAUAGAUGUAUCUAGACAUGUUUUCGUAUAUAGGUACAUCCAUUUUUGGACAAAUGGAAGUCAAGUAUUUUGGAACGGAGGGAGUACACAAUAAAAUUUUAAACUAGUCUAAUCCGAGAGCACAACCGAAGAUUUGGUCGGGUUCUUCCUCCUUUUGCCGACACAUGGAACAUUGAUAACCCACAAGUGUAGGGGAUCGCAACAGCUUUCGAGGGUAAAGUAUUCAACCCAAAUUUAUCGACACAAGGGGAGCCAAAGAAUAUUCUUGAGUAUUAGCAGUUGAGUUGUCAAUUCAACCAUACCUAGAUAACUUAGUAUCUGCAGCAAAGUAUUUAGUAGCAAAGUAGUAUGAUAAUAAAGGUAACGGUAGCAAAAGUAAUAUUUUUGGGUUUUGUAGUGAUUGUAACAAUAGCAGCGGAAAAGUAAAUAAGCGAAACACAAGAUGUGAAAAGCUCGUAGGCAAUGGAUCAGUGAUGGAUAAUUAUGUACGAUGCGAUUCCUCAUGUAAUAGCUAUAACAUAGGGUGACACAGAACUAGCUCCAGUUCAUCAAUGUAAUGUAGGCAUGUAUUCCGUAAACAGUCAUACGUGCUUAUGGAAAAGAACUUGCAUGGCAUCUUUUGUCCUACCCUCCCGUGGCAGCGGGGUCUUAGUGGAAACUAAGGGAUAUUAAGGGCUCCUUUUAAUAGAGAACCGGAACAAAGCAUUAGAACAUAGUGAAUACAUGAACUCCUCAAACUACGGUCAUCACCGAGAAGUAUCCCGAUUAUUGUCACUUCAGGGUUGUCGGAUCAUAACACAUAAUAGGUGACUAUAGACUUGCAAGAUAGGAUCAAGAACACACAUAUAUUCAUGAAAACAUAAUAGGUUCAGAUAUGAAAUCAUGGCACUCGGGCCCUAGUGACAAGCAUUAAGCAUAGCAAAGUCAUAGCAACAUCAAUCUCAGAACAUAGUGGAUACUAGGGCUCAAACCCUAACAAAACUAACUUGAUUACAUGAUAAAUCUCAUCCAACCCAUCACCGUGCAGCAAGCCUACGAUGGAAUUACUCAUGCACAACAGUGAGCAUCAUGAAAUUGGUGAUGGAGGAUGGUUGAUGAUGACGACAGUGACGAAUCCCCCUCUCCGGAGCCCCGAACGGACUCCAGAUCAGCCCUCCCGAGAGAGAUUAGGGCUUGGCGGCGGCUCCGUAUCGUAAAACGCGAUGAAACUUUCUCCUUGAUUUUUUUCUCUGCGAGACGGAAUAUAUGGAGUUGGAGUUAAGGUCCGCGGAGCCUCAGGGGGCCCACGAGACAGGGGGGCGCGCCCAGGGGGAGGGUGCGCCCCCACCCUCGUGGACAGGGUGUGGGCCCCCUGGUCUUGAUUCUUUUGCCAGUAUUUUUUAUAUUUUCCAAAAAGUGCCUCCGUAGAUUUUCAGGACAUUUCGAGAACUUUUGUUUUCUACACAUAAAACAACAUCAUGACAGUUCUGCUGAAAACAGCGUCAGUCUGGGUUAGUUUCAUUCAAAUCAUGCAAGUUAGAGUCCAAAACAAGGGCAAAAGUGUUUGGAAAAGUAGAUACAUUGGAGACGUAUCAGACAUCCAGCAUCUAGGUCGUGUCAUGUAAGAAAAUAGAGUGGUAGUUGAAGCCACGUGAUGUGCAUCUUGGGUUAAACUGUAAAUAGAAUCUUACUACUCUUGAGUAACUCCAAAAGCGGCCACCAAAGAUCUUUAUUGGAUUUGUUUUCAUCACCAGCACGUCGAGGUGAAAGAUGUGCAUGUUCAGUGGGUCCUCUUGCGUUUUCAUUGACAUGUGGGACCGCAUGUGAGCAAACAGACGAUGGGCUCCGUGCAUCGACUGGCUAGCUGAGAAGAGAGAUAGAGGAGGGCUGAGCACGGACUCCAGGAAAUUUGUUCUACAUACCUUGAUAUAGGCUCGAUAUACUGGGGUGGCAUGGGCCAUAACUAGUAUUCACGUCUAGCAGUACGGCACACGCCACCCACACGAGUCCCAUCCGACACCAAUUUUCUUGGAGUCCGUGCUACAGCCAUCUCUUCUCCCUCCUAUUUUCUCAGCCAUCGCGCGGUGGGCGGGGUGGGGGUUUGCCGAUAGUUAGUUUGAUCAACUGCGGUCCCACUUGUAACUGAAAAUGCAACACCGCACACAUUCCCCCUUGAGCAGCGUGCCGGACCAACCGUGUGGGGGUGCUAUGCGAACACGGGAGGCUUUUCCUUUCGAACUCAUAACUGGUAAAAUUUGGUUCUGCUCCAUGGCGCGACCGAUAGAUAGAAAAUAACGAUUUUACCUAGAGUAAUGAGAAGUUUCACUACUAGGGAAAAUCCUAUACACAGAAUCUUACUAGUAGCGAGGGUUAAAAACCCUCGCUACUGCUACUUACUAGUAGCGCAGGUUUUUAAACCUCGCUACUACUAAGUUGAUAGCAGUAGCGCGGGCUUUUAACCCUCGCUACUACUAAGCGGUCUCUACCAUGCCCCCCGGGACAUGCCAUAGUAGUAGCGCGGAUUUUUACCCCUCGCUACUACUAAGUUGAUAGUAGUAGCGCGGGUUUUUAACCCUCGUUACUACUAAGCGGUCUCUACCGUGCCUCCCUCAGACAUGCCAUAGUAGUAGCGAGGGGUAAAGAUACCCACGCUACUACUGAGCGUAUCCCUCCCUUGCCGCACCACUGCCACCCCGAUCCUAAAGAAAAAAAAAUUCCACUCCCACCCCACCAAACUCUCUCUCUCCAACCUCACCCCCACCCCUCAGUUGACUCAUCUACCCCACGACCACCUCGCCGCUGCCAGCACCCACGCCGGCCGGUUCCGGCGAGCUCCGGCCACGCGAAAUACGCCCCCAAGCACCCCAAGCUCCGCCCCUCCCUCCCCUCCUCCCAGAUCCGUGCCUCAAGGCCUGCACCCUUGCCUUGAGGCGGCGAGGGGGAAGGCGGCGGCGGAGAGGCAAACAGCGAGGAGGAGGAGCAGGCGACUCUUCCACCCAACGACCGCGGAGUUGUCGGUGUGGGCCGUCAGCCUCACCGAGAAGAGGAGCAGCAUGGCGACAAGGACGACGAGGGAGAGGAGGUCGUGGCUGAGGACGAGGCGCACGUACAGGUCCCUCCCGCAGGCGCUGUCGGGGCGGAAGGCAUUUCUGAUGACGAAGAAAGUGGUGAGAUUAAUCCUGAGCUGCUCCCUAGUAGCGGUGAGAAUCCUGAGCUGUUUAAGAAAUUUAGAUCUCCAAUCAUCUCACUAUCCCUCAGUUUAAUAUAUUCUAUUUCAAUCGAGGAUAUGCAAUUUUUCUUGAGUUGUUGAACACAUUGGGCCAUUGGGGUAUGCCUCCGGUUAAUUAACCUGAGCAUAAGGGAAAAUGUUUAGCCUGCGAACUUAACAUACAUGCAGUAUGCAUGUGCCCUCCAUGGCAGAAACUUCCAUUUUUUGUUAAACAAGAGUCCAUGUUGGCUGAGUUGUGGAUCAUUUAGAACCGUCUAAUUCAGUCCCUGCCUGUUUAUGAGCUUCACAUAGCCUCCCAUGAUAGUUUCUGAAGGCAGGACAGACCAUGUGGAAAUGAGAACAGAUGUACGGGCAUGGUUCUGUACAGGUGUUAGGUAAGUGUUUUUGCUGAUUGUGUGAAAUUUUGCAGGUAGUGGUAGCAUGCUAUAUUAAUGCUUUGGACGAAAUUACAUUAUUCUUCACCCCUGCUCAGCUCAGAGAGGCACCUCACCCCGUCGUCCCCUGAUCUCUGAAUCUCAAUGCUUGGACGAAAUUACAUUAUGAAACUUAUAUGCAGUAAGGCCUAGAUUGGCAGUGUAAUUUUUAAAAUACCGCAGUAUUCGAAAAAUUCGGCAUCAUGUUUAACUAGUGUGGAGCAUGCUAUGCAGAGGCCUAGUUUGCCAUGUUGAUAAUUGUGAGUUACAAACCAAGCUUUCAGUUUGAGAAAAAAGAGGUCUGGACCUCUUUUUCUAGAAGUUAGAAAAAACAUGGUAUCAGGAAUACAAGUGAAUAUGAAACUAUUGUUGUUGGUUUAGCCAAACACCUCACAGUUUUCAAAACUACAGUUUUAUAGAAAUCAUAGUAUUCUGAUUGAGCUAAGCUAGCAAUGUAUCUUCACCUGUGGGAAUCAAGGUGCAUAUGCUCCUUGUCUUUUUUCACAUUCUAGACUAGAUUGAAUAAUAGGAAUUGCCAAUCAACUGUAAAAAAAUAAAUUUAAUUACCAAUCUGCACGCACCAGACAUAUAUCUUUCUCAUCAUUUUAAACAGUAAACAUUGAUACUCCACGUAUACAUUUUCUAAGAAUUACUUCAUAUAUGUAGGCUGGCAGCGGUGUUCACAAAUCACCACGAAGAAAGUAAAGAUCUCGAGAGGAUUCCGUUUGUUUGCUCUAUGUAUUGUCUUUCGAAGCGCGCGCAGGAAAAAACACACACAAAAAUGCUAGUUCAUUUUACUGCCUUUUGUAGCAAAAGAAAAUGAAAAACACAAAAAAUGUUUGUUCCUCUGCCUUUUGUAGUAAUGGAGAAUGAAAGUCACAAAUUUUUUUUGGAGGAGUGGUCUCUAUGAUUUGGGGGUAGUGGCCCGGGUUUGGUCGGGCUCGAAUUCUCUGCUAUGGGUUUGGAGGAGUAAUGUUUCUGGUUCUGCAGAUAUUCAAGCUCUGGCGGACGGAGUGUCUGUGCGUGAGCAGCGAGACGGCGGCUAAGGCUAGCGUGGAAGAGGUUAGUUUUAGCAUCUAGUUCUGCAUCAUGGCUGUAAACUGAACUUGGUUCAUUUAAAAACUGCACUGUCCAAUUUGGACAGCAAGCUUAGAUCUGAAAAAUGAGUUAGCUAGGCUUAGAAUUUUGAGUGGCCCCUUUACAUAAGUUUUAGAUAAAGUUCCAAGGUUUCUUUAGAGUAUUUAUUUGUGUCGUUUGGAUGUAUGGUUUGAGAGCAGCCAUCAAUUUAGUUUGUUGUCCCGAAAUAUAUGUUCCUGGGUACAGUAUUUUGAUAUGGGAGAUUAGGCCCUGUUAGAGGUGGUAUUAAAAUAAAGUUACAACAUGAAAAUUUUAGAGGCUGUUCUGUAGAUACUUAAACACAUAUCACUUGUCAGGUUUCGUUCGUUAUAUUAAAUACUAUGAAGUUAUCAAAGUGGGCUUUACUAUGUUGGACAUAAUUUUAUGUUUGGACUUGGGUGAAUGUAACCAGACUUAUACUCUCAGAUUUUGUCAUAGUUGAUGGUGUGAGGACUUAUAAUGUGAUAAAGUAUAUACGUUGUUGCAACACCAAAAUCGGUGAAAUAUAUUUCCUUUUUUUUCUGCCGAUGACAUCUCCAUAAAGUAAGGAUUUAGAUAACAUCAUAUGUUCAGAGUUCAGUUCUUUUCUUAUCUAAAACUAACAUACAAUGGGCAUGAUGGAUGUUGCAGGUUCAUUGAUGACAACCAAGGGUUCAUGCUCGGAAACGACUACAUCUUGCUCCAUGUUGUCGGCUCAGCUAGAGUCCUUAAUCAUGCGGAGAUGGGACACGUCGAUUGUUAGAGUACACUUGACAGGUGCAUUUUGUGAAAUUCUAGCCACAAGAUUGAUAGCAUGCUUGCCUGCUUGUUCUUUUCAGUUCAAAUAAAUGUUCCUUUUCUUGUUGAAUCCAAAGUAGCUAGCGGAGAUAAGUGGAAAGGUUGUUGAUUAUCCCAAAGUUCUUGGACCAUUUAGUUUGAAUAGCCAGUGAGGAAAUAAGCAUAUAUUUUUGGCAUGAGCCCCUUUAAAUUGCUAGAUGAGAAAGAAUCUUAACUUAAUUAAUGGGUCUUGUGAAUUGGAAUAUACCAUUUAGUUGAACUGAUGCAAUUUGCGUACUAACAAGUUUUCACUUUCUCGACAUGGGCGCAGGGGUGAUCGACGCUGACUAGCGCAGCCGGUGGGCGCUGUGCUCUUGAACCACUCAGAGGCGGACUUCUCCGUGAAGCUGGUGGCCAUUUCGCUUAGAUGAUUGUCGAGGUGAUUUCGACGCCGGAGAUCGCCGAGGUGGAGGACCUCGACGCCACCGUCCGGGGGAGGGAGGAUUCGGGUACACCGGCGUCUAAGCUCCGAGCCUUGGUAGAUACAUCUACGGAAGUUGUCUGUUUAGGUUGGUGAUGGAACACCAGGGAAGGUACCCACCUUUCGAUGAUCAUUAUGUGUGUGUCUGAAGUUAAAUGGAAUCUUGAGAAUGUUAUGUGACGUUGGUUUGAUUUGCACUGGACGUAUUGCCAUCCAUGAAUACUACAUCUAACUUUUAUUUUUUUAAUUCCUAAAUUAUUAGUAGUAGCGUGGGAAACAAAUGAGCGCUACUAGCUAGUAAUUAGGUUAGUAGUAGCGUGGGAAAUAAGAAAUGAGCGCUACUAGUAGUUAGGUUAGUAGUAGCGUGGGAUAUAAGUGAGCGCUACUGGUAGUUAGGUUAGUAGUAGGCUAGUAGCGCGGGUGCACCCGCGCUGCUACUAACUUUUAGCUGUAGCGCGAUACUAGUAGCGCGAGUACCCGCGCUACUAGUAGCAUUUUACCCGCGCUGCUAGUAGCCUUUUUCCUAGUAGUGUGGUUCUGGCGCCGUUCAUGCAUGGAGUACGUACAAAAAUUAUGAAGUUGAUGCGAACGGUAAGAUAAUUACUAGUAGUACCAUAUACUACUACAUGGAUUUGACAAAAAGAUAAAAAUACAUACGGAUCCAUCAACGACAUCCUCAUGCCCUAGUGCGCCAGGUCACCAACCGACGUGUGAGGAGUAGCGGCGUUGGCAGCGAGCUCAACGUGCUUCUGAACAAUGCCGUCCAUGGUUGCCCUGCGGUCCAAGAAGGCCAGCAUCCUAUCGUCCUCCUCUUGCAUGUAGUAGUCCUUGUGGACGAUUUGCGCGUAGAAAUGGGUGAUUAUGUCGAUGGUGUCUUGCUGCGCCAGGCGAUGCGCGGCGAGCGCGACCUUGAGGUGGACAUUCUCCGGCGUGACGGCGGGCAGUCGCAGGGCCACCAGUGCGUCGAAUAGGUUUUCACCAUAGUGGCCGUUGAGGGUGGCGGGCAUCGCAGAGCCUGGACGCAUUGGCUGGAGGCGUACGUCAAAGUCGUCCGCGAGCUUCUUGACGACGGUGAACUUGUCGAGGAAACCGACGAGGACCUCAUCGAACAAGGAUACGAAGCUGUCGUCCAAGCGGCCCCUCGCCCUAGCGGCCUCAAGCAAUACCUGGAGACAUUCCUCGGUGUCGGGCCAUAGGCCGGCGUCAUGGACCAUCUGGCACAGCCGGCUGAUGCUCGCGCUCAUCACCUCCAUGGGUCUAGCUUAGCUUCUAGUCAACUGACCUUGCGAUUCGAGUGAUCACUCUUGCCACUGGUUAGCGUGCGUAGGUGCGUAGGAUUUCGUACAACUCCUCGGCCCUCUACUGCACCUGCCUUUGGCUAUAUGAUAGGUGGGCCAGCCACCCCUUGGGCCCACGUGUCAUUCACCCGAAUGCAGUUGCAGUAAGUCAAUGAAGCUACGUCCCCCUCCGUGCCGGUGCAGUAUAGUCAUCUCACCGGACCUCUAGUUGGGGCCAACCGAGAGAAGUUUGAUGUUUACUGGUUUAUUGGUCCCCUUUGCAUUUUGCGCCAAGUUUUGACCUUUGAUUUAACUAAUAAAAUGUUAAUGCAUGUAAACAAAAAUGUUGUGUAAGUCACCUUACGAAAACCAAAUAAUCCCAAAACACUUAGGCACGGUGCACUAACUCCCUCCUUGUUUCUUAUUUCAUGACAUAUCAACAAAUGAGAGAUGUGGGCCAUGCAUGCUUUCAAUGACUUGAGACUACCAAACAUGACAUGCAUUGUUUAGUUCAUUGCAUGUAAUCUAUUAGUUAGCAAAAAGACAUUAAGUUCUCUCGCCGAUAGGAAUAAAACAAUACACCAUGUAUUUAUUUACAGAGGGAGUAGUACAUUUUUUGUGACAUGCAUUACUAGAUAUUGCUAGUCAAAUACUAAAAUCUAGAUGGACGUGGUAGUACUCCUAAAUCCAGACGGUGGUGCUACUAGUACUAGUAGUAGUACUACCAAUGUAGUAGGAGUACUAGCACUGUACUACCCGUUGGUCAAAUUAUUACGUGCCACUCCUCACAGUGAAGUGACAAGACCCUGCGCCGGAGAUGACACCUGAGUGUAGGCGUCGUGUUGGUCAUACCAUAGUCAGCCUCACCGUCUGUAGUCACUAUCAUCAUGGCUAUAGAGCUAGCCUGCUUACAACUAGCCCUGUUCGACAUAAUUUCCCAUGCAUUGCACGAAACACCAAUAUUGGGGGUGGACAGCGCCGGCAGCGGCCAUCGCGCCACAUUUUUCCACGGCCUUCUAGAUGUGGUGGGGAGGAGAUAAGGCUGAUUGUGAGAGACAAGGAGUUGUUUGUAAAUAGGGAACAAGUGCGGGCAUCUUUUUGCAAAAAUGGAGAUGUUUGGUUUGUAUGCGUCAGAUCUAGAUCCGACGGCUAUUGGUGAAAGAUGGGAUGCACAACAUCAUCACCAACUCAGGACCUGUUUGAUUCACAGGAUUUUGAAAAUGCAUGAAUAGGACAUGACAAUAUUACAAGUUUCAAACCGAUAUUACAAAUGUUAGGAGUAAUGCUGCACCUACGAAGAGGGAAUUACUAGGAAGUUUACGUAAGAACUUUCGUUACUUUAGGUGGAUGCAGCAUUAUCAUACAAACUAAAAUCCACCACCCUGACAAGUCACUAAUGGGCAAAUAAGUUUUUGAAUCUCUGGCCACUUGAUGUUUCAAAAACAAAUUCAGCUUCUGUGAAGACUUUGUCAUUUAGGCUUAGACGCCUGCGGUGAUCAGCACGCCAUUCAUUGUUCCGCCAGAGAACGCCAAACCUCAUUACCUUGAGCACACUUUCCUCCAGAACAAAGAACCUGGCCAAUUUAAUCUCAGAUGUGCUACCUCGGUAGUCGAUCAAAUAAAUAUCUGUAAGAUGGAGAUCAAGGCAUAUUUGGAUACAAAGGAAUGGGAAGAUCUUCAGGAAUGAAACACCUUCUUUCAGGGCAUGGAGGAGGAAUUUUUUGCAGGACAUCUCUCUUUUAGCUCAUAGAAUCAAAUGUAAAUAUAGGAAUAGUUUAACCUCUUGGAUAGCUUCCUUACCCUAAUCACUUAUUUUGUAAGUAUUACUCUCUCCUCCUCUCUCUUAACUUUGUAACUUUGUACUACUUUGCUUUGAGUUUUAAUAAAAGACUGUGAGGCUGUUGCCUUGCAGUACAUAGUCAAAAAAAAGAUGGAGAUCAAGGCAUUUGAUGAGAUUUUUAUAGUGCAACACAUUUUUCACUUUUGGGUCUUUUUUUAUCUGCAAAAGAAGAGAACAUAUUAGAGCAGCUGGCUGUAUAAGAUUGUCGUGUCAUCAAGAGGUACCAAUAUCAUUCGCUCAUACGAUAGGGUUGGCUGGCUAGUGAUAUUUUUUCACUCUCUCUCUUUAUAUUUCCUCUCAUUUAACUAGGAGCACGUGAAGAGCUUGGGCAUUUGUUGCCUUCCACUAUGUGGCUGAUGCCAUAUUUCGCAAAAGUAUGCCACAUAAUACGCAUCAAUGUCAAAUCAAAAGAUUUUGGCACCGCUCUCGCGAUGUGAGAGAGUUGGCACCGCUGUGCACACAGACCUACAUGUAUAAACAAAUCAAUCAAACAACCUACACCAGCCUCUCACUCUCCCAAACAAGUGUUUUUUAUUGCCUCAGUCCUCUCUCUCACCCACGCAGUGUUUUUUCAUUGCGUGAGUUAAUUUGGCACCGGAGCAAAGUAGGUGAUCCAGAUUGGGGCACUAGGUGAGCAAUGGAGGGGCAUCGAUGCCAAAUGCAUCACAAGUAAAUUUGGCACGUGUUUUGGCCUACAUAGCCCACUUUUGUACUCCCUCCGUCCCAAAAUUCAUGUCUGAAAUUUGUCUAAAUAUGGAUGUAUCUAGUUACAUUUUAGUGUUAGAUACAUCCGUAUCUAAACAAAUGUAAGACAAGAAUUUUGGGACGGAGGGAAUACUACCUCGUAUUUAGUAUAAAAUUUUGACCAUAGAUUUACCUAAGAAAAUGCCAAUGCAUGUCACUAAAAAUUACACCAUUUGAAAUUAUGUUCAAAUAUGAAUCCAACGAUAUAGUUCUUAGUGACAUGCAUUAACAUUUUGUUAGUUAAAUCUAUGCUCUUAGUACAGCAUAAAAAUGAUGCAGGUGAUCACGUGAGAAAAAAUACUAAAAAUAUUUCUUUCGAUGCAGUGCGUAGAUGCAGUUUUGAACACUUCACUUGUCAUCAUAAUUUGGGAAAAUUACGAAAAAAUUGAGCUACGUUGUGAUUACUGUUUACUAAUAGGAAAGAAGUUUCACCUCGAUGAGUAGCUUCUCCGUGCAAGGAAAGCAUGCAAGGAAUCCAACAACUUGAUCCAGAUUGGGGCCGAUAGAUUUUAGUGCCAAGAUCUUUACUAUGCGCAUGGACUGGGUCAAGCUUGUGGGAAUCAUUUUCUGGAAGACGGUCGUAAAUACAUCAAGAAGAAAUUUAAAAAGUGAAUUUCAAGAAGACGGAGAAGAAGAUGAGUGUUGUACCUAAACGAUUACGGAUCCAAUAAAGAGUUCGGAGAAUUUGGCAAAUGAGUACACCAACACUGUCAAUUUCGGCGCGUCAAUGACCCUGAUUUUUGUUGGACCUUCUAGAUCCGAUACAAGCAAUCUCUCAAGGAAAGGCGCAUUCUCAAUAACCAUAACGUGGAACAGCUAGAGUGAUCUCUUCCCAAAUGAUGUCUUGUUGCGGGGCCAGCAAGACACAUAAAUCCAUCGGAGAUUCGUCGAGGCGAUGUGGAGGCUAAUGAACCCGUGGAUCUGCUCAAGACGAAGGUACUCGAGCGCAGUACAGCUACGGAGCAGGUGCUCCAUAACCUUCUUCGAGAUGACAACAUUGAAGAGGUCGAGCUGCUUGAGUUGAGGGAGAAGAAGGGCGGGCGCGACAUUAAUCUGGGGAAGAUAGCAGGAGCUGAAGCUGGUGCGACGCAACAUUGUCGUGAGGCGGAGCGCAGACGGCCGCAGAGAGCGACAUCGUCCAGCUUCAAAGCUGAGCUCCUUGAGCUGAUCUAGGGUGGGGGAUAAGAACCACUCGUCAAACUUGAGUUGGACCUUGUAGUUGGUACUGAACAUGCGGAUGUCAAGGCAUCUGGCUGGCCCAGGGUGCGAUGAAAGGAUCUUGGAGACUGCGGCCAUGCGUUUGCAAUCCCCGUCGCAGAGGCAGCUGUCAACGGCGAGGUUGAGGGGGACGCGGUGCCAAAGGGCGCGCGACCGACGGGAGAGCAGGGUGGUUCGCACAGCAAAUUUGGUGGGGAGGAGGCCGAUGAUGACGAGGAACAUGUUUUCAGGGAGGCUGCUGAUGAAGUCCAGGCUCACCUGAUGCGGUUUUGGCUCGAGUCACCUCUGCUUGUUGGCUGCCUCGCCGUCCAUCUCAAUUGGUGGCGACGCCGGUGUACACCGGUGCUGGUGUGUGUUGUGUGCUAGGUGUGCGUGAGUGCGUCCUUCUGUUCAUGACGCUGUGCAGUGGCGAAUUGUGCGCGAGUGCGUCCUUCACGCGCAAGAAGUGUGUCCUCAAUGUGCCCUCAAUUUACUAGCAUGCGGGGUGCUACCUCGAGUGGUUUCAACUUUGUUUACUUCACCGCAUGUCAGAUGGGCCUCUAGUUUACUUAUUUUCACCCACUGCCACAUGGGCCAGCACACGAAGAUACAGAACACGAGCUGACAAGGCAGCAUGUGGACUGGUUGACCGGUCAACUAAACAAUAUACGGAGCUAUAUGCUAACACAAUGAGCAUAUAAUCCGUCGGUAUAGAGAGUUUGAGUGUGAGGGGAGGCCCGUGAGAGAUAGCAGAGAGAGAGAGAGAAAGAGCUACUCCCACCGUUCGAUAAUGUAGUUCCAACAUUUUUUUUAAAGCCAAACUUUUCAAACUUUGACCAAGUUUAUAAAGAAAUUACUUAUAUCUACAAUACCAAAGAUAAAUGAUAGUAUGAAGUAAAUACAUGUUGUGAUGAAUCUAAUGAUCGUUCCAGAUGUAAAUGAUUUUCUCCACAUAUACCUGGUCAAACUUUUCUGAGGUUUGACUUUUCAAAACAUCCAUAUGCUUAUGGACAUGACACAGUCCCUAACUAGAGAGAGAGAGAGAGAGAGCAAGAGAGAGAGACAGAGAGAGAGAGAGAGAGAGAGAGAGAAAUAGAAAGAGUGAGUGAAAAAAGUGUGUGUGCGUGUGUGAAAGAGACAUGGACAACACAUGACAAAAGUAGAGAAAAAGCAUGCGUGUCUUAUGCAAACAUAUCACACAUGCAUCUUUGACAACGGAGGCAAGGUGAGGACAUAGUGUGUGGUUGUUUGGAACCGAGAGAGCAAGACCCCUAGCACGUGGCCAAGAGGGGUCUGACAAACAAGGGAGAGAGGUCGAGAGAGACGUACAGAGAAAAUGCAGACAUGGGGAGGAGAGAGUAUAUGUUUGUCAUACAGAGAUCCCAUGGAGAUCGCGAUGGGACUACAUGGGUGGGAGAUCGAGUGACAAGGUGUGUGCGCGAUAGAAGAUGCCCCGAGAGAUAUCGAGAUAGACGUGUGGAUGGAAGGAGACAAUACGUGUGUUCCUGAUGGCUAGUAAGAGAUAAUCAUACUUAGGAGGAGGGGGGAGUGCUUGCGCCUAUGAUGGAGUGAGGGAUUAUGGUACUUAUGGGGGUGCGUGUCACAUGGAGAGAGAACAAGGGCGGAGAGUGUUGGAUGAGUCUAUAUGUAUAGCACGAGCGAGACAUGUGUAUGUGUGAACCUGGGAGAUAUAAGGUCAGUUUGGCUUGUGUCCUGAGCAUCUUUUGCCUGGCCUGGGGUUGUGGCUUGAUUUCAUGCGCGCUUGUUUGGUUGCUACCCUGUGAAAAAGAAAGCCCGCCUGGCCUGGAUUCCCUUGCACUUUAAUUAGCCUGGCUAGACUCCAGACACUACAAGUAGCUUGGCCCAGGCGACCGAUUUCGAAUGCCUAGCCAUGCCUGGUCGUGCAGCCACGAGGAUAAAAGCAACCUAGAUGGAUAUUAGCAUUAAAUAAUUGCUGCAUGGAUUGAUUGAUGCGACGUUGAUGCUUUGCCUGGCCCAGGCACGAACCAAACGCUUCUGCACCACACAAGCCUGGCCAGGCAGAAAUAUUUUACAUCUCACGUCCACGCCAGGCAGUACUGGCCAUCAAGGCAUGAGGGUGAGGUCAGGAACCAAACUGACCAAUAAAGUUUGAAAGAGAUUGAGGAGCCCCGAUAAGGCUGAGUGGUGCGUUAGAUAGCUGAGAGGGGGAAAGAGAUAUUCCAUCCGCUCGAUAAUGUAGUGCAUGUAAAUUUUUUAGAAGUCAAACUUUGGAAACUUUGAUCAGGUUUACGCAAAUGUUAUUUAUAUCUACAAUACCAAAGAUACAUCAUACACAACUACAUAUCAUGGUGAAUCUAAUGGUAUAUGUUUGCCGUUCUAGAUGUAAUUUUUUUCUCCACGUACAUGGUCAAACUUUGUGAUGUUUGACUUUUCAAUAAAUCUAUAUGCUAUGGACCAAGGAGAGUGCCUAAGUCGAAACAGAUCAAGUGUGUGUGAAGGAGAAUGAGUAAGUGUGCAAAAAGAGUAUGUGUGUGAAAGAGAAAGUACAACAAAUGAUAAACUAGAGAGUGUGUGUGUUUUUUCGUUUCUUAUGCGAACAUAUCACGCAUGCAUCUCCGAGAUAGAAAAGCGAGGCGAGGAGAUACACAAAGAUAGCUAGUGUGUGAUUGUUUGCAACAGAGAGAGACACCCCUGUAGCACAUGUCCAAUAGAGGUCUGGCCAACAAGGAACAAAUGUCGUGAGGGACACAUGGAGGACAUGGACACAUGGGGAGGGAGAGAGGGUGUGUUUGUGAUAGAGAGAUCCCAUCGAGAUCGUGAGGGGACUAUAUGGGUGGGAGAUCGAGGGAGGUGCGUGCGUGAUAGAAAGAUGCCCCGAGAGAAAUCGAGAUAGACCAUGCACAUGUUUGUGAUGGAGACUAAGAUUAGCUAGUCAUAUACAUAUAGGGGGACUACGCGUGCCUACAAUUGAGUGAGAGACCAUCAUACUUGGCUAGCUAGGCAUGAGAUUGUGUGUGUGUGUGCGUGUGAGAUGGAGAGAGAAUGAGGUAGAGAGAUAUAGUUUUAGAUGGGCCUAUCGAGUGCGAGUGAGAUAUGCAUGUGUAUGUGUGACCCAGGUGGAUCGAGAGUUUGAGAGGGGGGAGAGCUCCGAGACGACAGAGUGGUGCGUGAGAGAGUUACGGGCAACGAGCAAAGGAAUUUGUGUGCGUACCAUGAGUGCGCCCAAGAUAUCUAGCUUGGAUUAGCUAGAGUAUCAUACAUAGUGUGCGAGAGAGACCUAUAUAUGGUGUAUAUAUAUGCAUGCGAACUAGAAUGAUCCCCCCACACACACACAAAGAGAGAGAGAGAGAGNNNNNNNNNNNNNNNNNNNNNNNNNNNNNNNNNNNNNNNNNNNNNNNNNNNNNNNNNNNNNNNNNNNNNNNNNNNNNNNNNNNNNNNNNNNNNNNNNNNNNNNNNNNNNNNNNNNNNNNNNNNNNNNNNNNNNNNNNNNNNNNNNNNNNNNNNNNNNNNNNNNNNNNNNNNNNNNNNNNNNNNNNNNNNNNNNNNNNNNNNNNNNNNNNNNNNNNNNNNNNNNNNNNNNNNNNNNNNNNNNNNNNNNNNNNNNNNNNNNNNNNNNNNNNNNNNNNNNNNNNNNNNNNNNNNNNNNNNNNNNNNNNNNGUGUCGGAUGCGUGCGACAGGAUUGAAGAUUGUCGGAGAGAGAGAGAGAGCGAGAGAGAGAGAGAGAGAGAGAAAGAGAGAGAGAGAGAGAGAGAGAGAGAGAGAGAGAGAGAACAUGAGUCUGGGAGAGGGGGAGGUCGCGUUUUAUGCAUCAAAGACUGAUAUAAACCAUGUCUCGAUAUAAACUUGCAUUCAAAUAUUUAAAUUGGAAAACAUGUUGUUUGCAAUCCACACAUGAACGGAUAUAUGCGUAUAUCAAACAAGUUCAUCAAUUUGACUUUCAACAUGUUCAUGGAGUACUAUAAUACUAUACAACACGCUACUUGAUUGAGGUGUUCAAUUUUGGAUUUAGUUCACUAUUUUGACCUAGUGAACGAGCUAUUUCAUUGAAUCGAGAUAUUUCAUUUUGGGUUUAAUUCGUGUUUUUGAGUGCGUCAACUAUUUGUCAUAUAGUAAAUCGCUAGCAAUGAGCAUGUAAAAACACAUUACUCCCAAGCAUCAUCUCUCCAUCUAAAAAAGAAGUGGCAAGCUAAUAUUUCAAAAUUUGAUUCGAAUCGACUUGGUAAGGUAGACGUGGAUGCUCGAUCUCCUAAAAUUUGAAUGAACCGUUAAACAUCAUCUACUCGGUGGAAUUCGCCCGAGCAAAUAAAUGGGAGAUGCGAAAUUACCGUCCUAUGUGGGACACACAUCUAUUGGCCCGUUGUACAUCGCGGGUAGGUUCAUAACUUCAUCCAAGCGCGCCUUCUCUUCGGCCAAAAUGACAUGUGCCGAAUAAUUCAUAAACCAUGGUCGGCAAAACACGCUCUCCUCGCCUAAAAUAGCUCGCGCCCACUAUUUCAAAACAUGCUCUCCUCGCACGAAAUUGUUCGCGCCCACUAUAGUUCAAAACACGCCCUCCUCGCCCGAAAUCGCUCCCGUCCACUAUUUGGGGAGAAGCAAAGUUACUCUACUAUCCCCGACCCUCAGUACACAGACCCAAGCCGAGAAGCCUAAAGGCAGGGGUAGAACUGUAACUCCCCCUCACAUUUCAGACAAAUGCGUCUGUAAGACAUGGUUCCACUCCCCUCACAAUUCCCCUCCCCCCCUCGCCCCCCAUUCAUACCUCGUGGGCGCAAAAUCACCUUCUCCCCAGGAAGCUCCCUUCUCCCGAGCCGCGAAACCUCAGCCCCUCCUCCAUGGCGCCCGCACCGCACCAAUUUCACAGCUGCCCUCCUCCCUAAUGCCGGAGAUGUUGUCCAUUUGCCGUCGUGCACUAGGCCGUGUGCCUCUUACUCCGUGCUGCUAGAGCUGCCUCGACGACGGCCGCGUGAACCGUACCGGAGCCGAUUCACCCCCGCCAUUGUUCAUGACGCUGGAGCGGCUCCAACUUCGGAUCCGUCCAGAGUCCAAGUGCUGCUUCCCCAUAGCCGUCGACCGUCGCGACAUUGUUGUUUCCCUGUCGCAGGUCGCCACCGCAACUGCGCCGGCAUCACUGACUCGGCAGCUGGACCUCCCUACUUCACCAUGCCACCAGAUAGGUCGCACCCUCAUCUCAAAUCACUUUAUUUAGGCGUCAGUUGUCUGAAUUUUUAUUCUGGGCCAAUCGAUUCCUAAUGGGAAGCAGCAUCCCUCGAGGCGGCGGAGCUCCCGGUUAGCUGGUGUCUAACGUAAGGGUGCGGGGCCGCAAGUUCGCCGCGGAAGCAGCACUUAGAUGGCUAAGUUUUAGAGUUGUGUGGGUUGAAGGUACUAGCGCCAUCGGAUCUGGAUGACGGGGCGUCUUUGUGGAUUGGCCCGGGGGCGGCGCAACCACGGCAGUGCGGUGGGGUGGGGAGCGGGGUUUUGGCCAGGGCCACGGACAUCGGAGGUAGGCUGCUCUGCCGUUGGUCGCUAGCUCUUCGGGGAAGAUUCCGAAUAGUGUCAGCCGGGAGGCACAAGACGACCAUCAAGCCAUCCAGCGUAGAUCGGACAAUACCAAAAUAAAAUAAAAUCAUGUGACCCCAAUUUAGUCUUCAGUCAACAGAUGUGUGACCACUCUCGUACCUUGCUGUUGAUCUCUUAGUGUAUUUCUUCAGAUCAAAGAGAUAUGUCAUUCUUAACAUUAUGCAUUAUCUGCAUCUUCAGACACACCGUCUUCCGACUCACCACAGCUGCUCCAACAAGGGAAGCAUACACCAGAAGGGAGCUAUAGUCCCCACUCAACAGUUCCCUGCAUUGAAUGCGCUUGCCCGACAUGGACAGCCACAACAACUGCAGGGCCAUCGACAAGUCAACACAUGAUGCUCACUCCUAUGGAUGGCAGCCAGAUAGGUUGUACCCUCAUCUUACUUGUGUGCAACAUUUAUGGCUUUGUUAUUCAUCUAAGCAUGGAAAAUAGAUCAUCACAUCUCACUUUAUAUUCAUGCUGAUCUCUUACGGGUCUUGUUCAGGAGUUAACGUUGUUCCAUAGUUCAGCUAAGAUACUUGUUCUUUAGGUAACGUUGUUCCAUAGUUAUCAUCUAUCAGCCAAUUCUAUCCCACAGGCUGGUGAUUAUAGUAUUAUAGCACUUCUAGUAUUACCUAUGUUGUUCUUUAAUACUUUUGUGUGCCAUCUAGUUAAUCUCGAGUACAAAUGAUACAUAUUCCAUAGCUUUCAUCUAUGUUCUCCCUUUAGUUUAUGAGACUUGUUGCUGCUAGUUAACCCUAGUCCUACUAUUUAUGUCGUCUCCUACAGGCACUCAUUACAUAAAUCUAACUACUAGUUGUCUUCCAUGCAUGUCACAUAUAAUUGCACACACUGAUAUAUCCACAAUAACCUCACGGAGCAAUGUAAAGGCCAAUAAACUUGAUGUCAAUGAUACCCAAUAUGAUGGAACUUGUAAAGGCAGUUCUUCAGAAGACUUGCAGAAAGAUAAUGAAUCCUCUUCACCCCACAAGGUCCUUACUCUAACAUGGCCUGUGAUAUGGGUACGGCAUGCAUAUAAUGUCCUGGAGUGUAUCUACUCUGUUGCAAUGCCAUGUCCUUAGCAUGCUGAUCAUGCAUGUAAAUAUGUCAUGCCUUCCUGUUUUUCAGUACCUAUUCCAUUCAUGGUAACAUGUUUUCAAAUUCAAGUACUGUCAUUCUACUCUAUCGCAAUGCCAUCGGCUUAAUUUGGACAUCAUGCUUCUGAAUAUCUUAUACAUUGUUAUUCAUCAGUAUGUACUUCAUCUGUCUACCAUACCAUGUUUUUUACAUUGAAGUGUUGUUCUAGUGCUCUGUUGCAAUGCCACCUUAGUUUCCCAAUCAUACACGUGUAUGUUGCCUUAGUUAUUUUUGUACGUAUUCCGCUAGCAUACAGUUUUACAUUCAACUAGUGUUUUUUCUUGCUAUGUUGUCCUGUCGUAUCCCUAGCUCUUACACCAUACUCCCACCGUCCGGAUUACAUGUUGACGAAAUGGAUAAAAAAGGAUGUAUCUAGAACUGAAAUACGCCUAGACCCAUCCAUUUUGUUCCGGAUGGAGGGAAUACAUGUCAAUAUGUCAUGCCUUUCUAUUCUUCAGUACCUAUUCCAUCUCUCUGCUGUAGCAUGUUUUAUAAUUAAAGCACCAUUCUUGUAGGCAUGCAAGGGGAAGACGACUAUGUUAGAAUCAGAAGGGUUACAAACAAGGCCUUUGCAAAAGAUCCAAACGCCAGGAGAUAAUAAACCAACUCCAGUUUUUAUAGAUACUGCUCCAGCACAGAGAAACCCAACUCCUACUGAUAAUAAGCAUAUUCCAGUGGCCAAAGAACUAGUCCGCUCCAGUCCAAAAAAAUAUGUCAACUACAUUCUAAGAAGCGUGUGCAUAUCCUUGCAUCAUGAAAUUUUAUAGGAUGCUGAUCAUAUUAUCUACAUGUUUCUUACCCAUCUCUCUUUUAGAAAAUAAGCUUAACAGAUAGUAGAAUUUCUGCACUGGUAUCGUAUGUGAGGAAAGAUUCUUGCAGGAAUUCUCUUUGCUCCAAUGCAGAUGUAAGUACCUGUUGUAUAUCACUAUAUUUUUACAUCAGCAUGUAUUUUGUUAAUCGGCGUGAAUCCAACCUGUAUCUGAUCUAAAUUUAGUUGUAGCAAAAUGUAUGAUUAAAGGCCACAAUGUUGAUUUUUGUAAGGAAAACUGCCUGGUAGUUUUGCAUCCUGAGCUGCAUGAGUUUACUAUCUCAUAUCAGUGGGUUCGAAUACUUUGGUUCUGCAGUGGGUUUUCAGUGUUUUGUUGUCCCAUCGUAUCCCUAUCUCUUACAUCAUACUCCCUCCGUCUGGAUUACAUGUCGCAGAAAUGGAUAAAACUGGAUGUAUCUAGAACUGAAAUACACCUAGACCCAUCCAUUUAUUUUCGGAUGGAGGGAAUACAUGUCAAUAUGUCAUGCCUUUCUAUUCUUCAGUACCUAUUCCAUCUCUGUUGUAGCAUGUUUUAUAACUGAAUCACCAUUCUUCUAUAUAAAGCAUGCAAGGGGAAGACGGCUAUGUUAGAAUCUGAAGGGUUACAAACCAGGUCUUUGCAAAAGAUCCAAACGCCAGGGAUAAUAAACCAACUCCAUUGUUCAUAUAUACUUCUCCAGCACAGAGAAACCCAACUCCCACUGAUAAUAAGCAAAUUCCAGUGGCCAAAGAACUAGUCUGCUCCAGUCCAGCAAAAGAAUGUCAACUCCAUUCUAAGAAGCGUGUGCGUAUCCUCGCAUCAUGAAAUUUUAUAGCAUUCUGAUCAUAUUUUCUACAUGUUUCUUACCCAUCUCUCUUUUAGAAAAUAAGGUUAAAUGAUAGAAGACUUCCUCCAUUUGGAUCGUAUUUGAGGAAAAUAUCUUGCGGGAAUUCUCUGUGUUCCAAUGCUGAUGUAAGUACCUGUUGUAUAUCACUAUAUUUUUACAUCAGCAUGUAUUUUGUUAAUCGGUGUGAAUCUAACCUUUAUCUGAUCUAAAAUUAGUUGUUGCAAAAUGUUAAAGGUGCCAAUGUUGAUUUUUGUAAGGAAAACUGCCUGGUAGCUUUGCAUAUUGAGCUGCAUGAGUGUACUAUCUCAUAUCACGCACAUUACUAAAUUGUAGUGCUUCUCUGGUUGCCCAUUCAUUCAUUGUGUCAAUGUUGCUUUCGUAUUACGUUACCUGGCUGAUGAUAGUUGUGCAAUAUUGUGUUAAUUUGGUGUAGGCUAGUUUCCCAAACGUUCGUUGUGUCAAUUUUUCUUUCCAAUUAUCUGACUUGGCCAAUGAUAUCAGUGCUAGUGUGUUAAUUUUGUGUAGGCUGCUGAAGAUAAGAAGACAAACUCUGAAAACAGCAAGGCAACCCCAUUGUUUCUUUCCAAUAAAUCUAGGCCAGGUAAUAUGGCAAUAACUCAUGAUUAAUCUGUUUGGUUCCCUUCCUAAUUUAUGUUAUGAUGCAGUGGUCGAGACACUCUCCACUAUCAAUAAUACAAGCCUGCCAAAAUCGCCAUCUGAAUCUGUUCAGUGUCCUCCAUCUCGAAUGCAACGGAAUAAAUGUAUGUUUGUGAACCAAUUAAUGGCUGAAGCAAUGAUGGAAAUGGUGGAUGAAUCAGAGGUGCAGAGUUGUGCGACACAACAACUGAUCAAUGUUUUCAAAGACAGUGUAGCAAAGCAGCAAGAACUUGCCCACAUGCUUAUGGGCGUCAUCUGUGCUGAGAUUGCAGAUUGUGACGUUGUAGAUGGUUAGGUUCUGCUCAUUUAUUUGCACUGGCAUCAAUCUUUGAUUGCCUAGUGGAUGUAAUUUCCUAUAAUAUAUGCUGGAUGUGCAACGUUAUUCCCCGUAUGCCGUACCUUUGCUUGAUCGGUUUUGGUCCUGUGCAUAAUUGCUCGUCAUAAUGGGCCCAAAUUAUCUAAUUUGGCCUAAAGAUAUGUACGAACUUUAGUGGGCCCAUUAAGUUAAUGGGCCGUUACUAGGCCGAAAGUUAAUUCUCGGCCCUCUUACCUCCCGGGUCGUUAACAGGCCGACAUCGAAGUGGGCAAAUGGUGGGCCCAAUUUAUUUCACGGGCAGUUAACAGGCCGUUACUAAGUUUGGGCUACAUAUGGCCCAACUAUACUGUACGCCAUUAGCAGGCCGAAAGAGACAGCGGGCUUGUACUGGACCAUGAAGAGCAUGGGCCGCUAAGAGGCCGAAUGUCAGGUCGUAUUGUAAAUGGCCCAACUAUGUUGUGGGCCUUUAGCAGGCCGAAAGAGAAAUCGGGAUGGUAUUGGACCAUGAAGGGCAUGGGCCGUUAAAAGGCCAAAAGUAAGGUCCGACUACAAAUGGCCCAACUCAUUUAUGGCCCGUUAACAGGCCUGUCGGUGUCAAAACCAGCAGAUCUCGAGUAGGGGGUCCCGAACUGUGCGUCUAGGCGGAUGGUAAUAGGAGACAAGGGACACGAUGUUUUUACCCAGGUUCGGGCCCUCUCGGUGGAGGUAAAACCCUACUCCUGCUUGAUUAAUAUUGAUGGUAUGGGUAUUACAAGAGUUGAUCUACCACGAGAUCAGAGAGGCUAAACCCUAGAAGCUAGCCUAUGGUAUGAUUGUUUUCUGUCCUACGGACUAAAACUCUCCGGUUUAUAUAGACACCGGAGAGGGCUAGGGUUACACAGAGUCGGUUACAAUGGGAGGAGAUCUUCAUAUCGUAUCGCCAAGCUUGCCUUCCAGGCCAAGGAAAGUCCCUAUCCGAACACGGGACGGAGUCUUCAAUCUUGUAUCUUCAUAGUCCGGGAGUCCUGCCAAAGGUGAUAGUCCGGUCAUACGGACACCCCGUAAUCUAGGACUCUCUCAGUAGCUCCCGAACCAGGCUUCAAUGAUGACGAGUCUGGCGCGCAAAUUGUCUUCGGCAUUGCAAGGUGGGUUCUUCUCCAACUUCAUAUACUUGUAGAAUAGUGUCCAGCUUCUGAUAAAUGUUGCGCUCCUUGGCUUCCACGCCCAAUAAAGGCCAUUUUUCACGUGUCGAACGAAUGCGAAAAGCUAAGGUAUUUUUGCAUUUUCCCCCCUAGCGACUCAAAUAAGCUGUCUAUAAAAAGAGACGGGGAUCUAGAUCCGAACCACGCCAUCUCCCCUUCACAAGCUUUCAUCGGAGCACGUCUGACCAAAAAAUCCAUCAUGGACAGCCGACGCGGCUCCUCCUCUCGCGCUCCCAGCCCCAAGCCUGGGGAUUGGGAGAGAUGCUCCAUCCCGGAUAGUGAACUCAUAGUCCUUCAAUCCAAGGGGCUCCUUUCCCCAGCAUAUAUGGUCCCAGUUCGAGCUGGGAUCGCCACUUAUAGCGGCGGAGAGCAAGCAGAGAGCAUCCCCCAUCCCUCUCGAGGAGAGCGGGUAUGCCUAGUCCCUUAUUUAAUAAGAGGACUCGGAUUUCCAAUUCAUCCGUUUCUUCGAGGGUUGCUGGAGUUCUACGGCCUCCAACUUCACGACCUCACGCCUGCCUCCAUUCUGCACAUUGCGGGCUUCGUGGCCCUCUGCGAACUAUUUUUGGGUGUUGAGGCCCAUUUCGCGCUGUGGAAGAGGUUGUUCUACCUCGUGCCCCGUUCUCAGGAGGGGUCUAUUUAUCAAGUGGGCGGAGCCGAACUAUGGCGCAUCACUGGGACCGGAUAUCUAUCCGGUACCCCUAAGAGGACGUCGGAGGACUGGCCCUCGAAGUGGUUCUAUAUAGAUGAUGUCCCUCUGCCGGACCCUGUACGGAUCGACCUCCCUGAGUUCAAUAAAGCUUCGUUGAAGAAGCGCCUGAGCUGGCGCCCGCGGAACCCUCAGAGGGAAACUGACAGGGACGUCCUUUACCGGAUGAGCCGGAUAAGGUUGUUGGCUCAUUCCGGACUGACCAUGAUCAAGGUCAUGGCCAUAUGCAUUAUGCGAGGGGUGCAGCCGCUUCAAUACAGAGCACACCCCAUGUGGGAUUUCAACGGGGAGGACGAUGCCACCCGGUGCGGUCGUAAGGGGCCAGAUUCGGCCGCCACCUUAACGAGAAUUUUAUCCGCUUUGUAUAAGGGAGAAGAAGAGGAAUUCCUCCGUGCCAACCCGGAGGGCGGAUUCUCCAUGUACAAUCCUCCAAGUUGGGUAAGUGAACAAUUUCACUUAUCUACCCGCCUUUCGAAAUUCCCAUGGUUGAGUAUUCAGUCUGGUGAUAUUAACGCAGGAGUUACGCCAGACGGUGAAGGAGACCAACAACUCUCCCCCACAGCCCGAGGACCCGGAACGGUCCCUCGACCCGGAUUCCCAAGAGGAUCCGGACUUAUGUGUGGAGUUAAUUGAUGGGGUGUUUCAUCAAUUGAGUAAGGAUAACACAUUAGUGGCCAUUACGGCCGACUAUCCUGGAUUACUUCCAGCCUCAAAGGUAGCCGAGACCGAAGUCCUGGUACUUUGAAGGAGAUCCAUCCAUGUCUUAUUUUGAAUGCUGUAGACCAAUAGUGUUUCGUUUUGCAGGGGAAAUCCUUGAGGUGGAGUGCCGGGCCCGCGAUGGGCAGCCAACAAGGGCCGCUAAAGCCAAGCGGGCAAAAAAGAAGUGCAGACCAGAUCGAGACUCUGGUGCAACGGUACGGCGUGCGAAUUUCACGCCUAGGGUCUAUGCCCUCAAGUCAUUCUAAUGCCCAUGUUCUCCUUAGGAAGAAGAGAGCCCGUCGGACUAUAUCCACCGGCCAGACUUCAAGGACGGAUCCGGAAGCAGAGGCGGACACGGGACGUGCGUCAGGUGUUCCCCCGACAGAGGAUGCAGACAGGCUAUUUGCCACCAAUUCAGAGGUGGAGAGUGCCAUGAACCACAGGCAUCGCCGGACUAUUCUUCAGGACGCAUGUUUUUCCCCGGAGGCACUAAACGCCUUUAAUAUAGGAGAUGCGUACCUCCGUGCCACUCAAAAUGGUCUAGCCAGGGCCACGGAGCAGUAUGUAAAAGACAUAUAGUGAGUAAAUCUGAUAGUUAUAUAUGUUAGUAGCCCCCGAGACUUGAAAAGUUAAGAUAACUGUUUUAAGGAUCAUAUGUUAUGCAGGGUCUUACAGAGAAGAACACACAACUGUCUUAGGAGUUGGCGGAGUGCAAGGCCCAACUCGAGGCCGCACUGCCGCUUUAGCUAUUGGCAAGGAGACCCCCUCAGGUAAUGUAUUCUCCCAAAAAAUAAUUAAAUUGCGAAGUGUGCAAUGCUAACGAUAACAAUGCAGAUGAAGCCGGAGUAAAUCCGGACAAGCAACAACUCCUACGCCAACUAAAGGCUGGCGAGAGCGUGCUGACAAGGGUGAGGCAAGAGAAGAACAAGCUUCAAGACGCCAAUACCCAGCUGGGCGAGGAACUAAAGGAUGUUCGUAUCCAGCUGUCUGUUUCCGUAAAGGAGAAUCAGCGACUCCGACGCGGCAUUUUUAGUAAGUGCUUGAGCGAAAUCUUGAAAAAAAAAAUCGGCGAAGAAGUCGAUUGACAGAGCUAUGUCUGUAGGUCUACUGUCGGGUCGUCCUGCAGAGGAAAUGCCCGGUUCAACGGGGGACCUUCUUCCCGAGUUGUUGCAACUGCACGAACAAGUUCGGCAGGCAAUGCGGGGCGUUAUCCAAGCUAUGUGGCCAUCCCUUUCCGCACCCGAAGGCUUUGGGGAGCUUGCAAAGAAGCUGGAGGGAGUGCGGCAGCGCUUCCGGUUGUGGAAGAUAUCGGCCUACCGCCAAGGUGCCAAUGAGGCCUGGGCCAUGGUGAAGACCCGGUACUCGAAGGCUGACCCAAACCACAUGGCCGAGGUCAGCCCUAUGGGUCCUGACGGAAGGGAGAUCCCUGUCAGCUUAGUAUAUGGCCAGGUAGAGCUGGCUGCAAAGUAUUCCCAACAGGACUGUAAAUUAGAUCGCCUGUUGGAUGGUAUUGAAGAAGAGUAUACCAAGUCGGAUUGACUCUGUAAUUAAAAAUGACAUAAAAAUGCCUUCUAGCCGGAUUGUAGAUCGUUUGUCAUUGCGGACAUUUUCGCUUCGACCUCCGGACCCUAUAGUCCCGAGUGUGUCCGAAUACCCUCUCGAUUAUGUAAGAAUCGGGGCAUGCAUGGAUACAAGGCGUAGGGGUCAUAAUUGCUUUAGCAGACAAGUGCCCAACUAGUUAUGUUAUAUUACAUGGUUAGUAAGAAACGUCUUCCAGGGAGAAUAGUUCCGUUAGGGGUUCCUUUCCCUGGGAGGCAUGCCCUAAAGUGCAUGUCCGGACUGCUAGAAAGAGCAGAAAAGCAUCUGGGGGAAGAUAAAUAAACAAGAAAAAUCAUCUUUUAAUUCACCAACCAAAUAUUCCCUUAAGAAUGCUAGCUUUCGGCUUCACCCAGUCUGAGGUACACAUCCGACUGACCCGGCAGUAACAAUCGCAGAGGUGCUCCCUUUACGACCUAGUCGAACGAACGGGAAUGUAGGGGUAAGCACAGGAGCCAGGCAACCCAGCUUGGCCAAAACUUAAGUCAUAUCGAUGCAUAUAAUGGUGUAUAAAAAGGUUCAUGCCGAAGUGUCACACAUGUUUUGGGCAUGAGGCCCACUUAGAUAAACUUCUGAUAAAGAAGCCCCCAGGUAGGAUGAGCGCGGGUGGCGCGUCAAGUAUGUGCGAGCAAUGCGCAAGCAAGCCCCUAAGGGCUUGGGAGAAAAAAAACAAAAAAGGGGGGAGAAGGAGAGAAAUGCCAGACAGCUAUAUGUGAAAACAUAAAAAAUGGGACAGAGGAGGGAGACGAACACGGAGUCCGGCGCUUAGGCGUAGAAUCUUCGUAGGCGUGCUGCAUUCCAUGGGUUCGGCUCGAGUCGGUUGUCCGAUGCGUUUCGCAGACGGUACGCUCUGCCAAUCAGUACUUGGUCGAUUAUGAAGGGACCCUCCCAUUUGGGCUUUAGUUUGUCUUUUUUCUUGUCCGGCAGGCCUAGAACUAGUUCGCCAACAUUGUAAGUUUUGGCCCGUACUUCUCUGCUUUGAUAUCUUCGGGCCUGUUGUUGAUAGAAUGCGGAACGGGCUUUUGCCACGUCGCGCUCCUCCUCCAACGCGUCCAAGCUGUCCUGCCGAUCGAGCUCGGCUUCUCUUUCUUCGUACAUGCGCACUCGAGGUGAGUCAUGUAUUAUGUCGCAGGGCAGAACUGCCUCUGCGCCGUAUACUAUAAAAAAUGGUGUGAAUCCGGUAGUGCAAUUCGGCGUGGUCCGCAGCCCCCAGAGUACGGAGUCAAGCUCCUCUACCCAUUGCGUGUUUGAUUCUUUGAGGGAUCGCACUAGUCUGGGUUUGAUGCCGCUCAUAAUAAGACCGUUGGCUCGUUCGACUUGACCGUUAGUUUGUGGGUGAUAGACUGAAGCAUAGUCGAGCUUGAUGCCCAUGUUUUUGCACCAGAGUUUAACUUCGUCGGCCGUAAAGUUUGUGCCGUUGUCAGUUAUGAUGCUGUGGGGGACGCCGUAACGGUGUACAACCCCGGAUAUGAAGUCUAUCACCGGUCUGGAUUCGGUCGUCUUUAUAGGCUUGGCCUCUAUCCAUUUGGUGAAUUUGUCCACCAUAACCAGUAGAUAUUUUUUCUUGUUGGUUCCUCCUUUAAGGGGUCCAACCAUGUCAAGCCCCCAGACCGCAAAAGGCCAGGCAAUGGGGAUGGUUUGUAGGGCGGUAGGCGGCAUGUGGCUUUGAUUAGCGAAUAAUUGGCAACCGACGCAUCGCUUCACUAAAUCCUGAGCGUCUGCCCGGGCCGUUGGCCAAUAAAAUCAGGUACAGAAGGCAUUGCUUAUGAGGGCCCGGGCUGCGGCGUGGUGACCGCCGAGUCCGGCAUGGAUUUCAGCCAGAAGGUUUUUCCCUUCCUCUUCGGAGAUACAUCUUUGAAGGACUCCGGUUGUGCUUUUCUUAUAAAGCUCCCCCUCGUGGACUUUGUAGGCUUUAGAUCACCGCACUAUGCGACGGGCUUCGUUUUGGUCUUCAAGAAGUUCCUGCCUAGUUAGGUAGGCUAGGAAUGGUUCUGUCCACGAGGUAAUGACUGCCAUUAUUGUGUGGGCUGACGGUGUUGUUUCGGUGGCGGAGCCACCAACUGUGUCAAAGUGUUCGGUGAGAGGCAGUGUGGUUGUGUCCGGGCUAUUGUUUCCAGACUCUCCCUCCCAUGAAACUGACGGCUUGAACAGCCUCUCAAGGAAGAUGUUGGGGGGGACGGCAUCGCGCUUCGCGCUGAUGCGUGCCAACACGUCUGCUGCCUGGUUGUUCUCCCGGGCUAUGUGAUGAAAUUCGAGCCCCUCAAACCGAGAUGACAUUUUUAAGACAGCAUUGUGAUAAGCUGCCAUUUUCGGAUCCUUGGCGUCAAAGUCUCCAUUUAUUUGGGAUACCGCGAGGUUUGAAUCCCCGCGGACCUCUAGGCGCUGAAUGCCCAUGGAGACUGCCAUCCAGAGACCAUGUAGAAGGGCCUCGUAUUCGGCUACGUUGUUGGAAUCCGUGUACAUUAUCUGAAGUAUGUAUUGUACUGUAUCUCUAGUUGGGGACGUCAGAAUGACGCCAGCCCCAGUCCAGCCAACAUUUUGGAGCCGUCGAAGUGCAUGAUCCAAUUGGAGUAUGUGUCGUACUCUUUAAGGAGCUCGGCUUCAGUCCAUUCGGCGAUGAAGUCGGCCAAAACCUGCGACUUAAUGGCUCGCCUUGGCUUCUAAGUUAUGUCUAACGGGAGGAGCUCGAUGGCCCAUUUGGCAAUCUGGCCCAUUGCGUCAUGGUUGUUUAUAAUAUCAUUAAGGGGUACUUCGGAUGCCACUGUUAUUGAACACUCUUGAAAAUAGUGUUGCAGCUUCCGGGAUGCCAUGAACACCGCGUAUGCUAUCUUUUGAUAAUGCGGGUACCGUGACUUGCAUGGAGUUAGGACAGUGGACACGUAGUAAACUAGUUUUUGGAGAGGGAACUUGUGUCCGUCCGUUUCUCGUUCGACGACGAGCACCGCGCUUACAACUUGGUGGGUUGCCGCGAUGUAUAAUAGCAUUGGUUCGCCUGUGUUGGGCGCGACCAGGACCGGAUUUGUUGCCAGUAUGGCUUUGAUUUCUUCGAGUCUGGCCGUGGCGGUAUCCGUCCACUCGAAAUGUUCGGUGCGCCGUAGGAGGCGAUAAAGGGGUAAUGCCUUUUCUCCUAAGUGGGAGAUAAAGCGUCUUAGAGCCGCCACACAUCCGGUCAAUUUUUGUAUUUGCUUGAGGUCUUUUGGGGUAUCCAAUUGUGACAGAGCUCAGAUCUUGGCUGGGUUUGCUUCAAUUCCUCUACCGGAUACGAUGAAGCCCAAGAGUUUUCCAGCUGGUACGCCGAAAACGCAUUUUUCCGGGUUGAGCUUGAUGUCAUAUGUUCGGAGAUCGUCGAACGUGAGCCUUAAGUCGUCUACUAGAGUAUCGACAUGUUUGGUUUUGACGACCACGUCAUCUACGUAUGCUUCAACUGUUUUGCCGAUCUGGUUGGGCAGACAUGUCUGAAUCAUGCGCUGAUAUGUUGCGCCGGCGUUUUUGAGCCCGAAGGGCAUCGUGUUGAAGCAGAAUGGGCCGUAUGGGCUGAUGAAUGCCGUUGCGGCUUGGUCUGACUCUGCCAUCUUGAUUUGGUGGUAGCCAUAGUAUGCAUCAAGGAAACACAAUGAGUCGUGCCCUGCGGUUGCGUCGAUGAUUUGAUCAAUUCGGGGGAGCAGGAAAGGAUCCUUUGGGCAGGCCUUAUUCAGGUCUUUGAAGUCGACACAUAGGCGCCAGGAUUUGUCCUUCUUUGGUACCAUCACCAGGUUUGCUAGCCAGUCCGGAUGUUUUAUAUCUCUGAUGAAUCCGGCUUCCAGUAGUUUUGCUAGCUCUUCUCCCAUGGCUUGUCUCCUAGGUUCGGAGAAACGCCGUAGAGUCUGCUUAAUGGGUUUAAACCCCUUUAGGAUGUUCAGGCUGUGCUCGGCCAGCCUGCGUGGGAUUCCUGGCAUGUCUGAAGGGUGCCAGGCAAAAAUGUCCCAAUUUUCUCGCCGGAAUUCUCUGAGUGCGGCAUCUACAUCGGGUUUUAGUUGUGCCCCGAUGGAUGCCGUUUUUGUGGGGUCCGUUGGAUGGACUUGGAAUUUGACUAUUUCGUCCACUGGUUUGAAAGAGGUGGACCUGGAUCUCUUAUCUAGUAUCACAUCGUCCCUGUCCACCAUGGAGCGCAGCGUAGUUAGUUCCUCAGCCGCUAGGGCUUCGGAUAAUGCCUCCAGGGCCAGUGCGGCUGUCUUGUGGCGCGGAGCGCUGUGUCCGGAUCACUUGCAAGAGUGAUGAUUCCGUUGGGUCUGGGCAUUUUGAGCUUCAUGUACCCAUAAUGAGGUAUGGCUUGAAAAAUUGUAAAUGCUUCUCGCCCUAGCAGAGCGUGGUAUCCGCUGCUGAACGGGGCCACUUGAAAUGUGACCUCCUCGGAUCUGUAAUUAUCCGGCGUGCCGAACACCACAUCCAGUGUGAUUUUUCCUGAACAGCACGCUUCCCGGCUUGGUAUUAUUCCUCUGAAGGUUGUGUUGCUUCGCUCAAUGCGACUCCAGUCUAUUUCCAUUUUUCGCAGGGUUUCCUCGUAGAUGAGGUUAAGUCUGCUACCAUCGUCCAUGAGUACCUUUGUAAGUCGUAAGCCGUCCACUAUCGGACUGAGGACCAAUGCGGCUGGUGCUCGGGCUGUCCGGAAUUUAGGUUCGUCACUGGCAUUAAAAGUAAUAGCCAUGUGUCGGUGUACUAGAGUAGGGGUACCCUAGUAUCCCGAACUUGUGCACGGGCAGUUGCAGCACCCCGCAGCAAGGCUUGCCGGGUGACCGCCAAGGUCCUCCGUGGUUCCUUUGGAGCCAUUCAAGAACAAAGUAUUCAAGACAAGGAGACAAGGCCCCGGCAAGAGGAGCUUGCCAGGAAGGCCAGCCAAGGCAUCUCAAGGAACUUGCCGCGACGCGCCACGCGUCCCGGCAAGGCCCGGUGAGCGACAAGCUUCCGGACGCGACAAGACAACGAUCGCGGCAAGGCGCUUGCCGCGGCAAACUACCACUCUGUACCCGCGCUCCAGCACAUCCACCAACGUGUCGCCCUGGGACCUUUCCAGGCGCGCGUGGCAAGAGGCUGUGCGGCCAGCGGUGCACGGUGGCAAGCGACGCUAACAAGAUUGCCAUCGUGGCAAGCAGUGGCGUCCCCGACGGUCCCUUUUUGCACUAUUUGGGCGACGUAGAUGGGCAUUUAAUGCCUUUGUCCCCUGCCGUCAGGGUUAGGUAUGAUACACUGUACAGGUAGUUGUACCAACCGCAAUUCCUUUUCCAUUUUUACCCUUGUCUACGUUGCCACCUGUCGGUGACCCCUUAAGCAUAUAAAAGGAGGCCCAUGCGCAACGUAGAGGGGGGAUCAAAAGCAGAAAAACACUCACGCUCGGUCUCGUUAGCAGCUAGUGUAUACUGUAGGACUCAGCGCUCCCGAGCAAGAACUCAAUACACUCAGACAUGCAGCAGUAGGAGUGUUAUCUCUCCGGAGAGCUCCGAAGCUGGGUAAACUGCUCGUGUGCUUCGCCUUGAUCCGCUCUUCAUGCGAUCUCCGCCCCCGCCGAACCGAAAGGGGCUCGGUCCGCCGGUCCCAUAGGUGUUCGUGGAUCAGUUUCCCCGACACCGUGUCACUCCAUGGGUUUAUUGUUGCUACUUGGUAGACUUCGGCGAGGUUGCGGAGGGUUCGUUUCCUUGCAUUGUUUGAUGCGAAGGUCUCGAAGACUGUCGACACCGUACUGGCGUUUCUGGGGUGGUGUUCUUUGGAUUCUGGAGUUAGAAGCUCCUCGCCACUUCUGGCCACCUGCCGGAGUAUCCAACAUGCUCUAAGGCUGUGAGUUGGUGUGACUUCCCCUGAACUAUGAAUUUUACAGGGUCCAUUGAGCCACCCCUCCAGUACGGUCCCAUACCCUAUAGAGGGUUUUUGUUUUUUGAUGUUUGGCUCAGGUGCCUGGCGAUAAUGCGCCCUUUUGUUUCGGACUCGUGUUGGGUUCAGGGCCGGAUUGUCCCAGAAUUUAUUUUCGGUUUUCCGAACGCUUUCUGUCGCACAGUACUUUCGUACUAUGGAUGUCAAGUAGGCGAAGGGUGUAAUUUCGCGGCGACUUAUGGCAUUGAGGAUUCCGAUGUCCGUGCAGUUGUUACAGAAGAAUGAAAUUGCUUCUUCCUCACGGCAGUCCCUUAUCCUGUUCAUAACCAGGAGGAAUCUGGCCCAAUAAUGGUGUACUGUUUCCCCGGGCGCUUGCUGUAUUUGGGAUAAAUCCCUUAUAGUUGGGUGGGCGGGUGGAUUUAAAUCCAGAACCCUGCCCGUUAGAAGAUUCAGGGGCCAAGAAGUUUCCGAAUUAGGGAGCUUGUUUUCUUGGAGAUUAUUCAAUGAAUCAGGCCUGCUACCUGACUUUAGGUUCAGGACUUGGGCAACAUCCUCCCCUCCGCGGGUAUCCGGCUUGGAGGGGUCGGGAAUCCGGACACAUCUGGUCCUUAGAGCAGGCGAAGAUGCGCUGCAUUGUUCUUCCACCACUUCAACGUGGUGGGUGACCUAGGGAGAGUUGAUCCCUCUCUAGUCGGGUUUAAGUCCGAUCUGGCCGUAAUCUGUAGCGACUCCCAGGGCGGCAAUGCGAUCGAGGAGCUCAUUCAAGGAAGAGAGCUCCGUCGGAUCUAACUGCUCGGCGAGUUCCGAGCUGAUGUGAAGAUUGCUUUCGAUGGCCUAAGAGGUCAUCGUCGACGCGCGGCUGAACAGGCGGUCAUCAAGAACCUUCCUAGCCAGAGAGUUUGACCGACAGCCAAAGCUCCUUUAGUGACAGCGCCGUCUUUAAAGACGGGGUGCGGCAUCCUUCCUGACGGUGACAGCAUAGAGGAACUCCCAAUGAAAGCACCAAUGUCGGAGUCAAAACCGGCGGAUCUCGGGUAGGGGGUCCCGUGUAGGGGAACGCAGCAGAAAACAAAAAAUUUCCAACCUACGCACCAGCCCAGGACCACUAUGGAGACUGCAUACAUGGUUUGAUCCUUUUUGUUUCCACUCGUAGCACAGCGGGAAGUAGAGUCGAUGACGAACGGCGGUGCAGAUCCCCGCAGCUAGGAUUUACAACCUCCCAACCGCAAGGAUGUAUACCCUCAUCUUCUCCUUAGACAGCCCUCCGGGAGGCGGUCGAACAGCCCCUCGGACGGUGUCGCGGACAGCCCUUCGGGAGGACCUUCGAAACUCGAACGGUCACUCGGACAGCCCUUCGGGAGGACCUUCAAAACUUGGACGGUCACACGGACAGCCCUUCGGGAGGCACUCACGAACUAAGACCGAAACUACGAUCUCUCUACAGAGUUGCACACAUACGGUGUCAUCUAUUCGGCAGGGCUUCGCCGUCCAGAACUAGUUCCUGCCGGAACCCAGACAGCCUUGCGGCUCUACGAAACUCUUUUCAUGGGAGGGAGAGAAGAAGCCAGAUCAUGCAUGGCACUUGUAUGUGAGAAGGGAUGAUCCUUUAGGCAGCCCCCUCCACCCCUAUUUAUAGGACAAGCCCAAGGGAGGCUUCUCCAAGAAGCCAAGGGGAUAAUACCAAAAGGCCCUCAAGGUGGCUUCUCCAAGAAGCCAAGCAAAAAGCACUUUCACUAUUCAUGACGACAUUUUUAGCGUCCGUUCGAACUGUAAAUAUUUAUGUGGGAUCAGAACAUUUCCAUUACCCACUAAAAAUAAUUUUCAACACGUUCCAAAACAAUUUCGGUUUAGUGAUUUUCAUCUGCGCAAAGCAAACAAGAAUGCGUUUUUACUAUUCAUGAAGACAAUUUUUCGCGUCCAUUAAAUCCGAAAAUAUUUCUGUGGGUCUUAGAAUAAUUCCAGUACCCAGUAAAAUGAUUUUGGAUUUGUUCUGAAACAAUUUCAGAUUAGUGAAUUUCAUUUGCGAAAAACAUCUGAAGUGGUUCCGGCAGCCCCGGAGCAUAUCCGGUUAUUAUCCCGGAAAAUUCCAGAAAGCUUCCAGAAUGAUUCUGUCACCCUCCAAGAAUUAUUAGGCAUGUGCCAAAACCAAUUUGACUUAACGGUAUCCCCUGAAACAACUUUUCAGUUUCACCGAAACUCAUCCGAUGACCUCUCUCUGCGGUACGAUUCCGCUGUCCGAAACCAUUCCGGUGUCCGAAACUUUUUUCGGUGAUUUUCUCUCAGACUCCCUGUCUAGUAUUCAGAAGAUAGAUGACCCUUAAGCAUGUGACCCUAUAGGUUCGGUGAAGUAUAGACAUGACCCGGAACCCCUUCCGAUCAAUGAUCAACAUCGGAGCCGUGGACACCCAUAUUGACCCCUAUACCCACACGAAUGAAUAUUCGAGUGAACCUCCAGUUGCUGUGUGCUAUUCCUGUUGCUUCGUGAUAUGUUACAAAUACCCGAGGUGAGACAUGUUGGCAUUCCCAUGGAUCAACAACUUGUCCACUAUGCCAGUUACCUCGUUAUCAGUAUUGUUCUCUUUACUCGUUACCGUGUUCCGGCAUCCCCGUGAUCAAAUCACAAAGUGUCUAGCCAGACGAUGAUAGAUACCGUAACACCGAGAGGGCCCAGAGAUAUCUCUCCAUCAUUGGAGGAGCAAAUCCCAAUCUUGAGCUAUUAAGUUACUUGACAGACUUUUCCAUGAACCCGUAAGCCGCUGUAAUAGCCACCCAUUUACGGAUGACGUUUAACAAACCCCAAAGUUCAUGAAGCAAGCAUGAAGAAACUCGAUACUCUCAUGGUCUAAGGAAUCAUGCAAACGUUAACCAUAUCUGUGUUAUUUACCAUUAACUUCUGACGAAUGUAUCUCAUAGCAUAACAUCAAUUCGGGUCGAUUCAACACAAAUGUUCUCUUAACAUUGUGCCCUCAAAGUUGCUGGCAUAGACAUGCCCAUGAUCAGGAAAACGGAACCAUCAUGCAACCCUUGAGCUAGUCUUCGAGGCCAAACUAGGAAAACUUCUUACCGUUUAUUAUUCCACACGUGCAUAUGAGUCUUCCUCCGAGCCUCGUGGAUAUUGUAGACUCGAGAAUCAUUGCAGUUAUAGCAUGGAACAUAAACAUAAUUAUGAACUCGGAGAUAAAUAAUAUCAUUUAUUAUUGCCUCUAGGGCAUAUCUCCUACAGACUCCCACUUGCACUAGAGUCAAUAAUCUAGUUUAAUGCUAAUGCACUUCACACCUAUGGCACAUCGGUGUAAAUAUGCUUCGCUUGUGGUAUAGCCUGAUGUCCAUCAGAUCUGACAACUUCAGCUCCGUGUCUAUCUCUGCAUAUCCUCGCGUUUUCACACUUUCACAAAAUUCAUAUUUUGUGCGGACUUGGCUUUGUAUAAAUGUGAAUCACAGGUUGAACCUGGAUUCCUCAGACUGAGUUAUGGAGAAACUACCUGCAGUAGUGUCCCAUUGACAAAGGCCAUCUUAGAACCAUACUAAGUUCAUGAAUGAACUAUAUGAUUCAACAUCUUGUUUGUCGCUUCUAAAGUGUCAACAUACUUAGUCAUUUGUUAUAGAAUUCUCCACAGUAUCCUGUUGGGAACAAUUUCCAACUACCGUGCCACCAUAUUGUGUAUUACACAAAACCCUUAACUUAAAUCAAAAAUUGCAUGGAGAAAAGAUGAAGAUUGUAUCGAUGUAACAUUUUACAACGAACUCUUCAUGAUCUCCGCUUGCGAGAAAACAUAUCAUCAGUACUUACUCUAGUACUCAAUGACAUCUUUCAUUGUUGUCCCAUGAUUAGUACUUUGAUCACUUUAGUAUCCAUACUAGCAACACCUUGGGAGUAUCGGACAUAUCUGGUUGUUUUACAUACCAUGGAAUACAUGAUUAAUCCAAACACAAAAGUGUGUGGAAUCUGCAUCAUUUAUUUUGCUCAUCAGUGUUUUGGGACACCGAGUCUUGCAAAAAACACUUCCAUGUGACUCCGGCAAGAAUCACUCCUUGGCAGUUUUAAAUGGUAAAAGGUUUUAGCACCUUGUCAAUAUGUAUUCAUUGCCUAGCCCUAUUAGGUAAAUCUAUCUCCAUAGAUCAUUAUGCCUAAUAUUGAGGCUAUUUAGCCUAAGCACUUCAUCAAAAAACUAUUUUCAAAUGAAGUCCUAAUUUGUGUCAAGAAAUUUAUUUCCAAUUAACAAUGUGUCAAGCACACAAGGUUUUUAGAAAUAUUAUUAAGCUCCCACUUAAUUUCUUGAAUUACAAGCAUCUUCAUUACCCAUUGAUGAAGUCAAACCCCUUUGACCAUUUCAUCAAAGCACGAAGAUUCCAACUCCAUUUUGUUGUCUUCUGUCCAUCGCUGGAACUCUGAAGUUUGCACCCUUACUAGCAUCCUCUGGAUAGACAAAAUGCCUUGGACUGUAACACAUGCAUGUCCUUGGUUUCGUUUCCAUCAGAUAGAAAUCCUAUUGUCAUCCAUGUUUCAUAUCUCAUGAUUGAAAUAUGUAUUAAUUGCUAGUUCAACCCGAACUGACUUUAAGCAUCGCUACAAUGAAAACAACCUCAUCGUAGUCAACUCUUGAACUUGUUAUUUCAACAAGUCGAGCUUUAUGGAUAAAACAUUUUUAUCCGUAUCAGUUUUAAGUUCCAUAAAUAUUUGAUAGACUCUAAGUCUUCCGAAAGGUGUAUCAAGGUUUUAAUCUUGAAUUACUUAUAUGGAAACUAACUCAGGUUGUAUUGGCAUUUAGCCAAUUCCGGAGUCAGGGCCCAUCAACGCUUCCUUGUGUAUCGUAGGUAUAAUGUUGUCUAACAACAAUAUCUCGUUUGCGCACCUGAGAGGUUUGCACGAGCCUUGCCUAUGUGGUUCAGCUGCAAGUUCGACCGAAGUUCAUACAUUUUAUUGUAGAGACUUCCGUAUCAGUCGUAGUAGGAAACUAUGGAAUUACUUCCAAGGUCUCUUUCCUUUGAUCUGAUGAUGAAGAUACUGUUUAUCUCAUCAAGUUGCACUAUUCUCCCACUCACCUUUUUGAAAGAACCAUUCUCUUUAAAAGCACACUGUUUCACGCCAAAACUAUUUGCCUCGGUAUGGUGAGGGAGGAAUACCCAACAUUUUGGUAUAACCUACAAAGUAGCACUUGUCUGAUUUGGGAUAGGUUUGUAACUUUUUACACAAGCCCCAUAUUCCAAAUGUUAAGAAAAGAUAUAACAUGGUUGGGCGUACCAUACCAUGGCUUCAUUUCAACAGACCCGAUGUAGCUCUUUUCAGUGUAAAAGCUGCAGUCUCUAAAGCAUCACUUUAAAAAGGGACAAUGGCAAAUUUAUUUAUGUCAUCUUUGAUCUUACCAUGUCAUAAAUGGUUAGAUUACAUCUUCACAGACAUUCCACUCAUAGUGGUGUUCCGGGAGGUGUAAGUUAUGAAACUCUUUUCACAACUCAUCGGACAUUCGCUAAACUUGUAACUCAAAUAUUCCUUUCUGCAAUCAAAUUGUAGAAACGUAAUUUCCUUGUUACAAUAACUUCUACUUCAUUUUUGAAAACCUUUCGAAUGAUUUCAAAAGACCCAGACUUACGUCUCAUCAAGUAAAUAUCCAUAUAUCUACUUGAGUCAUUUCUGAAGAUAAAUAAAUCCACCACUAACAACACUUAUCGGACUACACACAUCAAAUGUAUGAUCACUAAUAAGUUUGUUGUUCGUUCCUUAUGGCCUGUGAACGGUAUUUUAGUCACUUCACUUCUCGGAGGAAAGUUGCAAGUGUCAGAUGAUUCAAAAUCAAAAAGACUUCAAAAUCCAUCAUAAUGGAAUUUUCCAUGCGGGUUUCUCCAAUAUGACCAAAUGUAGUGCCACACUUGUGUGGUAUUCUUUUAGUCUUGCGACAUUUACCGUCAGUGUUAUGGAUGUAUCAUAUUACCAUCAAUAUUCAUAACAUACAUCCCAUCUUGGAUGGAAGCAUGGCCCUUCAUGUUAUUCAUAAUACUUAACAACAAUUGUUGUUUUUAUGAACAACUCUUUUGCAUCAAACAUUGUGCAAUGGGCUAGUGUGUAUGAAACUCUAAAAUGAAUUAUGAAAGUAAACCCAGAGGUAUUGUAUUAUUAUCAAUACUCAUAACAUACAUCUCAUUCAUAAUGAAAGUAUGGCCCUUGUGUUAUUCAUAACAUCGAACAUAAAAAGUUCUCUUAUGAACAACCUUCUUGCAAGAUACCUUAUGCAAUGGGCUAGAAUUUGUAAAACUCUAAAUGAAUUAUGAAAAUAAAUACAGACGGCCAUACACUAAUGGAAGGUAUAGUAACAUUUACUAUGUUCCCUGUGUAUACCUUAACCUCAUUUCUGGCUAGCCUUUUUGGCCAUAGUAGCUCUUAGAUUGAUUCGUAACAGAAUGCAAUCGAGCGGGUAUCUUUGAGAUUAACUCACAAUACCCAAGAAUUAGUGAUUAACAUGUUUAACCAUAAUUCCCAAGAACUAUAUCUUUGACCAGCCUACUAUACAUCAAAAACUUGUAUGACAUUCAUACAUGAGCUGGAUAUUCCAGUCAUCUUUCUUUCUGCCUUUAUACUUCUAAUAGUUUAACUUUUAGUAUUUCUCCUACUCGCAAAAGAAGCACCCAACAUAAGAGUGGCGUUAGCCCCGGACUUCCUAGGCGUGUAAGUCAUACUAACACCCUUUGGACACUUCCUUUCUCUUUAAGUUGUUGUUUUAUUCACCUUUCAUUAUAUGACAGGCGUUCUUCUGGAUCCCUUUCCCAACAGUCAAAUGCAUAGUAAACACUUUUACUAAUACUUGCAAACAAACAUUACUUUGUUUGUAUCUGAAAAUAAUUUUCAGUUCCAUGAAUAUCAUAUAACUAUCCCAACUUUCGAAGUUUGCGUUUCAUGGAAGCAAACAUAUUCCACUUGACCGUAAUAGAAUUCUAGCUUUUGGAUCGAAGGACGGGAGUCUCAUCAUAGAUAGCAAUUAGCGGGAGUAUACGGAAAGCAUGCAAUAGGACAAAGUCCUUCUCGGCACUUUUGAGGACAAUCCUCAUAUUACGUUACCAAUCGUAAAGUUUUAACCAGAUAUUUAACAGCUAUUCAAUUUUAACAGGGAAAGAGGAAACGCGAGCCAUUAUUCUACAACUAUGUUGCAAGAAACACUUAGACAGUGUUCAUAAUUAAUUGCACUAAGAAAUAAACAAGUUAAUUCUACAGUGCGCUCCCACUCAAAUCAAUAUCUCUCAUAAUUGAUUGUGAGUGAUACAAGAUCCACAUUUCAAUUCAACGCCAUUGGUGUGGACAUCACUGAUGACGAGAAUUUCAAUUGGUGGGCAAACAUGCCGAUCACAUCUCUAUGUGACUCCUGUUCAUCUUUCGAUGGGUGUGUUCCGAGCUCAGGACGAUCAAGCCAGAACGUCAAGACAACCAAGUGAUCUUGCUGCGAGGUCUGACCUCACCCGCCUCACACUUCUCUAAUCGUUCGUACCCAUGUGGACAUGGCGCACCCCGAAAAGUUAGGUGCCGUGACGGUGCUACACUUGGGAGAACACUAACUACUUCAUAUUUUUGUGAGAGAUCACCCUAAUAAAAAGCGACUACCGCGCAAUCAAGAAGGGUGAAUCAAAGGGAUAAACAUUUCAUGCAAUUCAUAAUAACAUGAUAUGGUAUAGCCCUUUCUGACGGAGAAGUCUUGUAUUUCUUCGUCUUCGGCAUUCGCAUCGGUGUUCACCUUAGCAAAGAUUGCCACCACCUUGUCGGUGCAGCAGAUAAUAUCGCUAUCUCCAUAGCGGAUAAAAUAAAUGCAUUACUUAAGGUUGACACGCAGGUCAUUAAAGUGCAAUCAUAUGGCUCCAGCCAUCAUGCCGAAUCAUGACACGCAGGUCAUGUUAAUUACAUUAUAUAGUCAUCUCAUACAUAAUCAAAUUAUUAUGAGCACUGCUAUACCACAUCACAUGCAAACCAUCCUGCAAAACCAAGUUAGACGCCUCUAAUCGGUUCAUACAAAAAAAGUUUUACGUGGCUUCUAAGGUUUCGACUUAAACUGCAGCUACCAACGUUUUAUCAUCAAGUAUGAUUAUUCAAGUUCCUAGAUUAACAUCUCGGGAUGUAUGAUGCACGAGAACAUAAAAUCUCGAACCCCAUACUAAACUUCGUCAUACGCAUGACCCCCGUGCAGAUCAUAUCUGCAAUGCCCUUUCAUCUGCGAAUUUCAUCUUUCUUUUGACUAUGGCAGAACCCAAAGAACUGAUAGCACUUCCGUGAUCAAUCAGGAUCACGGAUUGCCAGAACUUUGUCAAAUUCCACCAUGCUGUCUCGAGAUUGAGCAAACGCAAAUUCUAGGGAAGCAACAAGAACGUCGGGUAACAUAUUUCAUCUGUUACCCGCAUAAAUAAGUUUCAGCAAUAGAUCUCAUCUACUCCAAAAUUAUAUUAUGCAAUACCCAUACAUCUCCAUGUAUUCUAGAUCACAACCUGCAUCUAAGCAUAGCACGGCUCAUGAUGCCACUGUAUGGGAACACAGCAGAAAACAAAAAAUUUCCAACCUACGCACCAGCCCAGGACCACUAUGGAGACUGCAUACAUGGUUUGAUCCUUUUCGUUUCCGACUCGUAGCGCAGCGAGAAGUAGAGUCGAUGACGAACGGCGGUGCAGAUCCCCGCAGCUAGGAUUUACAACCUCCCAACCGCGAGGAUGUAUACCCUCAGCUGCUCUUCAGACAGCCCUCCGGGAGGCGGUCGAACAGCCCCCCGGACGGUGUCGCGGACAGCCCUUCGAGAGGACCUUUGAAACUCGAACGGUCACUCGGACAGCCCUUCGCACGGACAACCCUUUGGGAGGCACUCACGAACUAAGACCGAAACUACGGUAUCUCUACAGAGUUGCAUACAUACGGUGUCAUCUAUCCGGCAGGGCUUCGCCGUCCAGAACUAGUUCCUGCCGGAACCCAGACAGCAUUGCGGCUCUACGAAACUCUUUUCGUGGGAGGGAGAGAAGAAGCCAGAUCAUGCAUGUCACUUGUAUGUGAGAAGGGAUGAUCCUUUAGGCAGCCCCCUCCACCCCUAUUUAUAGGCCAAGCCCAAGGGUGGCUUCUCUAAGAAGCCAAGGGGAUAAUACCAAAAGGCCCUCAAGGUGGCUUCUCCAAGAAGCCAACAAAAAGCACUUUCACUAUUCAUGACGACAUUUUUCAGCGUCCGUUCGAACUGAAAAUAUUUAUGUGGGCUCAGAACAUUUCUAUUACCCACUAAAUAUAAUUUUCAACACAUUCCGAAACAAUUUCGGUUUAGUGAUUUUCAUCUGCGCAAAGCAAACAAGAAUGCGUUUUUACUAUUCAUGAAGACAAUUUUUCGCGUCCAUUAAAUCCGAAAAUAUUUCUGUGGGUCUUAGAAUAAUUCUAGUACCCAGUAAAAUGAUUUUGGAUUUGUUCUGAAACAAUUUCAUAUUAGUGAAUUUCAUCUGCGAAAAACAUCUGAAGUGGUUCCGGCAGCCCCGGAGCAUAUCCGGUUAUUAUCCCGGAAAAUUCCAGAAAGCUUCCAGAAUGAUUCUGGCACCCUCCAAGAAUUAUCAGGCAUGUGCCGAAACCAAUUUGACUUAACGGUAUCCCCUGAAAGAACUUUUUAGUUUCACCGAAACUCAUCCGAUGACCUCUCUCUGCGGUACGAUUCCGCUGUCCGAAACCAUUCCGGUGUCCGAAACUUUUUACGGUGAUUUUCUCUCAGACUCCCUGUCUAGUAUUCAGCAGAUAGAUGACCCUUAAGCGUGUGACCCUAUAGGUUCGGUGAAGUAUAGACAUGACCCGGAACCCCUUCCGAUCAAUGAUCAACAUCGAAGCCGUGGACACCCAUAUUGACCCCUAUACCCACACGAAUGAAUAUUCGAGUGAACCUCCAGUUGCUGUGUGCUAUUCCUGUUGCUUCGCGAUAUGUUACAAAUACCCGAGGUGAGACAUGUUGGCAUUCCCAUGGAUCAACAACUUGUCCACUAUGCCAGUUACCUCGUUACCAAUAUUCUUCUCUUUACUCGUUACCGUGUUCCGGCAUCCCCGUGAUCAAAUCACAAAGUGUCUGGCCAGGCGAUGAUAGAUACCGUAACACCGAGAGGGCCCAGAGAUAUCUCUCCAUCGUUGGAGGAGCAAAUCCCAAUCUUGAGCUAUUAAGUUGCUUGACAUACUUUUCCAUGAACCCGUAAGCCGCCGUAAUAGCCACCCAUUUACGGAUGACGUUUAACAAACCCCAAAGUUCAUGAAGCAAGCAUGAAGAAACUCGAUACUCUCAUGGUCUAAGGAAUCAUGCAAACGUUAACCAUCUUUGUGUUAUUUACCAUUAACUUCUGACGAAUGUAUCUCAUAGCAUAACAUCAAUUCGGGUGGAUUCAACACAAAUGUUCUCUUAACAUUGUGCCCUCAAAGUUGCUGGCAUAGACAUGCCCAUGAUCAGGAAAACGGAACCCUCAUGCAACACUUGAGCUAGUCUUCAAGGCCAAACUACGAAUACUUCUUACCGUUUAUUAUUCCACACGUGCAUAUGAGUCUUCCUCCGAGCCUUGUGGAUAUUGUAGACUCGAGAAUCAUUGCAGUUAUAGCAUGGAACAUAAACAUAAUUAUGAACUCGGAGAUAAAUAAUAUCAUUUAUUGUUGCCUCUAGGGUAUCGCCAAGCUUGCCUUCCACGCCAAGGAAAGUCCAUAUCUGGACACGGGACGGAGUCUUCAAUCUUGUAUCAUCAUAGUCCGGGAGUCCGGCCAAAGGUCAUAGUCCGGUCAUCCGGAAACCCCCUAAUCUAGGACUCCCUCAAGGCCGAAAGGCACAAAGGGGCGCAAAUUGGCCCAACACUUAAAUGGGUCGCUAAAAGGCCAAAACUCAGGUCCGACUACAAAUGGCGCAACUGAUUUAUGGGCCGUCAAUAGGCUGAAAGUGACACCGGGCCGGAAAUUGGCCCAACACUUAAAUGGGCCGCUAAAAUGCCGAAACUCAGGUCCGACUACAAAUGGCCCAUCAGAUUUAUGGGUCGUCAAUAGGCUGAAAGACACACCGGGCCGGAAAUUAGCCUAACAUUUAAAUGGGUCGCUAAAAGGCCAAAAGAUGUACAUCCUGAAAAUUGGCCCAUCCAUUGAAUGGCCCGUUAACAGGCCGAAAUCUCAUCGGGCCGAUAUUGAGCCCAAAUAUAUAGCGGGCUGUUAACGGGCUCGAACUGACGAUGGGCUGCAAUGGUGUCAAAUCUUUAACGGGCUGUUGACGGGCCGAAUUUGCACAUCUCGUAUGGGCCGUGGGCUUAAAUGGGCCGGCCUGCUAAUUUUUACUAGGCCGGCCAUUUUCACUGGAAUGGGCCACUGUUGGGCCGUGCCACGUGUUGACCUAUCAUAGGCACCUCCAGUCCAAUGAGUGGAUGACAUCUGUCCCAACGGUGAGGCAACACGUGUUUCCUGCGGCCAGUGAUUAUUUUACACGUGGAAAAUCCCCAUUAGUUCGGGCUGUUAACGGGUUAUCGGAUCCAAAACCGGAGCCGAUAGCUGUUGGGGAACGUAGUAAUUUCAAAAUUUUCCUACGCACACGCAAGGAUCAUGGUUAGAACAACGCGGUUGAUGUAGUCGUAUGUCUUCACGAUCCGACCGAUCCAGGUACCGAACAUACGGCACCUCCGAGUUCAGCACACGUUCAGCUCGAUGACGAUCCCCGGACUCCGAUCCAGCAGGGUGUCGGGGAUGAGUUCCGUCAGCACGACGACGUGGUGACGAUGAUGAUGUUCUACCAACGCAGGGCUUCGCCUAAGCACCGCAACAAUAUGACCGAGGUGGAAUAUGGUGGAGGGGGGCACCGCACACGGCUAACGAACGAUCACGAAGAUCAACUUGUGUGUCUAGAGGUGCCCCCUGCCCCCGUAUAUAAAGUAGCCAAGGGGGAGGGGCAACCGGCCAAGGAGGGCGCGCCAAGGGGGAGUCCUACUCCCACCGGGAGUAGGACUCCCUUCUUUCCUAGUUGGAGAAGGAGAAGGGGGGAAGGAGGAGGAAGAGGGGAAGGAAAGGGGGGGGAGGGCGCCGCCCCCUCUCCUUGUCCUAUUCAGACUAGGGAGGGGAGGGGGCGCAGCCCACCUCUUGCCUCCUCUCUUCCUCUCCACUAGGGCCCAUGUAGGCCCAUUAAGCCCCCGGGGGGUUCCGGUAACCUCCCGGUACUCCGCUAAAAUCCCGAUUUCACCCGGAACACUUCCGAUAUCCAAAUAUAGGCUUUGAAUAUAUCAAUCUUUAUUUCUCGACCAUUUCGAGACUCCUCGUCAUGUCCAUAAUCUCAUUCGGGACUCCGAACAAACUUCGGUACAGCAAAACAUAUAAAAUCAUAAUAUAACUGUCAUUGUAACGUUAAGCGUGCGGACCCUACGGGUUCGAGAACUAUGUAGACAUGACCUAGAACUGUUUCCGGUCAAUAACCAAUAGCGGAACCUGGAUGCUCAUAUUGGCUCCUACAUAUUCUACGAAGAUCUUUAUCGGUCAAACCGCAUAACAACAUACGUUGUUCCCUUUGUCAUCGGUAUGUUACUUGCCCGAGAUUCGAUCGUCGGUAUCUCAAUACCUAGUUCAAUCUCAUUACCAGCAAGUCUCUUUACUCGUUACGUAAUGCAUCAUUUCGUAACCAACUCAUUGGCCACAUUGCUUGCAAGGCUUAUAGUGAUGUGCAUUACCGAGAGGGCCCAGAGAUACCUCUCCGACAAUCGGAGUGAGAAAACCUAAUCUCGAAAUACGCCAACUCAAGAUGUACCUUUGGAGACACCUGUAGAGCUCCUUUAUAAUCAGCCAGUUAUGUUGUGACGUUUGGUAGCACACAAAGUGUUCCUCCGAUAAACGGGAGUUGCAUAAUCUCAUAGUUAUAGGAACUUUGUAUAAGUCAUGAAGAAAGCAAUAGCAACAUACUAAACGAUCAAGUGCUAAGCUAACGGAAUUGGUCAAGUCAAUCACAUCAUUCUCCUAAUGAUGUGAUCCUGUUAAUCAAAUGACAACACAUGUCUAUGGCUAGGAAACAUAACCAUCUUUGAUUAAUGAGCUAGUCAAGUAGAGGCAUACUAGUGACAUUAAGUUUGUCUAUGUAUUCACACAUGUAUCAUGUUUCCGGUUAAUACAAUUCUAGCAUGAAUAAUAAACAUUUAUCAUGAUAUGAGGAAAUAAAUAAUAACUUUAUUAUUGCCUCUAGGGCAUAUUUCCUUCAGUCUCCACUUGCACUAGAGUCAAUAAUCUAGAUUACACAGUAAUGAUUCUAACACCCAUGGAGUCUUGGUGCUGAUCAUGUUUUGCUCGUGGAAGAGGCUUAGUCAACGGGUCUGUAACAUUCAGAUCCGUAUGUAUCUUGCAAAUCUCUAUGUCUCCCACCUGGACUUGGUCCCAGAUGGAAUUGAAGCAUCUCUUGAUGUGCUUGGUCCUCUUGUGAAAUCUGGAUUCCUUUGCCAAGGCAAUUGCACCAGUAUUGUCACAGAAGAUCUUCAUUGGUCCCGAUGCACUAGGUAUCACACCUAGAUCGGAAAUGAACUCCUUCAUCCAGACUCCUUCAUUUGCUGCUUCUGAAGUAGCUAUGUACUCCGCUUCGCAUGUAGAUCCCGCCACGACGCUUUGUUUAGAACUGCACCAACUUACAGCUCCACCGUUUAAUAAAAACACGUAUCCGGUUUGCGAUUUAGAAUCGUCCGGAUCAGUGUCAAAGCUUGCAUCGACGUAACCAUUUAUGACUAGCUCUUUGUCACCUCCAUAAAUGAGAAACAUAUCCUUAGUCCUUUUCAGGUAUUUCAGGAUGUUCUUGAUUGCUGUCCAGUGAUCCACUCCUGGAUUACUUUGGUACCUACCUGCCAAGCUUAUUACUAAGCAUAAGUCAGGUCUGGUACACAGCAUUGCAUACAUGAUAGAGCCUAUGGCUGAAGCAUAGGGAACAUCUUUCAUUUUCUCUUUAUCUUCUGCUAUGGUCAGGCAUUGGGUCUGACUCAACUUCACACCUUGUAAUACAGGCAAGAACCCUUUCUUUGCCUGAUCCAUUUUGAACUUUUUCAAAAACUUUAUCAAGGUAUGUGCUUUAUGAAAGUCCAAUUAAGUGUCUUGAUCUAUCUCUAUAGAUCUUGAUGCCCAAUAUGUAAGCAGCUUCACCGAGGUCUUUCAUUGAAAAACUUUUAUUCAAGUAUCCCUUUAUGCUAUCCAGAAAUUCUAUAUCAUUUCCAAUUAACAAUAUGUCAUCUACAUAUAAUAUCAAAAAUGCUACAGAGCUCCCACUCACUUUCUUGUAAAUACAAGCUUCUCCAAAAGUCUGUAUAAAACCAUAUGCUUUGAUCACACUAUCAAAGCGUUUAUUCCAACUCCGAGAUGCUUGCACUAGUCCAUAAAUGGAUUGCUGAAGCUUGCACACUUUGUUAGCACCUUUUGGAUCGACAAACCCUUCUGGUUGCAUCAUAUACAACUCUUCUUCCAGAAAUCCAUUCAGGAAUGCAGUUUUGACAUCCAUUUGCCAAAUUUCAUAAUCAUAAAAUGCGGCAAUUGCUAACAUGAUUCAGACAGACUUAAGCAUCGCUACGGGUGAGAAAGUCUCAUCGUAGUCAACCCCUUGAACUUGUCGAAAACCUUUCACAACAAGUCGAGCAUUGUAGACAGUUACAUUACCAUCAGCGUCAGUCUUCUUCUUGACGAUCCAUUUAUUCUCGAUGGCUUGCCGAUCAUCGGGCAAGUCAACCAAAGUCCAUACUUUGUUCUCAUACAUGGAUCCCAUCUCAGAUUUCAUGGCUUCAAGGCAUUUUGCGGAAUCUGGGAUCAUCAUCGCUUCCUCAUAGUUCGUAGGUUCGCCAUGGUCAAGUAACAUGACUUCCAGAAUAGGAUUACCGUACCACUCUGGUGCGGAUCUUACUCUGGUAGACCUACGAGGUUCAGUAGUAACUUGAUCUGAAAUUUCAUGAUCAAUAUCAUUAGCUUCCUCACUGAUUGGUGCAGUUGUCACAGGAACCGGUUCUUGUGAUGAACUACUUUCCAAGAAGGGAGCAGGUACAGUUACCUCAUCAAGUUCUACUUUCCUCCCACUCACUUCUUUCGAGAGAAACUCCUGCUCUAGAAAGGAUCCGAAUUUAGCAACGGAAAUCUUGCCUUCAGAUCUGUGAUAGAAGGUGUACCCAAUAGUCUCUUUUGGGUAUCCUAUGAAGACACAUUUCUCCGAUUUGGGUUCGAGCUUAUCUGGUUAAAGUUUCUUCACAUAAGCAUCGCAGCCCCAAACUUUAAGAAACGAAAACUUUGGUUUCUUGCCAAACCACAGUUUAUAAGGCGUCGUCUCAACGGAUUUGAUGGUGCCCUAUUUAACGUGAAUGCGGCCGUCUCUAAAGCAUAACCCCAAAACAAUAGCGGUAAAUCAGUAAGAGACAUCAUAGAUCGCACCAUAUCUAGUAAAGUACGAUUACGACGUUCGGACACACCAUUUCAUUGUGGUGUUCUGGGUGGCGUGAGUUGCGAAACUAUUCCGCAUUAUUUCAAAUGUAGACCAAACUCGUAACUCCAAUAUUCUCCUCUUCGAUCAGAUCAUAGAAAUUUUAUUUUCUUGUUACGAUGAUUUUCCUCUUCACUCUGAAAUUCUUUGAACUUUUCAAAUGUUUCAGACUUGUGUUUCAUCAAGUAGAUAUACCCAUAUCUGCUCAACUCAUCUGUGAUGGUGAGAAAAUAACGAUACCCGCCGCGAGCUUCAACAUUCAUUGGACCACAUACAUCAGUAUGUAUGAUUUCCAAUAAAUCAGUUGCUCGCUCCAUAGUUCCGGAGAACGGUGUUUUAGUCAUCUAGCCCAUGAGGCGCGGUUCGCAAGUACCAAGUGAUUAAUAAUCAAGUGAUUCCAGAAGUCCAUCAGUAUGGAGUUUCUUCAUGCGCUUUACACCGAUAUGACCUAAACGGUAGUGCCACAAAUAAGUUGCACUAUCAUUAUCAACUCUGCAUCUUUUGGUUUCAACAUUAUGAAUAUGUAUAUCACUACUAUCGAGAUUCAAUAAAAAUAGACCACUCUUCAAGGGUGCAUGACCAUAAAAGAUAUUACUCAUAUAAAUAGAACAACCAUUAUUCUCUGAUUUAAAUGAAUAACCGUCUCGCAUCAAACAAGAUCCAGAUAUAAUGUUCAUGCUCAACGCUGGCACCAAAUAACAAUUAAUUAGGUCUAAAACUAAUCCCGAUGGUAGAUGUAGAGGUAGCGUGCCGACCGCGAUCACAUCGACUUUGGAACCAUUUCCCACGCGCAUCGUCACCUCGUCCUUAGCCAAUAUUUGCUUAAUCCAUAGUCCCUGUUUCGAGUUGCAAAUAUUAGCAACAGAACCAGUAUCAAAUACCCAGGUACUACUGCGAGCAUUAGUAAGGUACACAUCAAUAACAUGUAUAUCACAUAUACCUUUGUUCACUUUGCCAUCCUUCUUAUCCGCCAAAUACUUGGGGCAGUUCCGCUUCCAGUGUCCAGGCUGCCUACGGUAGAAGCACUUAGUCUCAGUCUUAGGUCCAGACUUGGGUUUCUUCUCUUGAGCAGCAACUUGUUUGCUAUUCUUCUUGAAGUUCCCCUUCUUCUUCCCUUUGCCCUUUUUCUAGAAACUGGUGGUCUUAUUGACCAUCAACACUUGAUGCUCCUUCUUAAUUUCUAGCUCCGCAGCCUUUAGCAUUGCGAAGAGCUUGGGAAUAGUCUUGUCCAUCCCUUGCAUAUUAUAGUUCAUCACGAAGCUCUUGUAGCUUGGUGGCAGUGAUUGAAGAAUUCUGUCAAUGACACUAUCAUCAGGAAGAUUAACUCCCAGUUGAAUCAAGUGAUUAUUAUACCCAGACAUUUUGAGUAUGUGUUCACUGACAGAACUAUUCUCCUCCAUAUUACAGUUAUAGAACUUAUUGGAGACUUCAUAUCUCUCAAUCCGGGCAUUGCUUGAAAUAUUAACUUCAACUUGAGGAACAUCUCAUAUGCUCCAUGACGUUCAAAACAUCAUUGAAGACCCGGUUCCAAGCCGUAAAGCAUGGCACACUGAACUAUCGAGUAGUCAUCAGCUUUGCUCUGUCAGACGUUGUCAGUUGCAUCUGCAGCAGGCCUGGCACCCAACGGUGCUUCCAGGACGUAAUUCUUCUGUGCAGCAAUGAUGAUAAUCCCCAGGUUACGGGCCCAGUCCGUGUAAUUGCUACCAUCAUCUUUCAACUUAGCUUUCCCAAGGAACACAUUAAAAUUCAACGGAACAACAGCACGAGCCAUCUAUCUACAACAAACAUAGACAAGCAGAAUACUAUCAGGUACUAAUUUCAUGAUAAACUUAAGUUCAAUUAAUCAUAUUACUUAAGAAAUCCCACUUAGACAGACAUCUCUCUAGUCAUCUAAGUGAUCACGUGAUCCAAAUCAACUAAACCAUGUCCAAUCAUCACGUGAGAUGGAGUACUUUCAAUGGUGAACAUCACUAUGUUGAUCAUAUCUACUAUAUGAUUCACGUUCGACCUUUCGGUCUCCGUGUUUCGAGGCCAUAUCUGUAUAUGCUAGGCUCGUCAAGUUUAACCUGAGUAUUCCGUGUGUGCAACUAUUUUGCACCCGUUGUAUUUGAACGUAGAGCCUAUCACACCCGAUCAUCACGUGGUGUCUCAGCACGAAGAACUUUCGCAACGGUGCAUAGUCAGGGAGAACACUUCUUGAUAAUUUAGUUAGAGAUCAUCUUAAAAUUCUACCAUCAAUCAAAGCAAGAUAAGAUGCAUAAAGGAUAAACAUCACAUGCAAUCAAUAUAAGUGAUAUGAUAUGGCCAUCAUCAUCUUGUGCUUGUGAUCUCCAUCUCUGAAGCACCAUCGAAUUCACCAUCGUCACGGGCGCGACACCUUGAUCUCAAUCGUAGCAUCGUUAUCGUUUAUGCCAUCAAUUGCUUCUACGACUAUCGCUAUCGCUUAGUGUUAAAGUAAAGCAAUUACAUGGCGUUUGCAUUUCAUACAAUAAAGCGACAACCAUAUGGCUCCUGCCAGUUGCCGAUAACUUCGGUUACAAAACAUGAUCAUCUAAUACAAUAAAACAUAGCAUCACGUCUUGACCAUAUCACAUCACAAUAUGCCCUGCAAAAAGAAGUUAGACGUCCUCUACUUUGUUGUUGCAAAUUUUACGUGGCUGCUACGGGCUGAGCAAGAACCGUUCUUACCUACGCAUCAAAACCACAAUGAUAGUUCGUCAAGUUAGUGCUGAUUUAACCUUCGCAAGGACCGGGCGUAGCCACACUCGGUUCAACUAAAGUGAGAGAGACAGACACCCGCCAGUCACCUUUAAGCACGAGUGCUCGUAACGGUGAAACCAGUCUCGUGUAAGCGUACGCGUAAUGUCGGUCCCGGCCGCUUCAUCUCACAAUACCGCUGAACCAAAGUAUGACAUGCUAGUAAGCAGUAUGACUUGUAUCGCCCACAACUCACUUGUGUUCUACUCGUGCAUAUGACAUCUACGCAUAAAACCUGGCUCGGAUGCCACUGUUGGGGAAUGUAGUAAUUUCAAAAUUUUCCUACGCACACGCAAGGAUCAUGGUGAUGCAUAGCAAUGAGAGGGGAGAGUGUUGUCCACGUACCCUCGUAGACCGAAAGCGGAAGCGUUAGAACAAUGCGGUUGAUGUAGUCGUACGUCUUCACGAUCCGACCGAUCCAAGUAGCGAACGUACGACACCUCCGAGUACAGCACACGUUCAGCUCGAUGACGAUCCCCGGACUCCGAUCCAGCAAGGUGUCAGGGAUGAGUUCCAUCAGCACGACGGUGCGGUGAUGAUGAUGAUGUUCUACCUACGCAGGGCUUCGCCUAAGCACCACAACGAUAUGACCGAGGUGGAAUAUGGUGGAGGGGGGCACCGCACACGGCUAAGGAACGAUCACGAAGAUCAACUUGUGUGUCUAGAGGUGCCCCCUGGCCCCGUAUAUAAAGGAGCCAAGGGGGAGGGGGCGGCCGACCAAGGAGGGCGCGCCAAGGGGGGGAGGAGGAGGAAGAGGGGAAGGAAAGGGGGGGUGCCGCCCUCCUCUCCUUCUCCUAUUCGGACUAGGGAGGGGAGGGGGCACAACCCACCUCUUGCCUCCUCUCUUCCUCCCCAGUAGGGCCCAUGUAGGCCCAUUAAGCCCCCGGGGGUUCCGGUAACCUCCCGGUACUCCGGUAAAAUCCCGAUUUCACCCGGAACACUUCCGAUAUCCAAAUAUAGGCUUCCAGUAUAUCAAUCUUUAUGUCUCGACCAUUUUGAGACUCCUCGUCAUGUUCGUAAUAUCAUUCGGGACUCCGAACAAACUUCGGUACAUCAAAAUAUAUAAACUCAUAAUAUAACUGUCAUCGUAACGUUAAGUGUGCGGACCCUACGGGUUUGAGAACUAUGUAGACAUGACCUAGAACUGUUUCUGGUCAAUAACCAAUAGUGGAACCUGGAUGCUCAUAUUGGCUCCUACAUAUUCUACGAAGAGAUUUAUCGGUCAAACCGCAUAACAAAUACGUUGUUCCCUUUGUCAUCGGUAUGUUACUUGCCCGAGAUUCGAUCGUCGAUAUCUCAAUACCUAGUUCAAUCUCGUUACCGGCAAGUCUCUUUACUCGUUACGUAAUGCAUCAUUUCGUAACCAACUCAUUGGCCACAUUGCUUGCAAGGCUUAUAGUGAUGUGCAUUACCGAGAGGGCCCAGAGAUACCUCUCCGACAAUCGGAGUGACAAAACCUAAUCUCGAAAUACGCCAACUCAACAUGUACCUUUGGAGACACCUGUAGAGCUCCUUUAUAAUCAGCCAGUUAUGUUGUGACGUUUGGUAGCACACAAAGUGUUCCUCCGGUAAACGGGAGUUGCAUAAUCUCAUAGUUAUAGGAACUUUGUAUAAGUCAUGAGGAAAGCAAUAGCAACAUACUAAACGAUCAAGUGCUAAGCUAAUGGAAUGGGUCAAGUCAAUCACAUCAUUCUCCUAAUGAUGUGAUCCCGUUAAUCAAAUGACAACACAUGUCUAUGGCUAGGAAACAUAACCAUCUUUGAUUAAUGAGCUAGUCAAGUAGGGGCAUACUAGUGACAUUAAGUUUGUCUAUGUAUUCACACAUGUAUCAUGUUUAUGGUUAAUACAAUUCUAGCAUGAAUAAUAAACAUUUAUCAUGAUAUGAGGAAAUAAAUAAUAACUUUAUUAUUGCCUCUAGGGCAUAUUUCCUUCAGAUUUUACACGUGGAAAAUCCCCAUUAGUCUGGGCUGUUAACGGGUUAUCGGAUCCAAAACCGGACCCGGUAGCUUAACGACGUUCCGUUACGGUGGAUGCCACGUGUCGGUCACCCUUGACGAAAGCACUUAUGUGACGCGCGAUUUAUCGUCAUGGAAGUGGACACUUCCAUGAUGAUAAUUUUGGUUAUGUCAAGGAACACUUCUAUGACAGCACAGGCAUGACUAUCUUGAUUCUGUCAUAAAAUCGUCAUGGAUGUACAUGCAUGACAAAAAACGCGACCUACUGUGACAAAAACGUAUCAUCACGGAAGUGUAUCUUUUUUGUAGUGUCUUCAGUUGUCUUUCAUGUGGUCUCUGUCCUGCUGCUAUGAAUGCUCAAGUCCCUCCCUUGUUGGAUGUUGUGAUGAGGCGACCUUCGGGCUCUUGGUGUCGUCUCAGCUCAUCUUUGCUCAAUGAUGACACAAUGACGCCUCCCCAACUUGCUAAUCAUCUUGAACUUUCAUGGUGGAGCUCUCAGUCAAGGUUCGUGUUAACUUUCGGCACUCGUUGAUUGUGGAUGCCCCUCUGUUGUGCUGUGGAGUAUGAAACGCACGCUAGUGCGGUGCCUUAGGCUGCUUGUAGAGUCUCGGUAUUGUGAUACCUCGACGUACCCCUCAUCUACUUGGUCCUGUUAGUCUGCUAGUUAGGUCAUGACUUUUGUUCGGCAUCCCUGUUCUUCUCUUCUUCUUGCCACACUUGUUGCUUCUAUGGUUUUCGGCCCAGUUUUCCUUAUAAAUGGGGUCUAUUUGAUAAGGUUUUCGAUCCGGUUUUCCUUAUAAACUGGAUCAGACUCCUGGCAUUAUGGCCACUUUGAGUAAUAUAUUCAGGUGGAGGAACUCCUCCCCCGAUGAUUCUCAAAAAAAAAAUGUUCCUAACAGAAAUGCUAUUACAAAAAUUUAUGAACAGAAAAUGUGUGUAAAAUUUACAAAAAUGUUCACAAUUUUUUGAAACUUUAAAGCUGGCUUCUGAUUUAUUUUUUCAAAAUUUUGAGCUCCAUGGAGCUCGGUAUCCAAACAUCCACUCUCUACCAACUAUGUGCAUAUAUCUUGUAGCAAGCCAUAAGCUGAGGGUUGCUACAUGAUCAAUUGCUGAGUGGGCAGUGUGUUUUCUUCAUUUUGGGCAGAUCACAAGUGUUUGACAUCUCUCUCUACAUUGGGUAUCCUUUUCUACUUGAAUUUUAAGAUGCGUAGAAUGUGCUUUCCUUGUUGUUGCCUCGUCAUUCCAGCAUGGAAUCAAAGCCAAACUGAUAUUACUGCCCUUAAAAAUUGUCUCGCUAUCUAUGUCCAUAACAUGCCCAUUGGACUGCAUGGCGGAAAUGAAGGUGUUCGUCUAGCUGGCCGAGCAGACGCACUUGUCUGUGACCUCUGAUCUAAGAAUGACAUGUACUUUGUUGUGAGCCCAUGGUGCAUGUGGGUUGAAACGCUGCUUAGCAAAUCUAGACUUAUCUUGCAGGCAAGCCAAGAUGAGAUCUGUAGGCCCAUGUGAAUUCCAUCAAAAUCACGGUCAGUUCAACUCUGGUUCGAAUCCUAAUAAAAAAUAGAUCAGUGGUCCUGGAUGGAUAUGUCCAUCGCUAAAAAGUGCAGUUGUUGAAAGAGUCGAUAUGACUUGUAGCUAGAGGACGCCGACACCCCUCACUUCUUCUACACACACUAAACACACCCUAUCUUAUCCAACUCAAUUUGCUUUAAGGUUUGUGAGUGAAAGAAGUAGUGUUAAAACCAAACACCACACUCUUCAACCUAAGAAAUCAAUAGUAAAUUUACCUAUGGAUAUUAAAUCUAUAUACAUCAUACUUGAUUUAUCAAAUUGAUAAUACUUACUAUACAUAUUUUAAAUUACAAUAUUUGGUGCUUCACAGCCUGUUAUGAAAUUAUUGUUCACCCAUCCAAUGUAAUAAAAAGUAUGUGAAUGAUGUUAACGCACGCGUGUGAGAGAGAGAGAGAGAGAGUGGAGUACAUUUUGUCCUGAUGUCCAUCAUAGUUCCACGAUCAGUACACCUAGGAGGAGAUAAUCAAAAUAGGGACAGAAAAUAAAUAUUUAAUAUAUAAAUGGUUGGUAACAAAUCCAACCACAAAAUUGUGCAAGCAACCCACAAGCUAGUUUUAUUGAAUAUUAAAAUAACAUAGUUGAUUUCUAAAACAUACAAAAUUUAUUAUCUCAUCAACACAUAAUUAUUUUGAUAACCAUAAGGUUGAGAUUUAUCCACCCAAAAUAGGGGAGAUAACAAAACUAUUGUGUUGUUGUUGCUGGUGUGCAAUUAAUCUUGCAGGGACAGUUGAUGAAGCAUUCUCCAAGGUCUGGCCAGCACAAGUUAUCUAUUUGACAACAGAAUUCCCGUCCUGGGAGCUGGUGCCCAUCUUUAUAACAAGGGGGUCUGGUUACAUGGCUUACUUUGCUCAUCAUGUUUCUCCCCUUGUUGUUUAUGAUUUCACCUAAUUAACAUAAAAUAAAGAAUAUACUUAUCAUUUCAUCAUAUAAACAAUAAAAGUCCACAAUAUCAAUCCCCCCAAAAAAUUGAGUUGUUAAUUACCAUAUGUGCCUCCAAGACAAGUUAAACACACCACAAGAAGAAAAGAAAGUAGCACAAGUCCUUGCACAUUGUUCCUCGUGAACUUUGUCAUCGUCACUAAGGAAAAGAGGCUAUUAAUAGGUGGUACUCUUGUAAGUGGAGUUGAUAAGUGUAUGACCGUGAAAUGCUUGCUCCAUGAAUGGUUCAUAUAUAUAUAGGAAAAGCUUCUCCGCGUUGAUGUGUGAAGUUAUAGAAAAUAUUAAUGCUACGAGUUAUGGCUUGUCUGAAUUUCCAAUUUUAGUUUAACUUCUAAAGAUUCAUGGUUCCUUCUAAAGUUUUUUUCCUCAAAUUGAUGCUUUGUCAUAGCAUGUAAGUUACUUUAAUGCCCCCUCUAGAAUUGACCGCUUAUUGUUUCCAAAGGGUAGAAUUGACCUCUUAGAAUGGGUAGCAAAAAACGGGUGCAUGGCAAUAUUGUGUUUAAGGCAUUGAUAAUAAUUGGUAUAAUAUUAAUAAUUCCUAUAUAUAUGAUGCCUUAUCAGUAAAUUAUUAAUUUCUCUCUUGGUAUAAGAGAACAAAAUUUAAAAUUCAACAAGACUCGUCCACUUAACAUUGGACUUGUUUUUUAAUGUAUAUAAGCAAUUGUUCUUAAGUAUAUCAGCAAGUUACGGAUACAUUUUUUUACUUUUAUUCCAUGAACAUAGAUUAAUUAUGGGAUGGCCAUUUUAUAAAUAUAAGAUGAUGAUUUAUUUUCAUAUACAUGAACAUUUUAUAUCAAGGUAGUUGAGCAUUUUUUACAUUUUUCUAUACACAAAAUUUUCUCCAAUAUUAAGUUGAUUUUGAUUUCUUUAAAUAGAUUAGUUUCCCCAAAACGUUCUUUAUUAGAAUAGUGAAAAUGUUGCACUUGCCCGACUAUGGCAAAUUUCGUUAAUUCUCGGGACUCCCUAUAUGUUCCUCCUUGCGGCUAACAACCUCCCCUUCGGAUAGUGCGCGCCUGGCUGGGCCGGCCCAUUGACGACACGAAUGGACACCACUGAGUGGGAGAGUAGGCGCUGAGCCAAUCCACUUCAGCGACAAUUUUUUAAAUUUUGGAAAAUUUCUUUGCAAAAUGAACAAGCAUUGAUAAAUGCGAAGUUUUUUUGAACAUAUUCUAAAAUUUGAAAUUUCUUAAAACCCCAAUUAUAUUUGGAAUUUCGUUCAUUUUUCUGAAAAUAUGAACGAUUUAGGAAAUACUGAAGAUUAUUUGAAAACUACGUCCUUUCCUUGGAAAACCAAAAAUUUAUUUAUAACAAAAUAUGAGAAUCGGAACAUUUCCUGAAAACUUGAAUAUUUUUUAAAUUUCAAAUUUACGCACAUUUUAAAAAAGGAGACUUUUUGAUAGAGAAAAUAAGAAAAAUAAAACAUGGAAAAACCAAAUAUGUAAAACUAAAAAAUAACCCAAAGAAAACGGUAACAGAAACAGAAGGAAAAAAAGAACAAAUGAAAAUACUAGUAAAAAUCAUAUCAGAACCUUUUAGAACGCUCCCAAAAUUGGUAAAAGCCCAGAAGGAAUAUUCCGGAAGUUCAUAAAACUAGAGAGGCGCGGCUAACAUGGGUCGGCCGUCCCAAGCUCUAGCAUCGAUUCUGUGUGCAAUCCCCGGCAAUUUGAUGUUUACUGCUCAAAUAGGGUUUUCGCCAAUUCUCUUGUUUCUUGUUGCCUCAUAUGAGUUUGUUGUUGUUUGGGACAUACCUUGGCGCCAUUUGUACGGGUUCGAUGACCGCCAUCAAGGGUCUCUUAGUGGAAUCACAAUAUCUUGCAUCGUGUGAGGGCGUGAGGAGAUUAUAGUGGCCCUAGUGGCAUUUUGGGGAGCAUUGUGCCUCCACAGUGCUCCAGACGGAGAUUAGCAUCUGCAAUGUCGUCUCCGCGUGCCUCAGUUAUUUCUUACCCGAGCCCUUUACUUUGUGAUAGCCAUAGUGUUUCAUGUUAUAUAUCUUGCUAUCACAUAGUUGUUUGUCGUGCUUAGCAUAAGUUGUUGGUGCACAUAGGUGAGCCUAGUGGUUUUAGCUUUUAUGCUUGACAAAUUAGACACUAGUUUUAUUCUACAUUUGUUCAAGCCUAAAUAGUAAUUAUUUUAAAGCAUCUAUUCACCCUCCCUCUAGGCAACAUCCACGAUUUUUCAAGUGGUAUCAGAGUGUCGCCUCUCUUUAUUAGGCUUAACCACUUAGAGAGUAAAGAUGUCGACUAGGGGAUUAGGAUUCUUUGACACUCUUUGUUUCAAUGGCACAAUUUUUGAUGUUGUUGUAAUUCGUAUGGUUAAUCUCUUUAGGGUCAUGGACCCAAAUUUAGAGCGAAUUUUAGAUAUUAGUUUUCAUCCUUCAAAGGAUCCUCAAAGAUUAUCUCUAGAGGAUGAGAAAAAACUCUUAUCUCACUGCUCAAGCUUCUAAUGUGCUUUUUGAUGCUUUGAACAAUGUAGUUAUAUUUGAACUUAUGCUAUUCUGGGAUGCUCAUGAUUUGUGGACAAAGCUUCAAGAUAAAUAUGGUGUGUCCAGGAUUUCUAGGAAUGAUUAUUCUCCCUCCAUCUCCAGUCUUAUGGUGUUCUCAACUUCUUCCACUUCACCUACAUGUGGAUUGCCACAAGGUAGUGAUAUGGUGAGUAGUGUUGGUCAUUGCAAUGAUUAUAGUGGGCUUAUUGUUGAUGAUCCUUCAUCGCUAUCUUAUUGAAUGCUCCGUCUUUGCACUUCAACACUUCGAGAUCUCUAGAUGGUUCACACGCUCGUGUUGAUAGUCCUUGCAUAUCACGUAGAAUUUGCUCAACUAAAUCUCAUGAUGAUAUGCUUGCUAUGUCUUGCUGCCAUGAUAAAAGUGCCUCUAUUUCCUCGAGUUGUUGUGCAAACAGUGUAAAGGAAACCCUACACUCCAUGGAACAAGAUGUGGUCCUGAAUGGUGCUUCAAGGGAUCCAACAUCAUCAUCUAUUGUUUCUCACUUUUGCCUUAUGGCUACGGUUUCAAAGGUAUCUCCCAGUUUGAAUCCCAAUAUAUAUUGUGAUGAUGAUGUUCAUGAUAAUCAGGGGAGGGGCCCCACCCAGUUGAAAUAAGGGGAGGGACCCUACCCAGUUGAAAUCAGGGGGUGGAGUGAUCAGUUAGGAAAGUUAAGUAAGAUUACGUAGGAUUUCUACGUAAUGCUACACCUACGUAGCUAUCAUACAAGAAUUUCUCCUCCCUCUCGUCCCAUUGCCCCUUCCAUGGCACUCUGCUCGAUAAGAAUAUUCUCCACUCCAGCAACACAUGUAUCUUCAGUAGUCCUAGUGCAAUUUUGCCUUCCCCAACUUUUCUACAUCAAAAUCCACAUCUGCACGAGAUGUACCAACAAUCAGUCGGGUUACGAAAGCUAUAUUUUCCACACAAGGGAAGGGCUAGAAAUCAAUACUGCAAAUUUGUCAUCUUAGGACUGGCAUUUACAUUUAUAAUUUAACAAGAACAGAUCACAUCAUAGUUCAAAUAAGAUAAGUAUGAAUGGACAUAAGUUUCCCAGUUAUAGGAUCAAACUAUAGGGGUGCUGCAAAAGCAACAACUUUGAACCAAGCUUCAUUGCCUCAGUAUACGAGUAGAAACCUGGGAGCCCUCCCUUGUUACCCUUCAUGGUGACAAACUAACAAUCUCGCAUGCAAGUUUCUUCCGGAGGUGCUCCAGCUGAGCCUGGGCGAGAAAAAAAAUACAGCUUUCAGUCCACCUCACAGUUUGUUCACUGUGGACACGCCCUGAACUACCAUGCUUUUACCUCACUAUGUUCAAACCCGAGGAUGUUGUGCAUGAUGUACACAUCGCUAUCCUCCUUAAGAUCACGGGAUCAGUAUUCGUCUUUGUUAGUGUGAAGUAUAACAAAAAAAAUUAUCCUUGUUCAAAGUCAGAUGUACUAACCUCGUGCACAGUUUGUUCCGCGCCACUAAAGGGUACACAAAAGUCCAUCCAGUCGUGUCAACCAACCCGGCACCAAAAAUGUCAUUGAACACUCACCCCUUCGACCAUUCGAACCUCUGCGAGCCAAUGCUGGCCUCGAGCUGCCGAGGUUUCUGCUGUUGCAGUACAUCUCAUUGGUAGGAUCCCAGCAGAUUUUGUGGCUGAAGCACACCCAUGGGUAGGACAAGCAUUAGUCAAGAGCAAACUUUAAAUCUUUUAGAACACCAACUACAAAUGUGAAACUAUUUGCUUGCCGUGCACCCACAUUCUAGUUCUAACUUUGCCAGUUCCGCAACAGCAAACAUUUCGUCCAAUCUUAUCUGUUCUUCUUUGUCAACCUCGCCAACAACAUCUUGGUUUGUUUGACUCCUGGCAUUCGCACUAUUCGCCCCAACUCCACUUCCGGCAACAUCUCUCAUUCUCAGCUUCAGCUGAAGCCUGCUCAAGCUCCACAGCCAUGGCCCCCUGCAUGCACAAUUGACUCCAAAUAAACAUUCUUGGACUACCAACCUGACCCAAGGCCACCUCGCAAUUCCGAUGAAAUACGUAGGUUGCUCUACCCAGCUGGUGCUCCAAUGGGUUACCUUACAUUGCAAAACAAUAUUGGUAUUUAUAUUUUUGUGGUCCAGCAUUGCUGCAUUUGUCGACAAAUAGUGCACUCGUCGAACAGCAAUCAAGCUUUUUUUAGAAGGAGGAUGUACCCCCGGCCUCUCCAUUCGGAUGAUGCAUUCAACCAUAUUAUUAAUUAUCCACAAAGAUCAUACAAGGUGAUACAUCAAUAAGCCUGAAGCCAUCAUCUUGGCAAUGUUGUUGCUACUUCUAUCCCCUUGAUGAAGGUGUGUCGGAUGUCCGAGCCUAAUACCAUGCAGACAUCGCACCAAAACCUAACAUAUAAAGCCGGGUGUCCCAUCCAAGCCACUACCUGGAAUGGGUCCCACAUCGGUCUGGCAGACUCCCAGUGAGCACCGCACGCUGCAAGGGUCGUCGCCUCCAUCUUCCAUCAGUCCAUCCUCAAAGCAGAACUGAUGCACUGACCGUGACAGGCCUCUCUGCCAUCAAUGCCACCAUGACGCUGGACAGCUUCCUCCUCCUGCGCGAGUCCAUCUCUGUGCAUCAGACGCCAAGUGUCCAUUGCGCCAUGCCGCCGAGACCCACCGUCAAUGAUACGGUUGAUGCCACACCGCUCCACCUACAUGCCAUCUCGCAUCGACUCCGAACUACCAGCAGCUCCACCACCUUGAGCAGUCCCUGUCCGACGCCUUCAGAAAGGAACACGACACCAAAGUACCAUUGUCGCCCAAACAGAGGAACAGAGACUUUUGCAUGCGCUCAUGGCAGAGGUGGGGGGCGUAUGAUCCACACCAAAGCCUCCAGGAAGGGAAUCGGCGCCGACGGCGUAGACUUUGGUGCGGCCGCCACGCCGGCCUGAAGUUUCCCCUCGAUUCAUGCCCACCCGCCAGACCCUAUCCAGGCAGUAUAAGUGUCGACCGUAUUCGCUACCGUUGCCAGCACGAACUGGAGAGUAGAUCUACUGUAGGUAGGGUAUAAUGUUUGGUACACGUGCAAUGUUCAGAUUCAUUUUUCAUUCGUCAACUCCCAUUCCCAGCCUGAAUUACUAGGGCCCCUUCAGGGAGAGAUACGGGGGAGUUACCCCCGUCAAUUCAUAUUACCUUCCCUCCACAACUCCUAUGUCCCCGAACCAUACAGGGGAUUUUUAGUGUCAUAGCCUCUUAAUUCCCAUUCCCCAGCUUUUCUUCCCCCCAACCAAACAGGCUGUAAGAGUGAUUCUUGCAUCGCGCUCCAGCAUCACAACUCCUUGCCGAACUGAAUCUACUAAGUUCCAUACAAAUUUAGCUUGAUUUAUGUACAUAUGUACAAUGUGACGACAGUAGUGGAGUUGCUUUUUCGCUAAAUUCAACACACAAUGGACAGGAUACUGUAUGCCACCUAGUUUAGAGAUAGCUAUUAAAGUUUUAUCAUUUGAGCAUCCUUAUUCAAAUUAAUAUGUGCUAACGAUACUAUUGAGGCUUCUAAGAUUUAAGUACCCAAACUCGACUUCUGUAGAUAAACAUAGAAGUACAAUCUUUGCAUAGGUAUACACUAUCUUCCAAUAUAUGAUUUCAUUCCAUUGUGUAAUUUGGUCGAAAAAUUACGGCGUGCUUUUGGUGACUAGACUAGAGUAGAAUUGGCAUAAGAGCUAAUGCAAGGAAGAAAAUCAUGCCCCAGACAUUUGCAUAGCCCGACUCAAACUUGCCAAAUGUAGCAAGUUUUUUUAUGCAAAUUCCAAAUGAUAUUUAAUUUAUCAAAAAUAAUGAAAUUUAGUUCAACGUUUCAGGCCUGAAGCAAACCUGAAUCAUCUAUACUUCUUAUCCUCCUAAUCUUUGCAGAACCAGCAAAAGUGGGCAAUAAGAACCGAACAAAUGAAGGCCUCUAUUUUGUCUGCAGCACAUAAACCCUUUAUCACUACUAGGACAAGGCCUACUAAUGGCGCACCAGUUUUGCCUACUAAUGGCGCACUACUGGUGCGUCAUUAGUAUCACGCCACUAAUAUUUUUUACUGAUGGCGCAUCAAUAGUGCGCCAUUAGUAUCUGGUAUACUAAUGGUGCACCACUGGUGCGCCAUUAGUAUAGGCCACGGUGCGCCAUUAAUAUUUUUGAAUUUUGAAGGUGGGAAAAUAGAAGUGGCGCACCGUCUAACCCCCAUGGUGCGCCAUUGCUAAUUUUGAAUUUUGAAUUUGGAUCUGGAUCGCGAUUUCUUUGCCCAUUUUUUGCUCUUUUUUUUUGCACGAUAUUAUUUCAAAUUUUGUUCCUGUUUUUGGAUCUUGUACGUUCUUUUGCCGUGUUCUUUUGCCGGAGAGGAGUUCGCCGGAGAGGAGUUUGCCGGAGAGGAGGAGGAGGUCACCGGAGAGGAGUUCACUGGAGCAUCGGAGAGGAGGAAGGAGAAACCAUGAUGGGAUGGGAGGAGAGGAGGGAGAAGGAGCUCACCGGAGAGGAGGGAGGAGGAGCUCACCGGAGAGGAGGGGGGAGGAGCUCACCGGAGAUGAGGGAGGAGGAGCUCACCGGAGAGGAGGGAGNNNNNNNNNNNNNNNNNNNNNNNNNNNNNNNNNNNNNNNNNNNNNNNNNNNNNNNNNNNNNNNNNNNNNNNNNNNNNNNNNNNNNNNNNNNNNNNNNNNNNNNNNNNNNNNNNNNNNNNNNNNNNNNNNNNNNNNNNNNNNNNNNNNNNNNNNNNNNNNNNNNNNNNNNNNNNNNNNNNNNNNNNNNNNNNNNNNNNNNNNNNNNNNNNNNNNNNNNNNNNNNNNNNNNNNNNNNNNNNNNNNNNNNNNNNNNNNNNNNNNNNNNNNNNNNNNNNNNNNNNNNNNNNNNNNNNNNNNNNNNNNNNNNNNNNNNNNNNNNNNNNNNNNNNNNNNNGUGAGGGGAGGGGAAGGGAGGAGAGGAGAGGAGAGGAGGGAGGAGGAGGUCGCCGGAGAGGAGGAGGAGGUCGCCGGAGAGGAGGAGGAGGAGGUCACUGGAGAGGAGGAGGGUAGUAUGGUGGAGGAGAAAAGGGAAGAUGGAGUGGAGGAGUGGAGGAGAGGUGGAGUGGAGGAGAAGAAUGAAGAGGUAAGGAGGAGAGGACAUGCCCAGCCAUAUAUACGGCAUAGUAAUGACGCAUCGUGGGCAGGUGCGCCAUUACUUUUUUUAAUUUUUUUAAUUUUAAAGGCGGGAAGAUAGUAAUGGCGCACCAUGGGCAGAUGCGCCAUUAGUAACUUUUUUUUAUUUUAAAUUUUGAAGGCGGGAAGAUAGUAAUGGCGCACCAUGGGCAGGUGCGCCAUUAGUAACUUUUUUUUAUUUUUUGAUUUAUUUUGAAUUUUGAAGGCGGGAAGAUAGUAAUGGCGCACCAUGGGCAAGUGCGCCAUUAGUAAGUUUGAUUUUUUUUGAAAUUUUUUGCCUCUCCAGAUCUUAAAAGCCCCGUAUCUUUUUUUCUGUUAGGUUUUUGAGGAUUUUAAAAAUGUUUAACGGGGUUCCCCUGUUAAAUUCGGAUGUAACUUUUCGAGUAGAUGAUUUUUCAUAUAAAAAAAAUUCAUCCGAGUUCGUAUGCAAAAGUUAUGCCCAUUUUUACAAAUUCUUGAAAGAUUUUGCAAAAAAGUCGAAAAUUCAUGUUUGUAAAUUUUGCUAACAACUAGAUCACAUAUCACAUGGGAAUCUUAUUUUCUUUUAUUUUUUUGACAUUUCUAUCAUUUUCUUUUUUUUUUAAACUGAAAAGGCGGUCCAGGGGGGUUGCAUUCGGGGGAAUGUUUGGGACAAAUUACUAAUGGCGCACCGUGGGAAGGUGCGCCAUUACUAGUUUCAACUAGUAAUGCCGCACCACUCUCACAGUGCGCCAUUAGUAGUUUCGGAAAAAUUAAAAAAAAAUUACUAAUGGCGCACCGUGGGAUGUGGUGCGCCAUUAGUAUUUGCACACUAAUGGCGCACCAACACAUGGUGCGCCAUUAGUAUUUAGUAAUGGCGUACCACAUGUACAGUGCGCCAUUAGUGUCCAUCCCAUCUAUAGCUCUUUUCCUAGUUGUGUAUGUUCAAUGUACAAAAAACAAAAUUGCAUCAAGUAAAUGUAACAGAAGAGGAAAAUAAGAGAUAUAUGUAGAAACAGAAAUCGAACAUAUCCGGGCAAACACAACAUCUCGCCGCGCAGAUAAAUUCUAGACGUACUUCCGAGGUGAAGAAAGAAGGUGGAUUUAGAAGCAGGAGAGCAAAGACCCGGGGAUGGGGGCGAGAAACAGAGUUCUAAUGCCUUUGGGUCUACAUCCCCUCUGGAUAUGUGUCUUGGAGUGUCUGAUCUCAUGGCCGUGGGGCUCAUGGUGGCCAGAGACGCCCUGCAGCCUACUAUGGUGCAAUAACUAACUCAAAUGCCAUUGACAGCAUGGAGCUAUGCCAGGAGUGUGGCGGCCCUCUUGGACAUCAGCGCACGCGUAGGAUGCUGGUACAUAGCGGUGGGCGCCGCCAUCGAGAUCAAGGUCGGGGGAGACGGGAGGGGUGCCCCUAGGCGUGCUAAAUAAAGGAGCCUGGGAGCUUGCCGGGCGCCUCCAUUGGUGUUAGGCUGCUGUUAAUGCAUGGGUGCUUAGAUGAGGUGCUAAGCACAUUAAAUAGUUUAACAACUAUACUCCCCAAUGCAUAGGUGCUUAGCUUAUGGUUGCUAAGCUUGCUUCAUUUAAUGAUUUAGCAACUAAAGCUCUUCAUGUAUUGGUGGGCUUUUUUUCUUUAAAUGUUUUGCCUAGGUUCACGAGCUUAGCAUUGUCUCUUCCUGGGUCACCACACUCAUCUCCCUCCUCUUAAAUAACUUGCCACAUCAGAUUUUUUGCCUAUGUGAAAAGCUUAGCACCUGUACAAGGUGGAGCAUUGGGAGGGGCCUUAAUGCACUUUUAGCAAUGGUAACAUUACUCCUCGCUUGAAUACCGGUGGACGAUCUCCAAUCACCCAUUGUUGGGGAACGUAGCAGAAAUUCAAAAUUUUCCUACGUGUCACCAAGAUCUAUCUAUGGAGAAACUAGCAACGAGGGGAAGGAGAGUGCAUCUACAUACCCUUGUAGAUCGCUAAGCGGAAGCGUUCAAGAGAACGGGGUUGAAGGAGUCGUACUCGUCGUGAUCCAAAUCAUCGGAGAUCCUAGUGCCGAACGGAUGGCACCUCCGCGUUCAACACACGUACAGCCCGGUGACGUCUCCCAUGCCUUGAUCCAGCAAGGAGAGAGGGAAAGGUUGAGGAAGACUCCAUCCAGCAGCAGCACAACGGCGUGGUGGUGAUGGAGGAGCGUGGCAAUCCUGCACGGCUUCGCCAAGCACCACGGGAGAGGAGGAGUACUUGGGAGAGGGGGAGGGCUGCGCCAGAACUUGGGUGUGGCUGCCCUCCCACCCCCACAUAUAUAUAGGGGCAAGGGAGAGGGGGGCCGGCCCCCUCAGAUCCAAUCUUAGGAGGGGGCGGCGGCUAGGGGGGUUGCCUUGCCCCCCAAGGCAAGGGGGGCGCCCCCUUUUAGGGUUUCCCCCAAGCCCUAGGCGCCUUGGGCCUUGGUGGACGGCGCACCAGCCCACCUGGGGCUGGUCCCCUCCCACACUUGGCCCAUGCAGCCCUCUGGGGCCGGUGGCCCCACUUGGUGGACCCCCGGGACCCUCCCGGUGGUCCCGGUACAUUAUCGAUAGCACCCGGAACUUUUCCGGUGACCAAAACAGGACUUCCCAUAUAUAAAUCUUUACCUCCGGACCAUUACGGAACUCCUCGUGACGUCCGGGAUCUCAUCCGGGACUCCGAACUACAUUCGGUAACCACAUACAAACUUCCUUUAUAACCCUAGCGUCAUCGAACCUUAAGUGUGUAGACCCUACGGGUUCGGGAACCAUGCAGACAUGACCGAGACCUUCUCCGGUCAAUAACCAGCAGCGGGAUCUGGAUACCCAUGUUGGCUCCCACAUGUUCCACGAUGAUCUCAUCGGAUGAACCACGAUGUCAAGGACUCAAUCGAUCCCGUAUACAAUCCCUUUGUCUAGCGGUAUAGUACUUGCCCGAGAUUCGAUCGUCGGUAUACCGAUACCUUGUUCAAUCUCGUUACCGGCAAGUCUCUUUACUCGUUCCAUAACACAUCAUCCCGCGAUCAAAUCUUUGAUCACGUUGUGCACAUUAUGAUGAUGUCUUACCGAGUGGGCCCAGAGAUACCUCUCCGUCACACGGAGUGACAAAUCCCAGUCUCGAUUCGUGCCAACCCAACAGACACUUUCGGAGAUACCUGUAGUGCACCUUUAUAGUCACCCAGUUACGUUGUGACGUUUGUUACACCCAAAGAAUUCCUACGGUAUCCGGGAGUUGCACAAUCCCAUGAUCUAAGGAAAAGAUACUUGACAUUAGAAAAGCUUUAGCAUACGAACUACACGAUCUCUGUGCUAGGCUUAGGAUUGGGUCUUGUCCAUCACAUCAUUCUCCUUAUGAUGUGAUCCCGUCAUCAAUGAUAUCCAAUGUCAAUGGUCAGGAAACCGUAACCAUUUAUUGAUCAACGAGCUAGUCAACUAGAGGCUUACUAGGGACAUGGUGUUGUCUAUGUAUCCACACAUGUAUCUGAGUUUCUUAUCAAUACAAUUAUAGCAUGGAUAAUAAACGAUUAUCAUGAACAAGAAAAUAUAAUAAUAACUAAUUUAUUAUUGCCUCUAGGGCAUAUUUCCAACACCCACUAUGCCGCAUCGCUGCCCAUUAAUGUGUCGCUAUCUCAUCACAUUUCCCGCACGCUGCCCUUCCGAAAGCAUACACUCUUUCUUGCGAUAUUCGUUGUGCUAACUGAGCCGAUAUUAAACAACAGAUGAUGGCAAGCGAAUAUGUUACGACGAGCUUAAAUGGGCUUCUUGUGGGAGAAGGGUAUGAUUAACCAUAAACCACCGAUUUUGUUACAGGAGUAGCAGCCAAUGAGGCAUACAGUCCACUUAGUGCUAUUUAAAAGUAUCUUACGGCCAAAAAACGACCAUCACAAAAUGAUCCAAUGGUUAGGAAUGGUGGUGGCCUGAGAGGGCAGGAAAGAUGCUCAGGUAUAAUGUGUCUACAUGUGCUUCCCACGGUAUUGAGCACGAACAUUUGUUGUGCUUGGACCAGCGUCCCUUAAGGUGCACACUAUCCGAAUAGACUUUGUUGGUUGCCACCCCCAUAUCUCUGGGACAUAGAGUGGAUGUGACUCUCACGGUGAUUGGUAAUGCACCAACUAUUGUCAUACCCAUGAAGCAACCGUACCAAAACAGGGCACUCACACCUACAUGAACUGCUGUUUGCUGACUCUGGCUUCCCCUGCACACCGGAUAGCACAUGUCAUGGUCAGCGCAACUAAAUUAGUGAUGGGAGCCCCACACAUAAAAGGACAGAAGAGAAGAGAGUGACGUUUUGGCACAUGGGAGCAUGCGUUCCUGAUUUUUAAAAUUUAUUUUAAACAUCCUUUGAAAUGUCAAAAAAUUUCAAACAAAAACUUGGCGCGUACAUUUCGAUAUUAUACAUGCUCACAAAAUUGUUUCUCAAAAAACCGACAACUCACGUGUUGCGUGUGAAAAAGAAAAAAUCCGGUGUUAAAAAAUGCUUUUCACUAAACAUCCUUUUGUCUUUUUUACACAAGCCAGAAAAAAUGAUUGGUUUUCUCCGAAACUUGACAUGCACACAUAUAAUGUCGAGAUGUAUGCGCCAAAUUUUUCUUUGGAAUUUUUUCACACUUUGAAAUAUUUUUUCGUGUGCAGGAGCGCGUGCUCCCGGGAGCACCAACAGAUAUCCAUAGAAUAGAUAAGCAGAAGGCACUACACGCCAAGUAGCCACAAAUGAUUUCCUGCAUCUAUUUGGUCCUCUCAGCGUUCAAUCUAGUCUUACAAUACCUGAUCCCAAACCCAAUCUCCCACGAAUACAAGUUGUAGAUGUCCUGCGCCUCACCUAGCGAGUAGCGAGUUGAAUUCAGUCCCAGUUCUGGCUUGAUUACACUCUCCCUAGCCUCCUCUGCACAUUUCCGAAUCGACUGCUCCAAUGCCAUCAUCCUACAUGGACAAGGCCUUUUGUCCGAUGGAGAACUCCUGAGGUGUAACCUGAUUUUUUUAGGAACACAGUCGAUCGGAUAGAUGCAGGCUUACCUCUUUUAUCCAUCCUGGUCCUCCGGAUUGACCCUAUCAACGAACACCAGAAAUAAUAAAAAUUAUAUCUAUAUCCGUAGACCACAUAGCAAAGAUUACAAGCACUAAAGCGAGCCGAAUGCGCGCCGCUAUCAUUACCCCUCCCUCAACGGAGCUGGGCAAAACUUGUUGUAGUAGACAAUCGGGAAGUCGUCGUGCUAAGGUCUGAUAUGUCUCCGUCGUAUCUACUUUUCCAAAAACUUUUUUCCCUGUUUUGGACUCUAACUUGCAUGAUUUGAAUGGAACUAACCCGGAGUGACGUUGUUUUCAGCAGAACUGCCAUGGUGUUAUUUCUGUGCAGAAAUAAAAGUUCUCGGAAUGACCUCAAAAUCCACGGAGCAAAUUUUCAGAAUUAAUAAAAAAUACUAGUGAAAGAAUCAGCGUUAGGGGGCCCACACCCUAUCCACGAGGGUGGGGGCGCCCCCCUCCCCUAGGGUGCGCCCCCUACCUCAUGGGCCCCCUGGACGUCCACCGACCUCAACUCCAACUCCAUAUAUUUGCUUUCAUGGAGAAAAAAAUCAGAGAGAAAGUUUCAUCGCGUUUUACGAUACGGAGCCGCCGCCAAGCCCUAAUCUCUCUCGGGAGGGCUGAUCUGGAGUCCGUUCGGGGCUCCGGAGAGGGGGAUUCGUCGUUGUCAUCAUCAUCAACCAUCCUCCAUCACCAAUUUCAUGAUGCUCACCGCCAUGCGUGAGUAAUUCCAUCGUAGGCUUGCUGAACGGUGAUGGGUUGGAUGAGAUUUACCAUGUAAUCAAGUUAGUUUUGUUAGGGUUUGAUCCCUAGUGAAGGAAAUAUGCCCUAGAGGCAAUAAUAAAGUUAUUAUUUAUUUCCUCAUAUCAUGCUAAAUGUUUAUUAUUCAUGCUAGAAUUGUAUUCACCGGAAACAUGAUACAUGUGUGAAUACAUAGACAAACAUAGUGUCACUAGUAUGCCUCUACUUGACUAGCUCAUUAAUCAAAGAUGGUUAUGUUUCCUAACCAUAGACAUGUGUUGUCAUUUGAUUAAUGGGAUCACAUCAUUAGGAGAAUGUUGUGAUUGACUUGACCCAUUCCGUUAGCUUAGCACUUGAUCGUCUAGUAUGUUGCUAUUGCUUUCUUCAUGACUUAUACAAAGUUCCUACAACUAUGAGAUUGUGCAACUCCCGUUUACUGGAGGAACACUUUGUGUGCUACCAAACGUCACAGUAUAACUGGGUGAUUAUAAAGGUGCUCUACAGGUGUUUCCAAAGGUACAUGUUGAGUUGGCAUAAUUCGAGAUUAGGUUUUGUCACUCCGAUUGUCGGAGAGGUAUCUCUGGGCCCUCUCGAUAAUACUCAUCACUUAAGCCUUGCAAGCAUUGUAACUAAUGAGUUAGUUAUGAAAUGAUGUAUUACGGAACGAGUAAAGAGACUUGCCGGUAACGACAUUGAACUAGGUAUUGGAUACCGACGAUCGAAUCUCGGGCAAGUUACAUACCGAUGACAAAGGGAACAACGUAUGUUGUUAUGCAGUUUGACCGAUAAUGAUCUUCGUAGAAUAUGUAGGAACCAAUAUGAACAUGCAGGUUCCACUAUUGGUUAUUGACCGAGAAUAGUUCUAGGUCAUGUCUACAUAGUUCUCGAACCCGUAGGGUCCGCACGCUUAACGUUACGAUGACAGUUUUAUUAUGAGUUUAUAAGUUUUGAUGUACCGAAGUUUGUUUGGAGUCCCGGAUGUGAUCACGGACAUGACGAGGAGUCUCGAAAUGGUCGAGACAUAAAGAUUGAUAUAUUGGACGACUAUAUUCAGACACCGGAAGUGUUCCGGGUGAUUUCGGAGAAAACCGGAGUGNNNNNNNNNNNNNNNNNNNNNNNNNNNNNNNNNNNNNNNNNNNNNNNNNNNNNNNNNNNNNNNNNNNNNNNNNNNNNNNNNNNNNNNNNNNNNNNNNNNNNNNNNNNNNNNNNNNNNNNNNNNNNNNNNNNNNNNNNNNNNNNNNNNNNNNNNNNNNNNNNNNNNNNNNNNNNNNNNNNNNNNNNNNNNNNNNNNNNNNNNNNNNNNNNNNNNNNNNNNNNNNNNNNNNNNNNNNNNNNNNNNNNNNNNNNNNNNNNCCUUGGUGGGAAGAGAGUGGGGCGGCCAGGGUGGGCCGCGCGCCUCCUCUCCCUCUCGUCCGAAUUGGACUAGGAGGGGGGGCGGCGCCCCCCUUUCCUUUCCCCCUCUCCCCCUUCCUUCCCACUCCUAGUAGGAGUAGGAAAGGAGGAAUCCUACUCCUUCUAGGAAGAGGAUUCCUCCUCCUUGGCACGUCCCAAGGGGCCGGCCGGCCUCCCCUCUUGCUCCUUUAUAUACGGGGGCAGGGGGGCACCCUGGGACACACAAGUUGAUCUACGAAUCGUUCCUUAGCCGUGUGCAGUGCCCCCCUCCACCAUAUUCCACCUCGGUCAUAUCGUCGCAGAGUUUAGGCGAAGCCCUGCGCCGGUAGAACAUCAUCAUGGUCACCACGCCGUCGUGCUGACGGUACUCAUCCCUGACGCUUUGCUGGAUUGGAGCCCGGGGAAUGUCAUCUAGCUGAACGUGUGCUGAACACGGAGGUGCCGUACGUUCGGUGCUUGGAUCGGUCGAGUCGUGAAGACGUACGACUACAUCAACCGCGUUGUGAUAACGCUUCCGCUUACGGUCUACGAGGGUACGUGGACAACACUCUCCCCUCUCGUUGCUAUGCCAUCACCAUGAUCUUGCGUGUGCGUAGGAAAAUUUUGAAAUUACUACGUUCCCCAACAGUGGCAUCCGAGCCUAGGUUUUAUGCGUUUAUGUUAUAUGCAUGAGUAGAACACAAGUGAGUUGUGGGCGACACAAGUCAUACUGCUUACCAGCAUGUCAUACUUUGGUUCAACGGUAUUGUUGGAUGAAGCGGCCCGGACCGACAUUACGCGUAUGCUUACGCGAGACUGGUUCUACCGACGGGCUUUGCACACAGGUGGCUGGCGGGUGUCAGUUUCUCCAACUUUAGUUGAACCGAGUGUGGCUACGCCCGGUCCUUGCGAAGGUUAAAACAGCACUAACUUGACGAACUAUCAUUGUGGUUUUGAUGCGUAGGUAAGAACGGUUCUUGCUAAGCCCGUAGCAGCCACGUAAAACUUGCAACGACAAAGUAGAGGACGUCUAACUUGUUUUUGCAGGGCAUGUUGUGAUGUGAUAUGGUCAAGACGUGAUGCUCUAUUUAUUGUAUGAGAUGAUCAUGUUUUGUAACCGAAGUUAUCGGCAACUGGCAGGAGCCAUAUGGUUGUCGCUUUAUUGUAUGAAAUGCAAACGCCCUGUAAUUGCUUUACUUUAUCACUAAGCGGUAGCGAUAGUCGUAGAAGCAAUAGAUGGCGUAAACGACAACGAUGCUACGAUGGAGAUCAAGGUGUCGCGCCGGUGACGAUGGUGAUCACGACGGUGCUUCGGAGAUGGAGAUCACAAGCACAAGAUGAUGAUGGCCAUAUCAUAUCACUUAUAUUGAUUGCAUGUGAUGUUUAUCCUUUAUGCAUCUUAUCUUGCUUUGGUUGACGGUAGCAUUUUAAGAGGUGUUCUCUCUGAAUAUGCACCGUUGCCAAAGUUCCUCGUGCCCAGACACCACGUGAUGAUCGGGUAUGAUAAGCUCUACGUCCAUCUACAACGGGUGCAAGCCAGUUUUGCACACGCAGAAUAUUCAGGUUAUACUUGACGAGCCUAGCAUAUGCAGAUAUGGCCUCGGAACACAAAGACCGAAAGGUCGAGCGUGAAUCAUAUAGUAGAUAUGAUCAACAUAGUGAUGUUCACCAUUGAAAACUACUCCAUCUCACGUGAUGAUCGGUUAUGGUUUAGUUGAUUUGGAUCACGUAAUCACUUAGAUGACUAGAGAGAUAUCUAUCUAAGUGGGAGUUCUUAAGUAAUAUGAUUAAUUGAACUUAAAUUUAUCAUGAACUUAGUACCUGAUAGUAUUUUUAUUGUCUAUGUUUGUUGUAGAUAGAUGGCUCGUGCUGUUGUUCCAUUGAAUUUUAAUGCGUUCCUUGAGAAAGCAAAGUUGAAAGAUGAUGGUAGCAAUUACACGGACUGGGUCCAUAACUUGAGGAUUAUCCUCAUUGCUGCACAGAAGAAUUACGUCCUGGAAGCACCGCUGGGUGCCAGGCCUGCUGCAGGAGCAACACCAGAUGUUGUGAACGUCUGGCAGAGCAAAGCUGAUGACUACUCUAUAGUUCAGUGUGCCAUGCUUUACGGCUUAGAACCGGGUCUUCAACGACGUUUUGACUGUCAUGGAGCAUAUGAGAUGUUCCAGGUGUUGAAGUUAAUAUUUCAAGUAAAUGCCCGGAUUGAGAGAUAUGAAGUCUCCAAUAAGUUCUACAGCUGCAAGAUGGAGGAGAAUAGUUCUGUUAGUGAGCAUAUAGUCAAAAUGUCUGGGUAUAAUAAUCACUCGAUUCAACUGGGAGUUAAUCUUCCGGAUGAUAGCAUCAUUGACAGAAUUCUCCAAUCACUGCCACCAAGCUACAAGAGCUUCGUGAUGAACUAUAAUAUGCAAGGGAUGAACAAGACAAUUCCCGAGCUCUUCGCAAUGCUAAAGGCUGCGGAGGUAGAAAUCAAGAAGGAGCAUCAAGUGUUGAUGGUCAACAAGACCACUAGUUUCAAGAAAAAGGGCAAAGGGAAGAAGAAGGGGAACUUCAAGAAGAACAGCAAGCAAGUUGCUGCUCAAGAGAAGAAACCCAAGUCUGGACCUAAGCCUAAAACUGAGUGCUUCUACUGCAAGCAAACUGGUCACUGGAAGCGGAACUGCCCCAAGUAUUUGGCGGAUAAGAAGGAUGGCAAAGUGAACAAAGGUAUAUGUGAUAUACAUGUUAUUGAUGUGUACCUAACUAGAGCUCGUAGUAGCACCUGGGUAUUUUAUACUGGUUCUAUUGCUAAUAUUUGCAACUCGAAACAGGGACUACGGAAUAAGCGAGCACUGGCCAAGGACGAGGUGACGAUGCGCAUGGGAAACGGUUCCAAAGUCGAUGUGAUCGCGGUCGGCACGCUACCUCUACAUCUACCUUCGGGAUUGUCUUAGACCUGAAUAAUUGUUAUUUGGUGCCAAUGUUGAGCAUGAACAUUAUACCUGGAUCUUGUUUGAUGUGAGACGAUUAUUCAUUUAAAUCAGAGAAUAAUGGUUGUUCUAUUUAUAUGAGUAAUAUCUUUUAUGGUCAUGCACCCUUGAAGAGUGGUCUAUUUUUAUUGAAUCUCGAUAGUAGUGAUACACAUAUUCAUAAUGUCCAAGCCAAAAGAUGCAGAGUUGAUAAUGAUAGUGCAACUUAUUUGUGGCACUGCCGUUUAGGUCAUAUCGGUGUAAAGCGCAUGAAGAAACUCCAUACUGAUGGACUUUUGGAAUCACUUGGUACUUGCGAAUCGUGCCUCAUGGGCAAGAUGACUAAAACACCGUUCUCCGGUACUAUGGAGAGAGCAACAGAUUUGUUUGAAAUCAUACAUACAGAUGUAUGUGGACCGAUGAAUAUUGAAGCUCGUGGCGGAUAUCGUUAUUUUCUCAGCUUCACAGAUGAUUUGAGCAGAUAUGGGUAUAUCUACUUAAUGAAACACAAGUCUGAAACAUUUGAAAAGUUCAAAGAAUUUCAGAGUGAAGUGGAAAAUCAUCGUAACAAGAAAAUUAAGUUUCUACGAUCUGAUAGUGGAGGAGAAUAUUUGAGUUACGAGUUUGGUUUACAUUUGAAACAAUGCGGAAUAGUUUCGCAACUCACGCCACCCGGAACACCACAACGUAAUGGUGUGUCCGAACGUCGUAGUCGUACUUUACUAGAUAUGGUGCGAUCUAUGAUGUCUCUUACUGAUUUACCGCUAUCGUUUUGGGGUUAUGCUUUAGAGCUGGCUGCAUUCACAUUGAAUAGGGCACCAUCAAAAUCCGUUGAGACGACGCCUUAUGAACUAUGGUUUGGCAAGAAACCAAAGUUGUUGUUUCUUAAAGUUUGGGGCUGCGAUGCUUAUGUGAAGAAACUUCAACCAGAUAAGCUCGAACCCAAAUCGGAGAAAUGUGUCUUCAUAGGAUACCCAAAAGAGAGACUGUUGGGUACACCUUCUAUCACAGAUCCGAAGGCAAGACAUUCGUUGCUAAGAAUGGAUCCUUUCUAGAAAAAGAGUUUCUCUCGAAAAAAGUGAGUGGGAGGAAAGUAGAACUUGAUGAGAUAACCAUGUCUGCUCCCUCAUUGGAAAGUAGUUCAUCACAGAAAUCAGUUCUUGUGACAUCUACACCAAUUAGUGAGGAAGAUAAUGAUAUUGAUCAUGAAACUUCAGAUCAAGUUUCUACUGAACCUCGUAGGUCUACCAGAAUAAAAUCUGCACCAGGGUGAUACGGUAAUCCUAUUCUGGAAGUCAUGUUACUUGACCAUGAUGAACCUACGAACUAUGAGGAAGCGAUGAUGAGCCCAGAUUCCGCAAAAUGGCUAGAAGCCAUGAAAUCUGAGAUGGGAUCCAUGUAUGAAAACAAAGUAUGGACUUUGGUUGACUUGCCCGAUGAUCGGCAAGCAAUUGAGAAUAAAUGGAUCUUUAAGAAGAAGACUGACGCUGACGGUAAUGUAACUGUCUAUAAAGCUUGACUUGUUGCGAAAGGUUUUCGACAAGUUCAAGGGGUUGACUACGAUGAGACUUUCUCACCCAUAGUGAUGCUUAAGUCUGUCUGAAUCAUGUUAGCGAUUGCCGCAUUUUAUGAUUAUGAAAUUUGGCAGAUGGAUGUCAAAACUGCAUUUCUGAAUGGAUUUCUGGAAGAAGAGUUGUAUAUGAUGCAACCGGAACAUUUUGUCGAUCCUAAGGGAGCUAACAAAGUGUGCAAGCUCCAGCGAUCAAUCUAUGGUCUGGUGCAAGCCUCUCGGAGUUGGAAUAAAUGCUUUGAUAGUGUGAUCAAAGCAUAUGGUUUUAUACAGACUUUUGGAGAAGCCUGUAUUUACAAGAAAGUGAGUGGGAGCUCUGUAGCAUUUCUAAUAUUAUAUGUGGAUGACAUAUUGUUGAUUGGAAAUGAUAUAGAAUUUCUGAAUGGCAUAAAAGGAUACUUGAAUAAAAGUUUUUCAAUGAAAGACCUCGGUGAAGCUGCUUACAUAUUGGGCAUUAAGAUCUAUAGAGAUAGAUCAAGACGCUUGAUUGGACUUUCACAAUGCACGUACCUUGAUAAAGUGUUGAAAAAGUUCAAUAUGGAUCAGGCGAAGAAAGGGUUCUUGCCUGUAUUACAAGGUAUAAAGUUGAGUCAGACUCAAUGCCCGACCACUGCAGAAGAUAGAGAGAAAAUGAAAGGAGUUCCCUAUGCUUCAGCCAUAGGAUCUACCAUGUAUGCAAUGCUGUGUACCAGACCUGAUGUGUGCCUUGCUAUUAGUUUGGCAGGGAGGUACCAAAGUAAUCUAGGAGUGGGUCACUGGACAGCGGUCAAGAACAUCCUGAAAUACCUGAAAAGGACUAAGGAUAUGCUUCUCGUAUAUGGAGGUGACAAAGAGCUAGUCGUAAAUGGUUACGUCGAUGCAAGCUUUGACACUGAUCCGGACGAUUCUAAAUCGCAAACCGGAUACGUAUUUUUGUUAAACGGUGGAGAUGUAAGUUGGUGCAGUUCUAAACAAAGCGUCGUGGCGGGAUCUACAUGUGAAGCAGAGUACAUAACUGCUUCGGAAGCAGCAAAUGAAGGAGUCUGGAUGAAGGAGUUCAUUUCUGAUCUAGGUGUUAUACCUAGUGCAUCGGGACCAAUGAAGAUCUUCUGUGACAAUACUGGUGCAAUUGCCUUGGCAAAGGAAUCCAGAUUUCACAAGAGGACGAAGCACAUCAAGAGAAGCUUCAAUUCCAUUCGGGACCAAGUCCAAGUGGGAGACAUAGAGAUUUGCAAAAUACAUACGGAUCUGAAUGUUCCAGACCCAUUGAGUAAGCCUCUCUCACGAGCAAAACAUGAUCAGCACCAAGACUCCAUGGGUGUUAGAAUCAUUACUAUGUAAUCUAGAUUAUUGACUCUAGUGCAAGUGGGAGACUGAGGGAAAUAUGCCCUAGAGGCAAUAAUAAAGUUAUUAUUUAUUUCCUCAUAUCAUGAUAAAUGUUUAUUAUUCAUGCUAGAAUUGUAUUAACCGGAAACAUGAUACAUGUGUGAAUACAUAGACAAACAUAGUGUCACUAGUAUGCCUCUACUUGACUAGCUCAUUAAUCAAAGAUGGUUAUGUUUCCUAACCAUAGACAUGUGUUGUCAUUUGAUUAAUGGGAUCACAUCAUUAGGAGAAUGUUGUGAUUGACUUGACCCAUUCCGUUAGCUUAGCACUUGAUCGUUUAGUAUGUUGCUAUUGCUUUCUUCAUGACUUAUACAAAGUUCCUACAACUAUGAGAUUGUGCAACUCCCGUUUACCGGAGGAACACUUUGUGUGCUACCAAACGUCACAACGUAACUGGGUGAUUAUAAAGGUGCUCUACAGGUGUCUCCAAAGGUACAUGUUGAGUUGGCAUAAUUUGAGAUUAGGUUUUGUCACUCCGAAUGUCGGAGAGGUAUCUCUGGGCCCUCUCGGUAAUACUCAUCACUUAAGCCUUGCAAGCAUUGUAACUUAUUAGUUAUUUAUGAAAUGAUGUAUUACGGAACGAGUAAAGAGACUUGCCGGUAACGAGACUGAACUAGGUAUUGGAUACCGAUGAUCGAAUCUCGGGCAAGUAACAUAGCGAUGACAAAGGGAACAACGUAUGUUGUUAUGCGGUUUGACCGAUAAAGAUCUUCGUAGAAUAUGUAGGAACCAAUAUGAACAUCCAGGUUCCACUAUUGGUUAUUGACCGAGAAUAGUUCUAGGUCACGUCUAUAUAGUUCUCGAACACGUAGGGUCCGCACGCUUAACGUUAUGAUGAUAGUUUUAUUAUGAGUUUAUAAGUUUUGAUGUACCGAAGUUUGUUCGGAGUCCCGGAUGUGAUCACGGACAUGACGAGGAGUCUCAAAAUGGUCAAGACAUAAAGAUUGAUAUAUUGGACGACUAUAUUCGAACACCGGAAGUGUUCCGGGUGAUUUCGGAGAAAACCAGAGUGUCGGAGGGUUACCGGAACCCUCCCGGGAGAGUUAAUGGGCCACAUGGGCCUUGGUGGGAAGAGAGAGGGCGGACAGGGUGGGCCAUGCGCCCCCUCUCCCUCUAGUCCGAAUUGGACUAGGAGGGGGGGCGGCGCCCCCCUUUCCUUUCCCCCUCUCCCCCUUCCUUCCCCCUCCUAGUAGGAGUAGAAAAGGAGGAAUCCUACUCCUACUAGGAGGAGGAUUCCUCCUCCUUGGAGCGCCCCAAGGGGCCGGCCGGCCUCCCCCCCUUGCUCCUUAGGACACACAAGUUGAUCUACGGAUCGUUCCUUAGCCAUGUGCGGUGCCCCCCUCCACCAUAUUCCACCUCGGACAUAUCGUCGCGGAGUUUAGGCGAAGCCCUGCGCCGGUAGAACAUCAUCAUCGUCACCACAUCGUCGUGCUGACGAAACUCAUCCCCGGCGCUUUGCUGGAUUGGAGCCUGGGGAACGUCAUCGAGCUGAACGUGUGCUGAACACGGAGGUGCCGUACGUUCGGUGCUUGGAUCGGUCGAGUCGUGAAGACGUACGACUACAUCAACCGCGUUGUGAUAACGCUUCCGCUUACGGUCUACGAGGGUACGUGGACAAUACUCUCCCCUCUCGUUGCUAUGCCAUCACCAUGAUCUUGUGUGUGCGUAGGAAAAUUUUGAAAUUACUACGUUCCCCAACACCUAGUAUCCACUAUGUUCUGAGUUUGAUGUUGCUAUGACUUUGCUAUGCUCAAUGCUUGUCACUAGGACCCAAGUGCCAUGAUUUUAUAUAUGAACCUAUUAUGUUUUCAUGAAUAUAUGUGAGUUCUUGAUCCUAUCAUGCAAGUCUAUAGUCACCUAUUAUGUGUUAUGAUUCCACAACCCCGAAGUGACAAUAAUUGGGAUACUUCUCGGUGAUGACCGUAGUUUGAGGAGUUCAUGUAUUCACUAUGUGUUAAUGCUUUGGUCCGGUACUCUAUUAAAAGGAGGCCUUAAUAUCCCUUAGUUUCCAUUAGGACCCCGCUGCCGCGGGAGGGUAGGACAAAAGAUGGCAUGCAAGUUCUUUUCCAUAAGCACAUAUGACUAUAUUCAGAAUACAUGCCUACAUUACAAUGAUGAACUGGAGCUAGUUCUGUGUCACCCUAUGUUAUAACUAUUACAUGAGGAAUCGCAUCCGACAUAAUUAUCCAUCACUGAUCCAAUGCCUAUGAGCUUUUCACAUAUUGUGCUUUGCUUAUUUACAUUACCGUUGCCACUGUUACAAUUACUACAAAACUGCUACCGUUACUUUUGCUACCGUUACCGUUACUUCCAUACUACUUUGCUACUAAAUACUUUGCUGCAGAUACUAAGUUAUCCAGGUGUGGUUGAAUUGACAACUCAACUGCUUAAUACUUAAGAAUAUUCUUUGGCUCCCCUUGUGUCGAAUCAAUAAAUUUGGGUUGAAUACUCUACCCUCGAAAACUGUUGCGAUCCCCUAUACUUGUGGGUUAUUAAGACUAUUUUCUGGCACCGUUGCCUAGGAGCAUAGAUCUAUUCUUUGAAUCACUUGAGAUUUCUAUCUGCUGGUCACUAUGAGGAACUUCAAAGACGAAAGAACUAAGAUUUAUCCCUCAACUACGAGGGGAGAUAAGGAACUACCAUCUAGAUCUGCACUAGAUUCUCCUUCUGUUAUGAGUAAGCUUGCGACACCUAAACCUGCUUCUGCUAUUAAUUCUGAUAUUUCGCAUGUUAUUGAUGAUGCCACUUCUACUAUGCAUGAUACUUAUGAUGAAACUACUUUUGUGCUUGAUACUACUGUGCCAUUAGGUGAAUAUCUUGAUGCACAACUUGCUAGGGUUAGAGAGAAAGAAAUUCUUGAAACUGAUAUUAUUGAAGAUAGUGAUGAUGAAGGUUCUCCCCCUAAAUAUGAAUUGCCUGUUGUUCCUGAGGGUUAUGUUAUGGAUGAAGAAACUGUUAGAGAUUUUCUUGCUUGCAAUGAUAGAUCUGAUCUUAAGAAGUUAUUAGCUAAACUGAAACAGAAAACUCUGAAUGCUAGAAUGAAAUAUGACCGUGCUUUUUCUACUUCACCUAUCUUUAUUACUGAUAAGGAUUAAGAUUUCUCUGUUGAUCCUGAGAUAAUUACUUUGGUUGAAUCUGAUCCUUUCUAUGGCUAUGAAUUUGAAACUGUUGGGGCACAUCUUACUAAGUUAAAAGAUAUAGCCACCCUGUUCACUAAUGAUGAGAAAUCUCGCUACUACUAUAUUCUUAAGAUAUUUGCGUUCUCAUUAAAGGGUGAUGCUAAAACUUGGUUUAAUUAUUUUGAUCCUGGUUGUGUGGGUAGUCCCCGGGAUAUGAUUUAUUACUUCUCUGCUAAAUAUUUCCUUGCUCAUAAGAAACAAGCUGCCUUGAGGGAAAUAUAUAAUUUUGUGCAAAUUGAAGAAGAGAGUCUCCCACAAGCUUGGGGGAGGCUUCUCCGGUUGCUUAAUGCUUUGCCUGAUCAUCCUCUUAAGAAAAACGAAAUACUUGAUAUCUUUUACUAACUGAUGCUUCCAAGGACAACUUGGAUAGUUGUGCUGGUUGUGUUUUCAGGGAAAGAACAGUCGAUCAAGCUAAAUUGCUAUUGAAUAAUAUGUUGACUAAUGAAAAUAAUUGGACUCUUCCUGAGCCAAUUCUUGAGCCAACUCCUAAACCUACUCCGAAGAAGAGGGGUGUUCUAUUUCUUAGUCCCGAAGAUAUGCAAGAGGGAAAGAAAUCUAUGAAAGAAAAAGGUAUUAAAGCUAAAGGUGUUAAGAAUUUACCUCCUGUUGAAGAAAUACAUGGUCUUAAUUUACCACCUAUUGAAGAAACACAUGGUCUUGAUAACCCGACACAGGUAGUAAAGGUAAAUUCUCUCUAUAGAUAUGAUAAGGUUGAAAUCCCGUCUACUAAGUUUGCUAGCCAAUGCUUGGAUGAAUUUGAUGACUUUAUGGCUAGACAAGAAAAUUUCAAUGCUUAUGUUGGUAGAGAAUUAAAGAGUAAUUCUUAUAUGAUUGGACGCUUGAGUGAUUAUAUGGCUAGAGUUAAAGGUGAACUUAAACUCAUUAGUAAAUAUGCUUCUAUGGUUACCACUCAAGCAGAAUAAGUACUUAAAGCUCAAAGUCAUUUGCUCGAUGAAUUAAAUAAUAAACAUGAUUUUGUAUUUAUAGUGGCUACUAGAACGGGUAGAAUGACUCAGGAACCUUUGUAUCCUGAAGGCCACCCUAAGAGAAUUGAGCAAGAUUCUCAGAGAAAUAAUGUAGAUGCACCUAGUCCUUCUAAAAAGAAGAAAAAGAAAAAUGAUAGGACUUUGCAUGCUUCUAGUGAACCCGUUGUAGACACACCUGAGAAUCCCAAUGAUACUUCUAUUUCUGAUGUUGAAACACAAUCUGGUGAUGAACAUGAACCUAGUGAUAAUGUUAAUGAUAAUGUUCAUGUUGAUGCUCAACCUAGAAAUAAUAAUGAUGUAGAGAUUGAACCUGCUGUUGAUCUUGAUAACCCACAAUCAAAGAAUCAACGUUAUGAUAAGAGUGAUUUUGUUGCUAGGAAGCACGGUAAAGAAAGAGAACCAUGGGUUCAGAAACCCAUGCCUUUUCCUCCUAAGCCAUCUAAGAAAAAGGAUGAUGAGGAUUUUGAGCACUUUGCUGAAAUGAUUAGACCUAACUUCUUACGUAUGCGCUUAACUGAUAUGCUUAAAGUGAAUCCUUAUGCUAAAUACAUGAAGGAUAUUAUUACAAAUAAAAGAAAGAUACCGGAAGCUGAAAUUUCCACCAUGCUUUCUAAUUAUACUUUUAAAGAUGGAAUACCUAAGGAACUAGGAGAUCCAGGAGUACCAACUAUACCAUGCUCCAUUAAAAGAAACUAUGUUAAAACUGCUUUAUGUGAUCUUGGAGCCGGUGUUAGUGUUAUGCCUCCCUCUUUAUAUCGUAGACUUGAAUUGAAUAAGUUGAGACCUACUGAAAUAUCUUCGCAAAUGGCCGAUAAAUCAACUGCUAUACCUGUCGGUAUUUGUGAGGAUGUGCCUGUUGUGGUUGCAAACAUCACUAUCUUAACGAACUUUGUGAUUCCUGAUAUUCCUGAGGACAAUAGCAUGUAUAUUAUCCUUGGUAGACCCUUUUUGAAUACUGUAGGGGUUGUUAUUGAUUGCAACAAAGGCAAUGUCACUUUUCAUAUUAAUGGUAAUGAGCAUACGGUACACUUUCCGAGGAAACAACCUCAAGUUCAUAGCAUCAAUUCUAUUAGAAAAAUUCCAACUAUUAUUAUUGGAGGUUUUGAAUUUCCUCUUCCUACUGUCAAGAAGAAAUAUGAUAUUCUUAUUUUUGGGGAUGUGCAUAUCCCCAUUAAGGUAACCUGGUGUCAUUCGAAAUUUCUCCGGUUCCAUGUUAUUCGGAAUGAGUUUGUUAACAAGACUUGAUCAACCUUGUUAGUGGAUUCCUUUUGAUGAGCAUGAGAUGGAUGAAGUUAGAAAGCACAACCUCCUGUACCCUCCUUUUACUUUCUGUUAUUUAGAUUAAAUAAAGUAAAAAUAGUAUUUUCUGUCUGUUUUCUGGAUUAUCCAUGCAAUAAACAAUACCCCGAAAAUAAAAUUUCUCCAAAUGCCCUACAAAUUUAGUAUGAUUUUUCUGGAAAAUUUGAGAAUAUUUGGCACUGAGAACACAACAGGGGGAGCUGGCACCUGGCCACGAGGGUCCAGGGCGCGCCCACCCCUAUAGGGCACACCCCCUGCCUCGUGGGCCCAUGGUGGCCCCCUCCACUUAUUCCCGCACCCACACACUUCUUCUUCCUCCCAAAAAAAUCACCAUCUAGCUCAAGCACGAGUUCUAGCUCAUUUUGCUGCAGUUUUUGAUCUCCUUGCUCAAAGUUCCAUUCACAAAACUGCUUUGGGAGAUUGUUCCUUGGUAUGUGACUCCUCCAAUGGUCCAAUUAGUUUUUGUUCUAGUGCUUUAUUCAUUGUGGCACCCCGGCUCAGAGAAACCGGAACGCCCCGUAUUCCAGCCCAAAGAUCAAGGAGAAGUCUUCUAGAAUACGGCACUGCUUAGCAUAGAACAAACCAGCUUUCUACUAUUACACAAAUAUGAAUACAAGGUCUCCGAUAUUACAAUGAAUAACAUCGAUACGGCGACACUAUGCCAUCCUCGGUUACUCUAUGCAAGCAGCAGAACAACUCGAAGUAGCGGAAGAACUCUAGCAGCGGACCAAUGACGAUGGUGGUGAACUCCACUCCGCAGGGACUCUGGCUAGAACGCUUAUCCUAACUCCGUCGUGGCCCGUCCCACUCUAGGACAAGGAUCCGAAAACUAACUCAACAAUGGGCACACAAGGCUUAUGUCCGCCUACCUAAUCGGGGUAGCGCGCGCCCAUAACCUUCCCUCGUUGGAGGCACCGGCGAGAGGCACAACAAUAGACCCAGUUAGGACCGACCCAUACCGGUAAGCGUGGUUGCACUGGUCAGCAUCGAUUCAGCGGCACCAUGACUCAGCCAACAGUUGUUCAAGUUCAAUUUAAUCCGGUUAACUUGAAUGCAAAUAUGCUGAGUCAUGAUAAAAUGCAUGAACAUGAUAUCAACAUCAUCAUGAGUGUAUCACAUAACUUUCCACCAUAUCAACAAUAAAUCAUAUCCACUGAGCAUGGCAUACUGACUAGCACGACCAUCACCAACAUCAACAUGUACUACUAGCAAUCAUAAAUAUAUGAAAGUUAAUACUAGCAGGUAGAACAUGAUAACAGAGUACAAGACAUCAUAGCACAAAGGUUAACAUGCAACUCUAAACAUCACCGGAACAACGAUAACCAUCUUGUCAACAAGCAAAUAUUUAAUAAAGAUUCAAGUUGAAAACCAUGGCUACUGCACGACUAUCAUGCAAGUGGGUAUUGUGGCUUGCCUGGGGAUGAAGAAGGCACCGGGGAGAAGUGCGGUGAAGCCGCGAAACGAAUUGCUGGAAAAUGUUGUCUCUCGGAGGGGGCUGACUAAGGGCAAGGGCAAAAUGUUCAUUUUCAGUAUGCCAAAACAUAAUGAAAGUUAGACCAACAGAAAGGGCUCGACGAAACAAAGAAGUGAGCAUUGGAUUCACCUCGUUUGGAGUUACGGAUAAAAAGAUAUAAGGGUUUUACUGUGAGGGACCUAUCUGUAAACAUUUAUUUUACAGAUUGGGCCAAAACAAAAAAACGGAAAGCGCAUGCCAAGAUUUACGUUUCCACUUAUCCAGCGUGACAGUGGCGGGGCCGGCUCCUGUGUGGCCGACAGGCGGGUCCCACCUUAUCCACUCCCUCUCUCUCCCCCCUUCUCUUCUUCCUCUCUCCUUCUCCCGACGCCGCACGCAGAGCAGAGGAGAGGCCGCCGGCGCCGACGCUCGCUCCGGCCACUCGGGCCACCUCCGACGGAGCUUGGACCGCCGGAGUGCUCAGGACGGCGAGGCGCACCCGUCCCACCACCACACGAACAUCGGGGAGACUCGGGCAGGGCGGGACCAUGGCCACGGCGAACGGGGCUUCGGCCGAUGAUAGAGGACAAGGCCAUGGCAAUUCCGGCGACUAACGGAGGGCUGCAGAGAGGCUAUGAUGGCUGGCUGACCUACUAGAGGUGGAAGAUACAGGAGAGGGGCUUCGGUUCGGCGGAAUCGGACUGGACAGGGGCGGCGGCCAUGGCGGCAAGGGCGGGCUCAGGAGCUCUUGGAGUUCGAACGAGUGGACGGGGAGGUUGCUGGGAGUGAGGCGAGUCUCGGGGUGAGCUCAGACAAGGCCGGGGAUGGCUUAAAUAGCCGCGGGGCAAGGUGGCCGACCUGGCACCACCGCGGACGCGUGGCCGGCGCCACGGACGCGUGCCCGCGCGCAUGAACUCAGGGGAAAACGACGGAGGAGGAGGAGUGGGGGCUCUCAUGGGGCAGAGGAUGCCAAUGGGGCGCAGGGAGGAAGACUACGGUCACGGGAAGAUCCAAAACCCCACUGUGCUCUCGUGUUCACGCGGCGGCGAGCGUCGAUGAGCAAGCAGACGGAGGGGGAGAGGGGUCCAGGGGAACGACGAUGAGGAGAGGAAGACAAUGGACAGGCUCACGAGCGCGAAAACGGCAAGAGGGGGAGGGGCGCGAGCAAGAAGACGCUCUGGGCGUGGCCAUUGCACGCCAAAACGGUGGUCACCAUGUGAACCGGUGCACACAGUGCCACAAGUGAUGCCAAACCAUGUCUGGGGGUUAGUCCCUCAUGGGUAAGUUGUAACUACGGGGGUAACUAAGUGAAAACGUCUCUGGUUAAAUACUUAGUGAGCUCUGAAGUUUACUGCAGUAAACUUUACCAGCUCAAUAUGAUCAACAGGGAGUUACCUGAAGCCACGGAAUUUGUCUGGGGUGUAUAGCUAUGGAGGGACUAUGAUCCUGGAGGUUUUGAGGGGAAAUGGAACAAGAUAAAUCGUAUUUGCUUUGCAACUGCCAAAAUGGUCCAGAAAUGAAGAUUAGGAUGGUGCACUCACAUGGAGUGUCCACUUGAGCUCAAAUUGGGCAAGGCUUAGUCAUUUGGUCAUAUGAAGAUGCUCACAAAGUAUCAUACCAUUUGGCAAAGCCAAAAUGGUACUUGCUUCACAAACAUCUCUACUGACCAGAAACUUGAAAUAAUUAUGGUGAUCAAAUGGAUCAAUGAAAUGAUGCCAAAUUGGGUGGAGAGAUGUUUUAUGGGUAUAAGAAGGAUCUGGUAAUUUAUCAGGAUUUUUGAAGCAAUAUAAAAUACACUUCCUUCACAACCUGGAAAUAUUGCUAGAAACAAAGAUUUGCUCCUAUGCUCACAUAGAUAAUUGGAUGGGGCUGCAUAUGGGUGGAAGGGGUUAGUAUGAGCACUUUAAGGAGUGUGCAAAAUUUUAACUCAUUUUGAGACUCCUUGCUAGUACUUCCUGCAUAAAGCCUUCCGUUUGACAGAAACUUUGAAAAAUCACUGAGGAAGAUUGGCUAGGCAAAUAAAUUUAAACUUGUGCAUGGGGCAAUUAUUUGGACAUGUAAACAUGCCCAAAAAGGUUGGGAUUCAAUAGGAGAAAUAUAAAUGACACUUCCUUCACAAAGUGCCAUGCAGGGCAAAAUAGAAAAAGGAAUUUUUGGGGAAUUAUUUAAUGGAAAUAAAAAGUUUUGCCAUAUUUGAGCAAGAUAUGACCCAAACAAUUUAUGAGAAUUAUUUGGGAAUUUUUGGAGUAAUGGAAACAGAGGUUGCUUCACAACCUAGGGCAAUUUGAGUUAUUCUUUAAUUGAAAAGGAAUAUUCCCAAUAAAAAGAAUAUUAAGAUUUGGGCUAGGAUGGAAAUGACAGGGUCUAGCGAAAGAUUUGGGGAUGACAAGCCACUCUGCAAGCAAAGAAGAGGUCAUCUCGUUCAGUUUCCAGACCACAAAGCCACGGAAAAAGAAAACUCAGGCAAAAACCUCAGAAAAACAAAAGAAAAAGAAAGGGCCAAAAAUCAGGCUGUCACAAACCUUACCCCCUUAAAGAAAUCUCGUCCUCGAGAUUUGGUUGCUCAGGGAACAAGUAUGAAUAUUCUGACUUGAGGAAACCGUUUCCAACUCGGGUAUCCUUUUUUCCUUUAUUGGUGUUCCCAUUAAAUUUUUAUCUGACUGGCCCUGGGGUGGUUUGAUUUGCUUUAUCCACAUUCUGACAGAUCUUACCUUGCUUGCUCAUGCUUAUAUAGGCUCCAAUUUCUUUUUAGAUCUGCUGACUAGCUGAGUGUGAUUUAAUUAUCACGACUGAAAUAUAUGUCCGUCUCACAAAUCCAAAAGUGAUUUCCGCUGGGUGUGCCACCUGGCACUGACAACCUUUCAUGUAAUGAUGAUUUCUGAUGAAAACUCAAGCUCUGACUCAUUGCAUUGGGUUUCUCCACUAAAUGCAGGUCCUUUGGGUUCCAAACAGUGAGUUAAAACAUAACCAUUUCCUGACAGAUUCUGACGCAUCGCAGGAGUUUCUGAAUCAUCUUACCGGUUCCACUGUCGUGAGUAUCGGAUCCGUACCAAAUAUUUGAUUGUCUCCUGUCGCGGCCAGCAUAAAGGGUUUGGCCUGUAUUAUAAUAUCUGCAGAGUUGACUGAUGGUGGUUCUGACGGAAAACUUUUGUUCAUGACAGGCUGUCCAUGAUGAUUCAUAUUAGUGAGGACUCAGGCUUCCAGACUGUUAUCCUCAUGCUGAUUAUUCAUGCUGUAGGCAUAUCCAUGUGGAUCAAUUACUGACUUAGACUGUCCGGGGAAUCUGCACCAUGGGGGUCAUGUACGAUUUUCAUACCUGCCUCACUGGUCUUGCUCCUUCAUUAUUGUUUUCUUGGUCUGGAUCUUUGGCUAAAAGAGCUGGGCCAUAUUGUUUCUUUGUAUGACCAUAGAUACUGUUGGUGCAAUUUUCUCAGCAAUCGUAGCUUAUUCUCAUUUUUCUAACAGGGUAACCCAUUAAAUGGCAGGUUCAACACCUCUCAAGUUCUGAUUGUUGGGAAAUGAUCAUCCAAAAUCCUUGCAAGAACUCUGCAAAUAAAUCAGUAGCCACCAGAAUGGUCUUUAUAACUCAGAUCUGGGACAUUACUGAAAUAACUCAACCACGGCUCAAGACGGCCGAAAAACAGCUCAGGGCAUGAGACCGGGUCGAUAAGAAGAAGGUGGCAGCUCCCUAAAAUAGCCAAAAGCAGCUAUAGGGCUACUGUCACAAAAAGAAACUCAACAGCUGUACGAGACAGCCGAAAAGUAGCUCAGACUCGUGAUAGUUGUUGAAGAGAGAAACAAAAAUCGGCAUCCACCCCGGAUAGCUAGAAACAUCUUAGGUCACAGGCGUGGUGCCGUCAUUGGAGAAAAGGGGACAAGGGCCCAUCAGGAUCAUUUUCCAGGUUCACGGGUACUUGUAUUGAGCUCAUUGAUGUCGUCAAUCCUCAUAAUCCUUUGUCACACUGUGGUGUAUACUGGCUUUCUUCUAUUAACCAUUCUCACGUGGUUGUUGGAUCCUCAUCCGAGUGACUUGUAAAAUCUUGAUGGUAUUCUCAUUGCAUAUAUAUGAGAAUCUGAUUCCCGAGAUAGAUGUGUAUUCUGACUGAUUCUUGAGAUUCACUGCCAUAUGUUGGCAAUUCACAGUGUACUACCUUGUACCAAUGUCUUACUGAGGGAUAUUAGCUGGCUUGUGCUCGAAGCUUUCAUCGGAUAGCUUGCUGAAGAAGACUGGGUAUCGUGCUUCAGAAACUUACCCCCUUGAAGACUUUGCUGGGGAAAGACUCUGUACCUUAUGCUGGAAGCUUUUGAAGUUGCUUACUGAAGAAGACAGGGUACCUUGCACGGGAAGUCGUCCAUGUAUCGUACUGAGGAAGAUAGAUGAAUCUUGCCUUGGAAGCUUCUCUGGUAUUUUGCGAUUGAAGAUUGGGCUGCUUACACUAGAAGCUUCUUAUUGUGAUAUGCAGACCAAUUUCCACAUAUAUAACAAUCUGAAUAUUUUUUCUAUUGAUUUCUUGCAUGAAAUGGGGUUUUGCAGGACUAUCCUCCUUUCUGAGUAUAUGCCAUAUUUUUGCCUGCUUCCACAUACAUCGAGUUCCAAAAUCAUCCUCAACGAAAAAUUAAACUUGUAUCUGAGCCAUACCCUUGAUAAUAUUCUGUCAAGCUUGCACACAAUUUAUCUUCUUGCUAAUUUAAUCAUUUUGUUGUGAUGAGUGCACGUAAUGCAAACUUGAUACUGAUGGUCCAUCCAGGAUUUCUUUUGCAUCCAGACAAGAUAUUCCCAAUUUCACUGCGGUCAGCUGAUAAUUCCAUUCUGUUUAGCUGAAUUUCCAAAUAUAUGCAUUUCUUGCUGACUCUUCUUGUCUGGUGUCGGCUGACGAGCAACUUUAAUAGGGGGAAAUUUGUAACACCGAAGGCCCAAAGAAAGGAACAACAGAAACGACUAAAACAAAAGCACACAAGCAUACUACUAAUAUAAUUAAUCAAGAAAUCAUCACAUAUUACUGCUACUCACACAAUAAUAUGCAUGCACACCUAAUCACACAAAUCUCACGGAAACUCCGGUAUUAAGGUCUAGCAUGUUGUGAUGAUGUGCAUGAGGACGAAUAAAUGUGUGGAAGAAUUGGUGUAAACACACUACACCACGCACUAGACUUCCCUAUCGGUGUGUGUUGGGAAAACUCAUUUAUACUGACACACAGUCGGUCGGAAAAACUUGUAUCAGUCAGUAGGUCGGGAAUACACACUUGUAGCGUCUAGCAGUCUGUCGGGAAUGCUGGUAUAUUUCACGUCUGAUGGUCGGUCGGGAAUAGAAAGACUUCCAUCGAACUAGCAGUCGGCAAUUUUUCCCGACCAACUGUUGGUGGCUAAUUGGGCCGAUCAGUCGCGCACGCGGGAACGUGAAACAGUUGGCGCCGAAAUGAGCGCUCCCCAUGAAAAACCCUAUCUCCCCUUUUCCCCUUCACCCCCCAAAUCCCUCAGAUCUGGCACACAGUUUCUGCAUCCGCCGCCGCCCCCGCUCGAGUUCUCCCUCCGCCGCACAUGCUGCUCCCCACGCCGGCCAUGUGCUCUCCAGCCGGCAGGGCCGUCGCAUCCUCUCUCCCUCCCGUCCGCCGCUGACCCCACUCCACACUGCCGCUGGUGGUACCCCGUACACCAUACUGCCGCCGCCUCCACCGGUAGGUGCUUUCUCUGUCCUCCCCCCCUCCUCCGUCUACAGGUGCUCUCUCCUCCUGUCCGUGCGCCCUUCCCUUCACCGUCGCUCACUGUGCUGCCCUACACGCACAGGUGGUCUUGCUGUCGCCGUCCAAACCCUGCCGGGAGCUUCCCUUUUCGUCCGCGCCCAAGCUCACCAUCUCCUGGAGGUGCUGCCGGCCAAGAAGGUAUGCUCCAAGAUGCCUCUUCCAGAUCCAACUACGACAGUGGGUUGGUUUUAGUCCUUCUAAUGCAAGGUCUUUAUCCACCUCGUGUGUUAUCUAUUUCCCAGCAAUACAACGAUUUCUCUUCGGAAGAAUUGUUUUUCCCCUCCACAUGUUCCUGCUUAUGUUAUGUGUGGAUUUUGAAAUCUAAUUUACACGUACUAUGUGCUUUGAGAAGAAAACAAUGUAGUUUUUUUGCAUGAGCACACCUUCUGCAUAGUGGUCAAUUUGGUUGACCUUCGUUAUCAAAAGAAAUUUGCUUAGUGUAUUGUCAUCAUAAGUAACUAGCAUACUGCUUAAAUUUGGAACAUAGAACUUAGCUAUAAAUCUUAACUAUGAUGAUACUUUGUGGAGAAUGGCACAUUUAGAUUGAUUUUAAUGAUAUAUUUAUUGCUCUGAACCUUGGGUUAUCACCAUAGUUUAGACUCUUGAGUGUUGUUCUGGCUUUGAAAAGUGGGAUCCGAGAGAAUAUAUGAAAAUGCUAAUGAUGUCCUGUGACAAGUUGAGAUCAUGCACAAGAACAAUAAUUAUCUGUGUAGCAGUAAUACAUUAUAAGGCAAACCAAAACUUGAGAUUCUGGUUCAGUUUCAGCUCUUGCCUCCGCCCAUAAAUUAAGAUACCAAUUUAGCGUGGCACCUUUAGUUCCUAGUUGUCAUGAUAACAAUACUGUACCUGACUUGCAUAAUCUCUUGCUAUUCCUUGAUGAGCAGCAACUUAUUUUGAACUUGUAUAUUUUAGAAUUUGCCUUUUCCUGUUAUUUUGUGUGUGGACAAUGUAUGACACCACAUGUAUAACAUUGUUGGUGAACAUUUAAAGCAGUGCCUGGCAAAAGAAGGGGGCCAAACCUACUAACCUGCGGGAUCCGAACGACAUGUGGAUUUCCAAAAGGUUUUUUCUUAUACUGUUAGACACUAUUUGAUAAUGAUAUAAUGAAUUCUUGCUAGACUUAAUUGUUUCCUAUGAAGUUCAAUUCCUGGAACACCUAUUUUGUUUCCUAUGAUCCACAUGCGAGGCAUAGAAAGGGUUUGAUUUUGAUUUUAGUUUCAGUUUCAGAGUUCUAUUCACAUUUUGAAUUUUCUAGUUUUUUUUGUGUGUGGACAGUGUGUGAGGCAUUUAAAUUCACUAUUAAUCAUGUGUGCAGGUGCAACUAGCAUGGACAAAUAUUGGAUGGAUACACCUAGGUACAACACCCCAUAUGUUAAACAUCUUAGAUUAGAUGUUAGUACUUGCUGAAAUCUGAUGCAACGCGCUGCAUAUGUACACUUGCAUGUAGGCAUACGGAGAAGUACUACAAGGGCUUGCCAGAUUCUUACAAUGCAUUUAGUAAAUGUUCAGUUGAGAAUCAGGGAUUCAAUAUUCUAUAUUAUUCUUCUAAGGGUUUUUAGCAUACAAAAGUAUGCAUGGUUGUGCAGACUUUUAGCUUUAUUUUUAACAAGCUAUAGUUAAGUAAAGCAUCUGCUGUUAACGACCUGAUAUUUUUUAGUUGUACAAGUUGUUGCCAUCAAGUUGAAUGACAAAGUGAAACAUAACCUUUAACUUUGUCGUUUGUUUUGAUGUCCUAGUGCAGUGAUACAGCAAACAAUGUAGAAUGCCCUCACUUACUACUGACUAGCAUAUGGAACUAUGUGCUAGUCCAAUAAACACAUCUCCAGUUUCCUAUUAUUUCUUUGUUACAUAGGAAAUACAUGCAGCACUUCGUAAAUGGUUCCUUGUCCCUGUUUUUUUAUUGUGCACAGAGCUUGUAACUUUUCGGUGGGCCACUAUUAGAGGCCUGACCUAUAGAAAUUCACCGUGGUAAAUACCGCCAACCUCGCAGCCUGCUCCUCAUGUAGAUGUAAUUGUGUUGUCUUCAUACUUCACAGGUUUUAUGCUAGCCGUGGAAUAUUUUUCGCCACGUACGUUAUUCACCUAGGUAACUCCGCUGCUCUGUUACCACGAGCAGCUCCAUGCCUCAGUGAGGCCGGUCCCUAUUUUUUAGGACUAGGUGUGCUACUAUUCCUAUUUCCUACUGAUUUGUCCACUUUCUCUCUGUCCUACUACUCUCUUUUCAUUAAUCCCCCGAAUCUCUAAUCUUUGUUUGUGCAGAUUCUCUCUUACCUAUGAAUACAAGGUCGAUGAAAAUCCAAGCAAGUUGCAAGGAAGAUUGAUCUAUGUAAUAAUGCAAUAUGCAAGUUCUGUUGUCUCUGCUUAAUAACUUCUUUUUGUGAAAUUUAGUUGCAUUGAAUGAUUAAUUCCUCUCAUGCCAAUGUGGCAAUGUCUCUCGUCUGAAUUCUCAAUUGUCUUUGCCAGUUACAUAGUGGCUUACAUGCCACCUGGAUACUGGAGUAGCAUAGUAUCUGGGAAUAUGAUUUUAUUCUUUAGUCAUUUGUAUGCCACAUCUGGUAUCGUUGGUCCUUUCUGAAGGCCAAUAUGAAAGGGCAACUUAUAUAUGUCAAAUCGCAUGGGUAUUUUAGUUGGUACUUUCAGGUUUUGAUAUUACUCUAUCACUAGAAUUUCCUUUCGAACAUUGCAAUUAGCUUUUAUCAAAGCAUGGUAAGUAUUGAGAAAUUUGUUCAUCAUACCUCCCAGGUAAACUGGAAGUAUUGUAGUAGUAGUCAAGCAGGAACCAAUUCCAAUUGUAUCCUGGGGAUUUUCUACCUUAUUCUAGCUCCAGUGAAUAAUGUUUGCUGUGGCAGAUAAAGAAUAAUGUUUGCACUUACCUCACCCUGUCCUAAAUUGGUUUGCUUACAAAUGUUGCACAUGUCUUAUGUUUCCAUAGUUAGUUUAUUAUUGGAAAUUGGUGAUGAUCAGGUAAGGAAAGAAAUCUUCAAGUCUCAGGUUUUUCUAUAACCAUUCCCCCAUGGUGGUAAGCUCUCCCAGCAAAUCAUGAUGUGACUCGGAUCAGGUGUGCAUUUUUUCCUUUUUGUACUGUAAAAAAACUUUCCACUAAGCACACUAAAGUGUAGCACUCAAUAAACAAACUUCAUGAUAUUCUAUUCGAAUAAAGUAAUCUAUGAUGUUCUUGAAGUUUUGUCACGAGUGCCUUAUAUAAGUGCACCAUGGCCAUAAGUACGAGUAGCAUGCAUAUGUGCAUUGAGUAAUCCAACGUGAGGAAUAAGAGAGAUAAAAGCGGGUCCACAAUGAAAAGCGGUGUGGCAAGGCUUGCAUCUACUUCUAGUGGUUACCUAUACUUGAAUGGAGUGCCUUCUUGAGUAGGUGUUUUGGUACUAGCUUGCCUUGUGAAGUAAUAGCUGUUGUCAAUGCUAUGCUUUAUCCCAGUUUUUAUGGUACAUUGUAUUUAUGAAUGUAAGAAUGUAAUGGCAACUUCUUUACAUUUUGCAGGGAAGAAAUGCAAGCGGAGGAGGAACCAUGAAGCCGGCGGUUCAGGAUAUUUUGUGUAGUGGUGAUUGAAUCAUUGGUGAUGAAUUUUAUCUAUCAUUUUGUAAACCCACAUUAUGUUUGAGGCAAUGAACCUUAAUGUUUCCUCUAGUUAAUUAGCUAUAUUAGCUUAUGGGAAAUUUUGGAAGUCAUUAUGUUGAUAACAGAUGAAGUAUUUACAUGUGAAAUUAAUUAAUAUGUGUUUCUAUUGUCUGGUUAUGGUUUAUUAUUGCUGGAGGACAUGCACAUUAUUGUUAUGAAAUGUCUUGAUUGAUAUUUUCUUGGUAGUGCAAAUGUAAGCUAUGGUAGGGCUACUGGAUGUUGGUUGGAAAAAAACCAUGUCUGAAAGUCGUUUGGGGAAGCUAAUGCCAGGGCCAACGAAAAGUUGGACAGGAAAACAAACCCCAUCAGAUAGUCGGUCGGGAAAAGCACAUGGCAUGCCCUAUAGACUGUUGGUCGGGAAUACAACCCCAUCAGAUAGUCGGUCGGAAAGGCCCAUGGUAGGCCCAACAGACCGUCGGUCGGGAAAGGCCCAUGGUAGGCCCAACAGACUGUCGGUCGGGAAAGUUACGCCAUAGGUGACAAACAGUCGGUCGGGAAAGAUAUGUCGGUCGGGAAAGGCUUUUCCCGUCUAGACUUUCCCCAACAGACACAGUCGGUCGGCAAUAGUCUUUCCCGACCGACUAUCUAUUGGUGGAAGCUGUUUUCCCGUCCGACCUAGCUGUCAGGGAUGUAGUGUUGUGGUGUAGUGACAGCGCUACACCAAGUGCUACCUUAGCCAGAUAGCAACCUGGACUAGCUUGGAGGUGAGGACGUACUCGGUAAUCAUGUAGUAGGACAUGAAGGUCGCAGCCACAUUAUUAUCAAGCAGACGGAAAAAGAUCCGUACUCGUCCAAGAAAUAGGAUAGCGGGAAAAACUGAGACUGCUGACAUUGCCCUUUCUUGAUAACUAAGAUCAUUAAGGGUUGCCAACACGACGAAAUAAAAGAACGAUCCGGGAUAGACGCAUGUCCAUCACCGAAACGACAAACGAGACUGAAAGAAAGACAUCGGUGUGAUACCUGAGCACCAUUUUUGCAAACAGUGUCGGGAUCACUUGGCAUCACUCUGCUGGGACAGAAUUGACACCAAACACCGAAAGAAAAGGAACUGGAGAAAUGCAAAGGUUGAGCUGUAGUGGAUCCGAACCGAUGUCAGCUACACUCACUAGAUAAAUCGUUAGUAACAAAUAAUAAUCUAUAUGCAUGCUAUGCGACAAACAAAUGCAGCAAUCAAGUGCAACAAACCAAUUGGGGUCUAUACUACCGCUUUCUAACGUUCGCGCGGUCUAGGGCGUUCUGCAGCCAGACCAGCUCUGAUACCAAGCACUAUGGCACCCCGGCUUAGAGAUACCGGAACGCCCCGUAUUCUAGCCCAAAGAUCGAGGAGAAGUCUUCUGGAAUACGACACUACUUAGCAUAGAACAAACCAGCUUUCUAUUAUUACACGGAUAUGAAUACGAGGUCUCCGAUAUUACAAUGAAUAACGUCGAUACGGCGACACUACGCCAUCCUCAGUUGCUCUAUGCAAGUAGCAGAACAACUCGAAGCAACGGAAGAACUCUAGCAGCUAGCGGAACAACGACGACGGUGGUGAACUCCACGCCAUAGCGACUCUGGCUGGAAUGAUUAUCCUAGCUCGCACGCACGGAAACCACGACAGAAAGCAAUCAAAUUCGGCAUGACCUGCAAGCUGGCAUGACACGCGAGGUCAGUACAUUGAAUGUACUUGCAAGCUCACAAUAAUCUAGAAGCAUUCAAGACAGACAACAACAUGGCAAUUACAGGUUAAAUAGGAAUUAUCAUGAGAUCAUCAGAAUAGCAUGUCAUCAUCAACAUAAACAUGAUACAGCUAUCACAACAUGAACAUAUUAAUCUGACAAUACUAACAUGCAACAUGAUGACACUAUAUGCACCAAUUAUUCUGUUCGGCUACCUCGUAACCAACUCAUGCAUCACUUACCAACCUCGGACAUCACACGAUCAAGUCAAGAUCAAAUCAAGCUUGGUAUAAACAAUACUGUAGUAAUCAGUAAAUGACCACAAGGAGCUUGACCUUUACCCACGAUUCUCGUACAACAUCACGAAUAUACAACAACUCGGUAUCCUCGAUACCAUUUUUAUCCUUACGGCGAUCACAACCCGACCAACACUUGGUCCCAUACCAUGGUCCUUCAGGCGAUCACAACCCGACCUCUAAAUGGCCCGUGAUCCUUACGAUGAUCACAACCAACUUAUCUCACUAUUAUUAAGCACAUUAUUCUUAUUACUGUUGACUCAUGGUGUGACCUAUUUUCAACCUGGGCCCUUAUCCGCGGGCACGGCUAUCGAUAGAUUUAAUAUACACUCUGCAGAGGUUAGUACACUAUACCCACACUACGGAACCCAUGGCCUCGCAAUCCCAUUCGGGUGGACCAACGGCAUUCCCACAAAACCGUCCCCAUCGGGCUAGUCCUGGGUAGCCCCGUGUCUACCUCCAGACACAAUGACCACCGUCGUGGCCCAUCCCACUCUAGGACAAGGAUCCAAAAACUAACUCAACAACGGGCACACAAGGCUUAUGUCCGCCUACCUUAUCGGGGUAGUGUGCACCCAUAACGUUCCCUCGUUGGAGGCACCGGAGAGAGGCACAACAAUAGACCCAGUUAGAACCGUCCCAUACCGGUAAGCGUGGUUGCACUGGUCAGCAUCGAUUCAGCGGCACCAUGACUCAGCCAACAGUUGUUCAAGUUCAAUUUAAUCCGGUUAACUUGAAUGAAAAUAUGCUGAGUCAUGAUAAAAUGCAUGAACAUGAUAUCAACAUCAUCAUGAGUGUAUCACAUAACUUUCCACCAUAUCAACAAUAAAUCAUAUCCACUGAGCAUGGCAUACUGACUAGCAUGACCAUCACCAACAUCAACAUGUACUACUAGCAAUCAUAAACAUAUGAAAGGUAAUACUAGCAGGUAGAAUAUGUUAAUAGAGUACAAGACGGCAUAGCACAAAGGUGAACAUGCAACUCUAAACAUCACUGAAACAACGAUAACCAUCUAGUCAACAAGCAAAUAUUUAACAAAGAUUCAAGUUGAAAACCAUGUCUACUGCAUGACUAUCAUGCAAGUGGAUAUUGUGGCUUGCCUGGGGAUGAAGAAGGCACCGGGGAGAAGUGCGGUGAAGCCGCGGAACAAAUUGCCAGAAAACAUUCUCUCUCGGAGGGGGCUGAUUAAGGACAGGGGGAAAAUGGUCAUUUUUAGUAUGCCAAAACAUAAUGAAAGUGACACCAAUAGAAAGGGCUCGACGAAAUGAAGAAGUGAGCGUUGGAUUCACCUCGUUUGGAGUUACGGAUAAAAAGAUAUAAGGGUUUUACCAUCAGGGACCUAUCUGUAAACAUUUAUUUUACAGACUCGGCCAAAACAGAAAAACGGAAAGCGCAUUCCAGGAUUUACGCUUCCACUUAUCCGCGUCGCAGUGGCGGGGCCGGCUCCUGUGUGGCUGACAGGUGGGUCCCACCUUAUCCACUCCCUCUCUCUCCUCCCUUCUCUUCUUCCUCUCUCCUUCUCCCGACGCCGCAUGCUCCGGCCACUCGGGCCACCUUCGGCGGAGCUUGGAUCGCCGGAGUGCUCAGGACGGUGAGGCGCACCCGUCCCACCACCACACGAACAUCAAGGAGACUCGGGCAGGGCGGGACCGUGGCCACGGCGGACGGGGCUUCAGCCGACGAUAGAGGACGAGGCCAUGGCGAUUCCGGUGACUAACAGAAGGCUGCGGGAGAGGCUAUGGUGGCUGGGUGACCUACUAGAUGUGGAAGACAGAGGAGAGGGGCUUCGGUUCACCGGAAUCAGAGUGGACAGGGGCGGCGGCCAUGGCGGCAAGGGCGGGCUCGGGAGCUCUUGGAGCUCGAACGAGUGGACGGGGAGGUUGCUGGGAGUGAGGCGAGUCUCGGGGUGAGCUCGGACGAGGCCGGGGAUGGCUUAAAUAGCCGUGGGGCAAGGUGGCCGAGCUGGCACCGCCGCGGAUGCGUGGCUGGCGCCACGGACGUAUGCCCGCACGCAUGAACUCGGGGGCAAACGAUGGAGGAGGAGAAGUGGUGGCUCUCACGGGGCAGAGGAGGCCAAGGGGGCGCAGGGAGGAAGACAAUGGUGACGGGAAGAUCCAAAACCCCACUGUGCUCUCGUGUUCACACGGCGGCGAGCAUCGGUGAGCAAGCGGACGGAGGGGGAGUGGGGUCCAGGGGAACGGCGACGAGGAGAGGAAGACAAUGGACAAGCUCACGAGCGCGAAAACAGUGAGAGGGGGAGGGGCCCAAGCAAGAAGACGCUAAGGGCGCGGCCAUUGCACGCCAAAACGGUGGUCACCGCGUGCACUGGUGCACACCGUGCCACAAGUGAUGCCAAACCAUGUCUGGGGGUUAGUCCCUCAUGGGUAAGUUGUAACUACGGUGGUAACUAAGUGAAAACGUCUCUGGUUAAAUAGUUAGUGAGCUCUGAAGUUUACUGCAGUAAAAUUUACCAGCUCAAUGUGAUCAAUAGGGAGUUACUUGAAGCCAAAGAAGUUGUCUGGGGUGUAUAGCUAUGGAGGUACUAUGAUACUGGUGAUUUUGAGGGGAAAUGGAACAAGAUAAAUGAUAGUUGCUUUGCAACUGCCAAAAUGGUCCAGAAAUGAAGAUUAGGAUGGUGCACUCACAUGGAGUGUCCACAUGAGCUCACAUUGGGCAAGGCUUAGUCAUUUGGUCAUAUGAAGAUGCUCACAAAGUAUCAUACCAUUUGGCAAAGCCAAAAUGGUACUUGGUUCACAAACAUCUCUGCUGACCAGAAACUUGAAAUAAUUAUAGUGAUCAAAUGGAUCAAUGAAAUGAUGCCAAAUUGGGUGGAUAGAUGUUUUAUGGGUAUAAGAAUGAUCUGGUAAUUUAUCAGGAUUUUUGAAGCAAUAUAAAAUACACUUGCUUCACAACCUGAAAAUAUUGCCAGAAACAAAGAUUUGCUCCUGUUCUCACAUAGAUAAUUGUAUGGGGCUGCAAAUGGGUGGAAGGGUCUAAUAUGAGCACUCUAAAGAGUCUGCAAAAUUUUAACUCAUUUGGGGACUCCUUGCUAGUACUUCCUUCACAAAGCCUUCUGUUUGACAGAAACUUUGAAAAAUCACUGAGGAAGAUUGUCUAGGCAAAUAAAUUUGAACUUGUGCAUGGGGAAAUUAUUUGUACAUAUAAACAUGCCCAAAAAGGUUGGGAUUCAAUAGGAGAAAUAUAAAUCUCACUUCCUUCACAAACUGCCAUCCAGGACAUAAUAGAAAAAGGAAUAUUGGGGAAAUAUUUUUGAACAUGGCAAUGAAAAGUUUUGCCAUAUUUGAGCAAGAAAUGACCCAAACAAUUUAUGAGAAUUAUUUGGGAGUUUUUGGAGUGAUGGAAAUAUAGGUUGCUUCACAACCUAGGGCAAUUUGAGUUAUUCCUUUAAUUGAAAAGGAAUAUUCCCAAUAAAAAGAAUAUUAGGAUUUGGGCUAGGAUGGAAAUGACAGGUUCUAGGGAAAUAUUUGGGAAUGACAAGCCACUCUGCAAGCAAAGAAGAGGUCAUGUUCUUCAGUUUCCAGACCACAAAGCCACGGAAAAAGAAAACUCACGCAAAAACCUCGAAAAAACAAAAGAAAUUUGGAGUUACUAAAAUUUUAUUUGGAGUUACUAAAAUUUUAGAAAUUUUCAGAAAAAGAUGAAGAGAUUGUUCUUGAGGGGCUCUUCUAGCCAAGGCUCUAAGGAUAAACAAGCUAAGGAGAAAGAAAAGGCCAAGUAUAAUCUUCCUCGUGUGGCAGAAGUACGGCCGUGUGAAUGGCCUUGUGAUGAUUUCUUGAGAGCAGUGGGGAUUUAUGAUGACUUUUAUUCCUUGGCUGAUAAUGCUAGCCUCACCGACUUCCUCCAUGACCAAAUCGAACAGUAACUCUUACUCACUAAUACUUUCGUGCAAAACUUCUACUAUUAUCCUAAGAAAUCACCUCCUUCGGUAGAGUUUCAUUUAUAUGGUGUGGCUAGGGAGAUGACACUAUAUGAAUUUUGCACGGUUUGCAAGAUACCCCUCGGGGGCAGCUUAGAGGAACCACAUCGUAAAGAUGUGGAUGGAUUUAUCGAUACUAUUAUCUUAGUGGAAACGAGGAAGGUUUCCGAUGCCAGAAUUACUAGCAUACAUUGCAAUAUUUGCUAGUCGAUGCUUAAUUGGUCGCGGAAACUGUGGAAACCUUAGUGUUCCUGAUCUUAGUGUUCUCAAGAGUGCUGUAUUAGGUGAUAAACAAUACAACUUGGGGGCAAUUGUUGCACGUAGGUUGGUUUAGUUGGACACUUGUUUGGAGGGAUUUAUGCAACCCGUGUGGCUAAUUAUCUUGGUAUACCUGCACAUGAAAAUGAUAGGGAGUUGGCUCCCUCUUAUUUAGAUUAUAAUGCCAUGGUUAAUCGUCAUUUUCUUGAGAGGAAUGAACAAUUCCUCCAGUAUCGACUAAUCUUUGACAGAUGUCGCGCUGUCCAUAUUAGUCUCCCUGCUCUUGCCCUUUUUGAUUAUCAGGCAAAAGGAAGAUAUGUUAUCACCAAGGAGGAGGCAAACGAGUACGAGAGGAGGACAGAGGUAGCUCGCCGCCAUGCUGCAGCUCAGGAGGCAAUCGCUGCUGCAUCUCAGUACGACCCUAGUUACAACUUCGGAUAUCAGCCAGGCUACCCAUGGCCAUAGACCAACUUAGGCCAAAAGCCUAAGCUUGGGGAGUACGUAUGUCGGUGCUCAUACUUUUUCAUGAUACUAUCCUUGCUAGUUUAAUUUCUCUUCUAGCUUUCUUCUUGUGUGUUUGAUAAACUUUAAGAAAAACCAAAAAAAUAGCUAGUUUAAUUUCCAUGCUAGUAGUAGUAAUUAAAAGAAAACCGAAAAAUAUUUCUCGUUCUUCUUUUGCUUGUUGGGAGCUUUCCCGUGUAAAUAGUUUUAUUUCUUUUUCUUUCCUUUUGGGGUCGAGAGGAGAAGACCAUGAUGAAAAUGCUUAGUGGCUCUAAUAUGCAUGAUUGUUGAUUUAACCAAGAGCCCAUAUUACCUUGUCUUCUCCCUUGAAUUGAAUGCUUGCAGAUUCCAGCUUAGUCCACUACACGUGCACUAUUAUUAUUAUUAUUCACAUCGUUCGGUCGUGCAAGUGAAAGGCAAUAAUGACGAUAUAUGAUGGAUUGAUUGAGAUGAGAGAAGCUGGUAUGACCUCGGCCUAUCUUGUUUUUGUAAAUACGAUUAGUUCAUCAUUCCUGAUUCAGCCUAUUAUGAAUAAACAUGUUUGCAAUGACAAUUAGAGAUUAUAGUUUCUUAUGUCAUGCUUAAUUAGCUAGGAGUUUAUAAUGGUUUAUCUUGCGUGCCAACAUGCUAUUAAAAUGGUUGUGAUGUGGUAUGAUAGGGUGGUAUCCUCCUUUGAAUGAUUCGAGUGACUUGACUUGGCACAUGUUCACGCAUGUGGUUGAAACAGAAUCAACAUAUCCUUCAUGAUAUUUGUGUUCAUGGUGGAUUAUAUCCUACUCAUGCUUGCACUCGGUGUUGAUUAAUUUUAAUGCAUGUUCAUGACUGUUGUCGCUCUCUCAGUUGUUCGCUUCCCAGUCUCUUGCUAGCCUUCACCUGUACUAAGCGGGAAUACUGUUUGUGCAUCCAAACUCCAUAAACCCCAAAGUUAUUCCAUAUGAGUCCACCAUACCUUCCUAUAUGCGGUAUCUACCUGCCGUUCCAAGUAAAUUUGUAUGUGCCAAACUCCAAACCUUCAAAUGAAAUUAUGUUUUGUAUGCUCGAAUAGCUCAUGUAUCAACUAGGGUUGUAUGUAUCUUCCAUGUUAGGCGGCUUAUUCUCAAGAGGAGUGGAAUCCUCUCCUCAUUCACGAGAAAAUGGCUGGUCACCGGGAUACCUAGUCCCAUGCUCAAAUCAAAUCAAAAUAAUUAAACAAAACUCCCCCACGAUUGUUGCUAGUUGGAGGCACACGUUCUUUCGGGCAAGCCAUGGAUUGAUGCUUGUUGGUGGUGGGGGAGUAUAAAAUUUACCAUUCUGUUUGGGAACCGCCUAUAAUGUGUGUAGCACGGAAGAUAUCGAGAUCUCAUAGUUGUUACAUUGACAGUGAAAGUAUACCGCUCAAAAUGCUAUUCAUCUCUAUUUCAAAAUCGAGCUCUGGCACCUCUACAAAUCCCUGCUUCCCUCUACGAAGGGCCUAUCUAUUUACUUUUAUGUUGAGUCAUCACCCUCUUAUUAAAAAGCACCUGCUGGAGAGCACCGCUGUCAUUUGCAUGCAUUACUAUUUGUUUAUAUUGGGUAUGACUAUGACUGGGUCUCUUUUACCAUGAAUUGGAAUGUUUAGUCAGUCCUUAAUCUUUAAAGGUGAUCUGCAUUUAUGUUUUGCGGUCUCAGAAAGGGCUAGCGAGAUACCAUCUUGUUAUAUCAUAUUAUGAUUGUUUUGAGAAAGUGUUGUCAUCCGAGAUUUAUUAUUAUUGCUCGCUAGUUGAUUAUGCCAUUGAUAUGAGUAAACAUGAGACCUAAGUGUUAUAGUGAAUAUGGUUAGCUCAUAAUCUUUGCUGAAAACUUGAAUGCAGACUUUACAUAUUUACAACAACAAGAGCAAACAGAGUUUGUAAAAGUUUUUCUUUAUCACUUUCAAUUUAUCAACUGAAUUUCUUGAGGACAAGCAAAGGUUUAAGCUUGGGGGAGUUGAUAUGUCUCCAUCGUAUCUACUUUUCCAAACACUUUUGCCCUUGUUUUGGACUCUGACUUGCAUGAUUUGAAUGGAACUAACCCGGACUGACGCUGUUUUCAGCAGAACUGCCAUGGUGUUAUUUUUGUGCAGAAAUAAAAGUUCUCGGAAUGACAUGAAAAUCCACGGAGCAACUUUUCAGAAUUAAUAAAAAAUACUGGCGAAAGAAACAGCAUCAGGAGGCCCACACGCUGUCCAUGAGGGUGGGGACGCGCCCCCUCCCCUAGGGUGCGGCCCCUGCCUCAUGGGCCCCCUAGACGUCCACCGACCUCGACUCCAACUCCAUAUAUUUGCUUUCGCGGAGAAAAAAAUCAGAGAGAAAGUUCCAUCGCGUUUUACGAUAUGGAGCCGCCGCCAAGCCCUCAUCUCUCUCGGGAGGGCUGAUCUGGAGUCCGUUCAGGGCUCCGAAGAGGGGGAUUCAUCGCCGUCGUCAUCAUCAACCAUCCUCCAUUACCAAUUUCAUGAUGCUCACCGUCGUGCAUGAGUAAUUCCAUCGUAGGCUUGUUGGACGGUGAUGGGUUGGAUGAGAUUUACCAUGUAAUCAAGUUAGUUUUGUUUGGGUUUGAUCCCUAGUAUCCAUUAUGUUCUGAGAUUGAUGUUGCUAUGACUGUGCUAUGCUUAAUGCUUGUCACUAGGUCCCGAGUGCCAUGGUUUCAGAUCUGAACCUAUUAUGUUUUCAUGAAUAGAUGUGAGUUCUUGAUCCUAUCUUGCAAUUCUAUUGUCACCUAUUAUGUGUUAUGAUCCGACAACCCCGAAGUGACAAUAAUCGGGAUACUUCUUGGUGAUGACCAUAGUUUGAGGAGUUCAUGUAUUCACUAUGUGUUAAUGCUUUGGUCCAGUACUGUAUUAAAAGGAGGCCUUAAUAUCCCUUAGUUUCCAUUAGGACCCCGCUACCACGGGAGGGUAGGACAAAAGAUGCCAGUUCUUUUCCAUAAGCACGUUUGACUAUAUUCGGAAUACAUGCCUACAUUACAUUGAUGAACUGGAGCUAGUUCUGUGUCACCCUAUGUUAUAACUAUUACAUGAGGAAUCGCAUCCGACAUAAUUAUCCAUCACUGAUUCAAUGCCUACGAGCUUUUCACACAUUGUGCUUUCUUACUUACUUUACCGUUGCCACUAUUACAAUUACUACAAAACUGCUACCGUUACUUUUGCUACCGUUACCGUUACUUCCAUACUACUUUACUACUAAAUACUUUGCUCCAGAUACUAAGUUAUCCAGGUGUGGUUGAAUUGAAAACUCAACUGCUAAUACUUCAGAAUAUUCUUUGGCUCCCCUUGUGUCGAAUCAAUAAAUUUGGGUCCAAAUACUCUACCCACGAAAACUGUUGUGAUCCCCUAUACUUCUGGGUUAUCAAGGUCCCAUAGGACCAGCGCACCAGAACAGCAACCGCCGCCGAUGAAGAGUAGCGUAAAUCGAAAGGAUCCAACCUGAAAACACACGAACGUAGACGAAUGACGAACAUAUCCAAGCAAAUCCACCAAGGACAGAUUUACCGGAGACACACAUCCACACGCCCACCGACAAUGCUAAAUGCACCAGCAGAACUAGGGCUAGGCGAGGAGAACCUUAUUCCAUCUUCAGGGAGCAACCACUGUCUCGUCUUCCUGAGUUGGACACAAACCCUAGCACAUCUCGAAGACACAUCUAAAAACCGAGCCUUCCCACAGGCAAAGGCCAGGAUCCGCCGCGCUCCCAUGACCCUAAGGCAACUGGAGAUGAGGCGGACCGGCGACGGCACCGGUAGGAGGCACAAGAAUCCUAGUUGGGGAGGAGGCCGCGGCCUGAGGAGUCAUGUAAUGUCCUUUAUAGGUUCACCGGUUGGCCCCUUCUAUUCUGCCGCUGCAGAUCUGACACGUCAGAACGAAUUGUUGCAAUCACCAGGCAGCAGCGAAUGCUAGCGAUUUCGGGAGCAGCUGAGCUCGAGCACAGAAUUGCAGCGUCCGGCGAGCGUAGUAGCCAGAGGAGAAACCGAGCGUGUGUAAAGCGCUAAACUACACUGCCCUAACAGAGCGUGCGUGUGAGCGCUCAUGCGCCAACCAACGCCAUAAGCAUGGUAGAGGAGCGCUCCUGCAAUUUGUUGCCUCAAAUUGGUGGGAAAACACAUAAGGACAGGCACUAGUCGGCCCAUUCAUUUCAUACUGUACAAACCCGGUAGCCAAGAUUUUUUCGGUGUUGUACACUUUUAAGCGCUUCUUUCAAUUAGGCGUUUUCUUUCUCGUAUUUUGAAAAACAUUAGAAAAACUUAUUUAUUGAAAAACUAAGUAUUGAGUUUUUACAAUAAUUUUACAAAAUGUGUACAUUUUUAAAACAUGAAUGUUUUUCAUAAUGCAGACCAUUUUUUCAAGUUUUGAACGUUUUUUCAAAAACACGAAUAUUUUUUGAAAACACUAAAAAAUUGUGAAAACAUUCAAAUGAAAUUAUCCAUUUUGAAUACUAUUCAUAUAUUUAAUAAACAUGAACAUUUUUGAACAUUUUGUGAAAAAACUGAAAAAGAACGAAGAAAACAAAAAAUAAAACCAGCAAAAGAAGAAAACCUCAAAAACCGGAAUCCUUAUUGCGUCAUAAUAAUGCAUGACUAUUUUUUAUGAAUAUGUCUUCGAAUCAAAAAUGUCUGUUAUAUAUGCAUUUGCCUAUACCUCACUUGUAGUGAGACAAAAGAACACAAAUCCUCAGGCCCCCUGUAUUGUGGCCUAGGGAUCCAUCAUUAUCCAGGAAGCCGGCUUGGUAGGCCGGCCUAGGGCCUUAUAGGCUGGUUUGUCUAGGGCCAUCAAUUUGGCCCAUGGAUCCAAUUAGAGAAAGGCCCGAGGGACUUGGAGCGGGUGACAGGGCGACUAGCGUCCAGGAGAACUCCUCCAACGACCAACUACGAUCGUGUAAUCCUAGACCCCAACACCCAUAUAUGUCGUGGCCAGAUUAGUCAAUAGACACAGAACCUUAGAACUAUUGCUCAAUCCAUCGAUUAUUGUAACCCCUAUACACAAGCAAUAUACACGAGCAGGGGUUAGGAUUUUACCUCAUCCAUGAGGGUCUGAACCUGGAUAAACCCCUUCUUAUUUCCCAUUUUGCUUAAUCGCAUGGCCAGAGUACCUUAUCAAGUGAUCUGCCGGAAAUAACUCCACCACGUCAUAAAUGGGCUAGGGCCAGAUAAUUUUUUUCUCCUUUUCUCUUAUUUUGUUUCUACUUUUGGUUCAAUUUAAAACAUCUUGUAAAUAUAUAUAUUUGGAAAGAUUCUUAAUCAAUUAUUAAUAACAUUCACUGUGCCUGAAAUAAUGGUCAUGAAAUGUAAUUAUUUUUUUGCACAAUUUGAUAAAUUGUUCAUAUCCUUCAAAAGAAUAUUCGUAUCAUUUUUAAAUGUUCGGAUGUUUAAAAAAUGAAUGAUUUUUUAACAAUGUUUAUUAAUAUAUAUAUAUAAAUUAACAGUGUAAUUUGUAAAAAAUAUUCAUACCAUUCAAAAAAUGUUUAACACUUUAAAAAUGUUCAAACAUUUUAAUUUUAAAUAUUUUUUAGUAAAUACUAUUGAAAUAGAAAAAAAUUAAAAGUUUAUAACAUAUAAAAAUGUUUGUAAAAUUUUCAAAUAUGUUCAUAAACACUUACAAAAUGUUUGGCACUUUUACGGAUAUGUUGAUGUCUUAAUUUUUUGAAAACUAUCAAUGAAAUUUACAAAAAUGUUCCUAACAGAAAUGCUAUUACAAAAAUUUAUGAAUAGAAAAUGUGUGUAAAAUUUACAGAAAUGUUCACAAUUUUUUGAAGGAGCUCGGGAUCCAAACAUCCACUCUCUACCAACUAUAUGCAUGUAUGUUGUAGCAAGCCAUGAGCCAAGGGUUGCUACAUGAUCAAUUGCUGAUAGUGCAGUGUGUUUUCUUCAUUUUGGGCAGAUCACAAGUGUUUGACAUCUCUCUCUGCAUUGGGUAUCCUUUUCCACUUGAAUUUUAAGAUACGCGGAAUGUGCUUUCCUUGUUGUUGCCUCGUCAUUCCAGCAUGGAAUCAAAGCAAAACUGAUAUUACUUCCCUUAAAAAUUGUCUCGCUAUCUAUCUCCAUAACAUGCCCAUUGGACUGCAUGGCGGAAGUGAAGGUGUGCGCCUAGCCGGCGGAGAAGACGAACUCAUCUGUGACCUCUGAUGAGCCCAUGGUGCAUGUGGGUUGGAACACUGCUUAGGAAAUCUAGACUUAUUUUGCAGGCAAGCCAAGAUGAGAUCUGUAGGCCCAUGUGAAUUCCAUCAAAAUCACGGUCAGUUCAACUCUGGUUCGAAUCCUAAUAAAAAUAGAUCAACGGUCCUAGAUGGUUAUGUCCAUUGCUAAAAAAUGCAAUUGUUGAAAGAGUCGAUAUGACUAGUAGCUAGAGGACGCUGACACCCCUCACUUCUUCUACACGUACUAAACAAACCCUAGCUUAUCCAACUCAAUUUGCUUUAAGGUUUGUGUGUGAAAGAAGUAGUCUUAAAACCAAACACCACACUCUUCAACUUGAGAAAUCAAUAGUCCAUUUACCUAUGGAUAUCAACUCUAUAUACAUCAUACUUGAUGUGUCAAGUUGAUAAUACUUACUAAACAUAUUUUAAAUUACAAUAUCUGGUGCUUCACAGUCGGUUAUGAAAUUAAUGUUCACCCAUCCAAUGCAAUAAAAAGUAUGUGAAUGAUGUUAACACACGCGCGCGCGUGUGUGUGUGAGAGAGAGAGAGAGAUUAGAGUACAUUUUGUCCUGAGAGAGAUUAGAGUACAUUUUGUCCUGAUGUCCACCAUAGUUCCACGAUCAAUACAUCUAGGAGGAGACAAUCAAAAUACCGACAGAAAAUAAAUAUUUAAUAUGUAAAUGGUAGGUGACAAAUCCAACCACAAAAUUGUGCAAACAACCCACUAGCUAGUUUUAUUGAAUAUUAAAAUGACAUAGUUGAUUUCUAAAACAUACAAAAUUUAUUAUCUCAUCAACACAUAAUUAUUUUGAGAACAAUAAGGUUGAGAUUUAUCCACCCAAAAUAGGGGAGAUAACAAAACUAUUGUGUUGUUGUUGCUGGUGUGCAAUUAAUCUUGCAGGGACAGUUGAUGAAGCAUUCUCCAAGAUCUGGCCAGCACAAGUUAUCUAUUUGACAGCAGAAUUCCCGUCCUGGGAGCUGGUGCCCAUCUUUAUAACAAGGGGGUCUGGUUACAUGGCUUACUUUGCUCAUCAUGUUUCCCCCCUUGUUGUUU